UUUUUUUUUUUUUUUUUGAGUAAAUGAAGAUAAUACGAUAAGUUAGUUUUUGUUUCUUGAAUAAAGGAUAGAAGAAUGCAAGAAGGCUUGUGAAUUAAAGUUUUCCGUCAUUUGACUCAAAAAAAAUUUAUUUUUUUUGUAUUUUUGUAAUCUUUUGUUAUUCUUAAACAGAGUGAAAAAUCCAGUUCUCAAAAGAUGAGACCUGAAAUUCUCUUCUUCUUUUUUUCAAUUUUAUAUCACUUUUCAAAAAAAAAAAAGUUUUUUUAACAUCUUGCGGACUGAUGGUUGCCUCCUCCAAUAAUCCAUUCAUAUUUUUACUAACCAUUAACAAGCAAAACUUCUGUUCUAGAUUCAUGACAAUCCAAGCUAUGGUGUUCUUACAUGAUAGUUCAACUGAGAAUAAUCAAAUGGGUAAAUUCCUAAGAUUGGGCUGCACAUCUACUUAUAGAUCAUGUGAUAUAUUCAAGAGAUAUAUAAUCGUGAUGAUUUAUAACAAUGUCAAGAAAAUGAUAGCCAAUGAUAUAGAUCAUAUGGUGUAUUCAAGAGAUAUAUAGUCAUGGUGAUUUAUGAUAAUGUAAAGAAAAUAAUAGCAAGUGAUACAGCAUCAUACAAGAAACUUUAGGUGACUCUAAAUUAAAUGGUAUACAAAUGACUCUAUUUCCUCUGCCUGCACAAGUAUUCUCUAGACUCUACACUCAACAAUGUUUUGAAAACUGGACUAGACUGGCCGGUUCGAACCGCGAACUGAUCAUGCUUCCGAUCUGGUUCAAUUAAAAACUCAAAAAAUUAAUUAAAUCGAUCAAAAUCGGUUAAGAACCGGUUGAACCGGUAAAAAUCGAUAAAAAUUGAGAGGUUCAACCGAUUUUUAUUAAGUAUUUAUUUUCUAAAAUAAAUAUUUUUUUAUUCAAAAUUCUUAAUACUAAAAUAAAUAAAAAUUAUUAAACUUUUGAAUUGAGGUCGAACCAAUUGAACCGUAAAUCGGAAGGUUUUCCGAUUCAUUUUUCGGUCCGGAUUUAAAAACAUUGGUUACAAUGAGGAAGAGUUUCAUAAUUACCAAGAUGAAAAAUUCAACAAUAAAAGAAUCUGCUGUCCAUGAACUAUUAACACGUCAAUGGACUAACAUUCAUACAAACGUGAGGUUUAAAACCGUCCUCUUUUGUACUAUAUGAAAAACCUUCGAGUGUAGAGUAGUCUAGAGGUCCUAGAUCUCUGGCUUUGAUAUAUAGACUGAGAUCUCGAAUUGAAUAGACUACUUAAUUGAUGAGUGACAAUUAUGAUACUAGUAAUAAUUAGAUAGAUUGAUUAGUUUAGCAGUUAUAUAUGCAAGUGAUGUUGCUUUCAUUCUCUGCGCAGCACAGCAAAAAAAAAUACUACUGCCUCGAGUUGCCCUAAGCUGGUGCGUGACUGUGUGCAAGUUGUAAGAAGGACAGCGACUUCUUGGCAUUUCUCUAUGGCAGUCUCGGUCAUAAAUUGCAUUCAAACAAUUCCGCUUUUAAUCAGAAUUUCAAAAGUCGUCAGUAGGACAUGGAUCAUCUUCUUGGAUCACGCGCUUAUCUUCUUCAGCCUCACGUUUUUCAUAAAUGUGGUUAUUACUGAAUACUGCUGAUGCUUGCUUUUCAAUCUCUGCAUAUACAAAGGUCUGCUUCCACACUGUAUAUCUUCUCUUACACGACUCAUAAAUAAAUUCGCUUUGGCAGCGCCGUUUUGCAUGGCCCUGCCAAGGGUUUGGACUUUGAGGGAUUUCUUUAAUUAAUGAUUGUGGUUGAAUCUCAUACUAUCAAUUACGCUUACAAUAAAUGCUAAGUUGUCACUUAGUUAUUAAUCUUUUCGCCCUUAACGUGGUCCCUUUUCUUAGUACGGAGAUAAAAUUAAUGCUUCAAAAAGUUUGGCUUGGAGCUAGCUUAAUCCCAUAUGUAACCUAGAAAGAAUGUUAAAACAACUUGAAAUUGUGUGUCUCGUUGAAUUGUGCUCGUGUUUCAGAUUAUAGGUGAAAAAAAGAUGUUUGUAAAUAGUUCACGCGUUUUUCUCGAAUCUUAGACAAUUUCAAUUAGAAAAAUAGUUUGUCGGCAGACAAUUUUUCAAUUUGAAAAAUAGUUCGAUGGCCCUAUUUAAAAGCUUUUAAAAUGAAAUGUGAGAUAAUUAUUUUGCCUUUGUGGAAGGGGGAGGUGUAUAUACAAGGGGAAGGGUUUUCUAGGUCGAGCUUAAUACAGUAAUUAAGGCUGGUUGCCAUCGCUAGGGGUGCAAACGAAUCGAGGCUCGCGAGCGGCUCGAUUCGAGCUCGAUCAAUAUCGAGCUCGAGUCGAGCUCGAGCUGCUCGAGCCAGAGUCGAGCUCGAGCUCGAGCUCAAAACAUUAAGCUCGGCUCGCGAGCUCGAGUAUAUAUAUAUUUAUUUUUUUUAUUUUUAUUUUUAAUAGUAAAAUUACAUAAAUAUCCUUAAUAUUUUAUUAUUUAUUAAGAAAAAAUAUUAUUUUAUUAAUUUUUUUAAAAAUAAAAUAAUUAUUUUUUAUUUUUUUCGAGCUCGAGCUUGAAAAUUACCAGCUCGUCGAGCUCGAGCUCGAGUUCGAGUUCGAUGAAAUUAAGUUAAGGCUCGACUCGAUAAGGCUAAAACUCGACUCGGCUCGGCUCGUUUGCACCCCUAGCCAUCGCUGUCCUUUUUGUCUAGUAUAAUAACUUUGUUUGUCUUUUCAUUUUCCUUGAGGGCAAGUAAAUUAGUCAUUCUUUAAGGCACCUUUGAAUAUUUAGGCAUCCAAUAAUGAAGGAUCGAGAAACACAUUUUUUUUUUUUUUUACCUUUGAAAAAUCAAAAGAAUCGUGUUUAGCUUUUGUAUAUUUGAGCACCAUUUUCUGCUACCCUGCGUGCCUUGCAACAAAGACAUGGGCGUUGUGGUCAUCAUGCAAAGAAGAAGGGAGGAAGGAAAGCACGAGAAAUGGGUCAUUUAUGGUUUACUCAAAUAAUAACGAAAAAGACAUUUCCCCAAAGAAAAAUAAAAUUAAAGUUGAAAAAGAAAGCAGUCAUUGUCUAAUGUCAAGAAAGUAAUGGUGGGAAUAACUUUUCCUAACGCACUCCUUGUCCUUUGGAGCUUUGGAGCAAAAAACCACUCAUUUGCCACCUUUAUUGAAGCAACUUGAGGUUGCUUAUCAAUAUUGUAAUUAUUUUAUCGCAGUGAGAUAAAUAAAAAAGUUUCUUUACUUCAAUUUGGCCAAUUAACUUUUAAAAAGCCCUCUUUUAAUUAUUGGAUGGUUAGGAACUCACAAAUUUGUCUUCCAUCUAGAAUCAAUAAUGGCAUUUUUAUGAAAGAAAGGAGCGUUCACAAUCAUCAAUGCGUUUUUGCCUCAAAAUCUCCCCGUUGUAUUUGUCUAGAUCGAGCACCUGGCAGUAUUACUACUUAGCCAGAACAAGUAAUGUGAGGACUUGAACAAGAAGUUGAAGUCUAUUCUUCUUUCAUGUGCCCUUUUCUUUUUAGGCCACUUUUGUAGCUUAGGUAUUGGUCUCUAGCAAAAUAGACUAGGUUGGAAGCCAGACAGUACAGGGACCCCAAAUUCAUAUGUUCAUAGCCUAAAUAUACAAAGCACUGAAACAUGAACAAAACUACUUGCUUAAUUUUCAAACUGAUGUUGGACUGAUAAGAGAUCAUUCGAAUUUGGUUCAUCAACUGGUCAAACCAAAUUUAAACAGCAUUUUAUGUUUGAUAACUCACAAAUUCGAUUGAAAAAAACUCGUUCAAAUUCAGUUUGACAAAUAAAUAAGUCAAACUUGAAUGACAACACUGAGGUGCUUGAUUUGAUUAGAUUCGUUUGCACGCCAAAAUAUACACUAGUUUAUGAUUUCAAAUGUACUUGAUUUUCCAAUCAUCUCCAUGACAAAAGAAAUUUGAUUGGUUUCUUGAGUGAAUUGGGUUUGGGUUGGACUUCAAAUUACAAUCUGUAGUAAGUAAAAUUUCUUCAUGUCACGCUUAUAAUUCCAAGUAAAUUUCAAUUUUUUCAAGAAACCACAUACAACCUUUGUACAAUAGAAUGCCAUUUGCAAAUGUAGCAAUUCACAAACUAUAACAUGAUCCUGGUUUUUUCAGCAUGAUCCUUGGAGCGGAACCCUAGUUCAUGGCUCAAAAGAUACAAGCAUCAAACAUUUUCACAGUUUCAUCAGCAUAGUUGAAACCCUAACAAGUAAGGUCUCCAUCUUCUAGUACCAUACUAUCAUGGACCCUUGCAACAAUUUUCUCCCAAAAUAUCCCUCUUCCUUUUUCCUUCGAGCUCGUACAAGACCAACAUUUUCCAUGAUACAUUUCCACGUGUUUGACUCAGAAGUCAAGGACGGUGUUAUUACGUUGUCAAAAAAACAAGGGUUGAGUGGUCAAGACCAAUACUAACAUAAUGCAGAAUGUCCUUAUCGGAAAAUAGUGGCAAUCAUAUUUUAUGGUUCACGCCCCAUAACUUUUAGCGCACUCUUCUUCUUCUUUGGCCUUAUGGGCAAAGCUAACCAAUCAUCUUUCCAUGCCAUAUACCUUCCUUAGUGCCAAACUUUUCUGCCUCUUGAAGGGGAGCCCAUGGUUACAUAUGCUACCUAAUCUGCCCACCCAAUCAUGUAUAAUCCUCAUUAUAAAAUCAAUUACUUGCGCAUUAUCCUUUUGCAGCUGAAAGAUCUUCAAGUUUUGAUAACUUUAUAGUAGUUAAUAUUCACAUGUUGAGUACAUGAUUGAUUCUUAAUCACUACACAUGCAAUGUAUAUGCAAGUGACUAUCUCAUUCAUUAGAUUAAUGACUAUAGAUCGGCUAGUUUAAUCAGUUGAUAAUUCAUUCAUGGCACCAACCUAACUCGUUGCCGAAGGAUUCUUGAAAAUAGCAGCUACUAGCAUUAGAGCAGAUUUAAUGUUGCCAGAACUUUCACCUCUACUAGCUAAUUGACAUCUAAUACAGAAAAAAUGCUUUUGCAUUAUUCUGUUUCAUCUUUUCAACACCAUCCAGCUACGUACCAAAACUCGAAAGUGUAUCAGGAUCUCACCCUACUGCUCAUUAAUGCAGUUGCUACACAUUGAAUUGCCAGCUUGUGCAACAUAAUAUUGACAUACAUCCAUUGUUAUUGCAAAUUGGGUCCUCAAAAUUAAAUAUAUCCAUGUUAGCUAACUUUAUUUGGGGAUAUUUCUUUUUAGUUGUGUCCUGUACAUAGUACAAUAAAAAAGACAACCAUUAAUUGGAUCUUUCACAUCUUGUGGCUAGCUAGCUAGCUAGUUUUUGCUGAAAGUUAUAAAGGGCAAAUGGCACCAAUAUGCAUAUCUAUUUUUUGAAUUGAUUUCCAUUAGAUUUAUAGUUGAUUUAUGGAAUAUCAACGAUGCAAAAUACACAUGACUUAGAAAAUACAAUUAAAGAGAAAACCAUUAAUUCCAUCUUUAUUUCACAUCAUACAUAUUCCAUUUUUUUUUUUUUUUUGCAUUUGAAGUAAUUAAUCAAUUAUUCAACUAUGUGCAUUACACGACCCAUACAGAGGAAAAUCUGCUAAUUAAAUGGAGAUCUUUCUCUCCUUUCUUUUUCCAUUCUAUCUUCUUUACGUUUCUUUGUUCUUUUCAUUUUCCUUAUCCUAGAACCUUAGUUACGGUAUUGCCUAUUAUCCCUGGAAUUUGUAUCAAAAGGAAGUAGGCUAGGGCUGUUUUCUUCUGGUUCAUAAUCUUUUUGUAAACUUGACGAGGGAAUAGCCACUGUUUCGUUGAGUUUGUGUUAGGGGGAAAAAAAGAACGAACGAACAAAGAAAGUGAUGUUGGUCUUGUUAUUAUUGAAAGUUUGUUACUAUAUAGCAAAACUACCGCAGGAGAGAUACCAAAUAAACGAGCUAGGAAAGCUGUUAAAGAUCACUUUCAAAGCUUCAAUGAGUGGGUGUGAACUUGGGACACUUCAAUCAUGUAUUGAAUCAAUACCGGCUUGUAUAGCUUCCCGUUUUCGCAUAACCAUACACCUUCUAAUUAUUGAAAAAAAAAAAAGAGAGACUUCUAAAUAACUAUUCCUUUCGUUUAAUUGAAAGUAUCAUACUUUUUAUUUUGGAAUGUUUCAAAAGUUUAUUAUCUUACCAAAUCAAAAUUACUUUUGCUCUUUUUUUUAAUGUUAUCCAACCUUUAUCUAUAUUUCAUAUUAAAUUUAAAUUUAAAAUUUGAAUUUUUGGGGGUAACUUUGGAAACAAAUCUACAAACAUCAUUGUCAAACCACUAUUUUUAAAAAAUUAGAAUUAAACAAUUUGGGACAGAAAGUGUAUAAGAAAAUCAACCCAACCAUCAAAAAGGAAAAAGGAAAUUUUAAGUGGUAGGGAUUACUUACACCAAAAAUGUACUAGAAUAAUUUGGUUGUACUGACAUAAUUUAGUCUUCUUAUGGGCCCAUGUUACAAAACUAUCCUUGGUUUUCUUCGUGGGCAAAAGCUAUCUCUAAAGCAUGAAACUGAUGAAAGGCUUCUGACAGGCAAGGCCAAGCCAAGGUACUAUCUCUCAUAAAUCUACUGUUACAUUCAUCUUUGCUCUCCACUUCCCUCCUUCCCCACCAUUUUUUCUACCGUUCUCAUCAAGUACAGAGCUUAGGUUGCAUCUACAACAAGAUUUUGCGGCUUAGUAAAUGUUUUUGUAGUGAACAUUUUAGGACAAAUCUUAAUUCUGAAGCCAAAGUUGGAAGCCUAGCUUUUGUGACUUGGAGCAAAUUUUUAGUUCAACAUCUUAUGUUUUGCUAAAAAAAAAAAAAAAGAAGUCCUUAACCUGGAUUUUAUAUGUACUAUAUGCAUCUAUUCUUGGAAAACUGCAAUCUUGUUUGUCUCUAUGUUCAGCUCUGAUUUUGGAUAGAGAAGUGUCGGUUGGUUUUGUGGGAUCUACAGAUUACAUCAGAAGGAGUUUUUGGUAUCAUCAUCAUCAGCUGUGGCAGUCUCUUCUGAUAAGCCCUCUUGUAAUUUCUUGAUAAAGUAAGAAAGGAAGGAGCAAAAUAUAAGUUUAUAAGAAGUCUUUGUGCUGAAAGGAGAAAGGGUUAGAUUAGAGGUGAUAAACAAUAAAAGGGUUCGAGGAAAAAGAACAUUUGGAUCUGGAUAUCCAGUGGAAUUAUCAGCAAGAAGUGGAAAAUAGUACAAAAUUUUCAUCACAAGAAGAGGAAAUUCAAAGGAGCAUAUUUAAUCAUCAAUACCAGCAUCUGCAACUUCUUCAGCAACAGCAUGAACAAGCCUUAAAGUUAGCCCACCAGACGAAGACAGCGCCUGAACAUGCAAAGGCUGGACCACGAACUGGAAUGAAGCGAGCUGGGGGAGGAGGAGAUGGGCAAGGGGAGAUAAUACAAGUCCAAGGAGGCCACAUUCUCCGAGCUACUGGCCGGAAAGACCGGCACAGCAAGGUCUAUACUUCAAAAGGUCCAAGAGAUAGGAGGGUUAGGCUGUCUGCCCACACUGCUAUCCAGUUCUAUGAUGUGCAGGACCGAUUAGGCUACGACAGGCCUAGCAAAGCUGUAGAUUGGCUCAUCAAGAAGGCGAAAAAUGCUAUCGACAAGCUGGCUGAGCUACCCCAUAAUCAUCCAAAUGAAAUUAGCUUAAUGGCUGCUCCAAGUACUGAUUCCAACCCUGGUUCAGCAAGCGGCUGCCAGGGAUUUGAACAGCGAUCGGAAUCAUCUUCUCUUUAUGCAAUUCAAAGGCAUCAGCUGCAUGAUAAUCCAAAUGGGAAUUCAGGAGUUAUUCCACCAGAAGUUGAUACACAAUCCAUUGCAGAUACCAUGAAAACAUUCUUUCCAGUGAGUCCGGGGAAUUCUUUGAUGAAUAUGCAAAGCUAUCAGCAUGAUAGAAUGUCGAGACAGCCCUCAAUCCAGACAGAAGAUCUUGGCCUUUCCCUCCAUUCUUUGCAAGAUCAGAAUUUGAACCACAGGUCUUACACUGAGCAAAUGCUUUUUUCAGGGUCAAAUUCAACCAUGUUUCCUGGGACAAAUUAUCAACAAAAGACCGAGUCUUGGAGUGGAGCUGGAGAAGGAGAGAAUAGGAACAUUGGAUUUAUAUUCAACCCACAUUCAAUGCCAGUGCCACAACAGCUAAUCUUCAGCCAAAACUCAGCAUUUUCUCAGAGGGAACCCCUUCAGUCCAAUUAUUCACACCUCUUUCAUGCCUGGAAUGAACGACAGAUGCCCUCUGUGGAUCAUCACAAUGCUCAGGCAAUCAGUCAAUCUUCAAUGUAUAACAUCCAUUUCGGCUCAGAUUUUCAGGUUCCAGCUCGAAUUCGCGGGGAUGAGGAGCCUGGGGUGGUAUCCCUCCAGCCAUCCUCAGUCUCUCCAAGCUCACAACAUUAAUGUCAAGGAGCCAUAGCUUUCAUAUCCAUCAGGUAUAUAUUCAACCCAAAACCCUCGAUCUCUUAGCUAAAGUCAGCUUUAUUUUUUCCCAUGAUUUUUCCCUUUCUAACAUUGGUUUACUCAUACUGCUACAUUAUGAUCAUUUUAGGACAAAUAAUGAACGUGAUUCUACUCAAGCACUGGAGCUUUUUUGGUCAGCUCAAUCAAUUGAUUUUCAUUGAAGACAACUGAGAAGAUUGAGUUCAGUACUUUUCUUUAGAUUAAUUUUGCUUGUCUUCUAAAUUUUGUUGAAGCAUUCUUGUCUGGUUCAUAAUUUAUCUCCGCUUACGUACUAUUGUUAAAGUUCUUGUGGUCCUCGUCGGUUAUAUUCUUAAGUGUAGUCAUUUUGUCUUCAAACUGAUGAUGGUCAGACAUAAGAUCCUUGUUGACCUCGUUCUCUUUCUCUAUUAAUUAAACAUGAUUCUGAUUGAGUUUAUGAUCGAUUUGGUGGUUAGCUUUUCAAUUCUCGUUCGAGGGCAUUUUGUCUCUCUAGCUAUUUUCUUGGCAUAUUGGAUUUGAAGGAGUAUUAGAUGCACAAACUGUUAAGAUUUGGUGGAACUAAAUCCGUACGACUAGAAAUUAAUAAUGCAUUUCAAACAUAAAGUCUUUGUUAAUCUCUCAAGUGCAAUAUAUGUGCUUAAUUAAAUUGAUUCAUCCUAAGUACCUUAAUGCAUCUUUUUUUUUUUUUUGCCCCGACGCUUUUAAUAUAAGGCGACAUGAUAUAGGGAGAGACAUUUAUGUACAUUUGCAGAUAGUACAAGUUGAGUGGUAGGGGAACUAACCCUUUGAUAGUAUUAAGAAUUGCAUGUGACUACAGAAACUAAAGAAUGCAAUACGAACUUUUACAUGAUACUUAGGAGUUAGGAGUACGUCUAUAACUAGUAUUUUGUGACUAAUUUCACUCUAUUAUUUGGAUAGUGGUUACUAAGCUCUGUGACUUCUGGGGGAAAGAGUUAAGUGCCUAAGUUUUGCCUCGGACAGUUUUACAAUCAAGAACUGUGGUUUCUACGGGUGAGAAAGUAAGUGCAUAGGUUUUGCCUUGGACAAUUUUUAGAAUCAACAUAUACUGUGAUACAUUUAUUUUGGAGUAUUGCACGCCAUGCAUGGAAUUUGUCAAGAGUACUGCAAAAUUAAGAAUAAUACAUUAAGAUACAAUAGAUAUUCACAUUUACGUGCAUCUUCUCGUUUCUCCCUUCGGAAAAGUUCUGAUUGAAAAACAAAAAUACUAUUGAAUUUUAACGUAGCAUCAUCUGAUUCAAAAAUUUACACAUAUUAUACAUGUGACUAAAUAGAAUAUAAUGUCCUACAUUUUAUACAAAUUCUUAGAGUGAUUUAAAGAAAAUUAAAGAGAACUUGUGAUCCUUUUUCUUUCCUUUUGGUGCCCAAAAAAAAUAAAAUUUGCCGAGGUUUUAACAUUUUUGCUUGAACCAACAAUUAAGAUAGGCUGGUUAAAUGACUUAUGGCAGCUUGGGCUACAGGGUUCCCCAGAAAAUGAGGAGUCCAAGAUUAGAUUGGGCUUUACCAUCCACCCCACCCCUAAAAUCCUGCCACUUGAAAAACAUCAACUCUACAUAAUCGAGUAAAUUGGCAACAAGACCAAAUCCACUUCUUGCACAGAGGAAUUAACCAUUUGGUUUGGAUGAACUUUGGCCCAACAUAUGAAGACCAAUUCAUGCAUGUCCAACCCACUACACACUUACAAAAUGCAAUUCUUUUCACACCACCUGUCUCGCUGUUGACCAGGAGGGAAGGUAAUUCGUGUGCUGAUAUUCUAACCAAGUUAAGGUAGAAUCCAUGGUUAGGGGCUAAUUCCUUUGAUUAUUGUUUGAAAAAAAAAUACAAUAACACUCUGACAGAGUUCUGGUAAGAGAGAAUUUUUUUUCUUUUUUGUAAAUGUUUCUGGGAAAUCUGCAAAAAAGUGUCGGGCUGUCAACCCGACAGCCUGCAGCUUUUUUUUUUUCUUUUUUUUUCAAAAAAACUUCAAGGCUGACGAGUUUAGUAAGCCCAGUAGCCAUGAUAAAUUUCCAAAAAGUUUGGUUUGCGGCAAUUUUUUUUUUUUUUAACUUCAAGUUAGCCCAUCAACCUUUUUUUGAGUGGAAUUUUCCUCAUCAGUAGUAGUAGUAGCAGCAGCUUUGAAAUGGUAAGAAAGCAAAAAAAAAAAAAAAGGAGUGACGAGAGAAGAAGAUAAGGGUGUUGAGAGACAUGUGAGGAAUGAGAGAAGAUACAUUAUUACUGGUCUACUCCUAUACCAAUAUACUCAUUUCCCUUCUUUUGUUCAACAUAAUUUCCUUAUAUCCCUCUUUCCACUUUUGUUUUUACCUUUUUUCCCCCACCUCCGACCUCCUCCCGGUCCUCCUUCUCGUCUCCUCACACUCACGCAUGCACUCACCUUCCUCUCUACUUCUGUCCCACUGUAUUUUCACUUGUUGUUACAAUUAUUGAGAAAAAUAAUAAGAGAAGUAAAUGACAAAAGUUUAUUUCUUUGUAAAACUUAUUUAACUCAUAAUAUGAAAUUGUUCUAUUGAUAGAGUUUAAAACAACUCCACUAACUAUCCCACUAACUAUCCCAAUAACUCCACUAACUCCACUAGUUAUUUCAUUAAUUUCACUAACUCCACUAAUUAGGUAGAACAAAAUAAACAAAUAUGAUUAACUAACAACAAUAAAUAAUUUUUAACAAUCUCUCCCUUAAACUGAAAGUUUUUCAAAUAUUCAGUUUAAUAGGACUUAUCAAUUGCACAAACUCCAAGCAGUUUCUUUAAUUUCUGAAACGUGGAUAACUUCAAUGGCUUGGUCAUUAUGUCAGCAAUUUGAUCUUCAUUUUUGUAAUAAAGAAAAUCAAUUAUUUCAUCCCUUGUGAACUUCCUUAGAAAAUGAAACUUCACGUCUAUGUGUUUGAUUUUUUCAUGUAGAACUGGAUUUUUAGAGAGUUUGAUAGCAGAACUAUUGCUACAAUAAAUUGUAGUAGCUGAUUCUUGCCGAAAAUGCAACUCUUCAAGAAUAUUUUUUAACAAAAUUGCUUGACAGGUACAAGUUGUUAUAGCUACGUACUCUGUUUCAGUUGUUGAUAAAGUAACAAUUGGUUGUUUCUUUGAAUACCAUGAAAUAACUGCUAAAUCCAUUAUGAAUACAUAGCCAGAUGUACUUUUUUAUCAUCAGAAUCACCUGUCUAGUUACUGUCAGUAAAACCAAACAGAUAUGAUUUUUCACCAUUCUUGUAGAACAACCCUUAUUCAAUGGUUCCCUGCAAGUAUCAAAAAAUUCUCUUGACAGCUAAAAGAUGUGUCUCUUUUGGACUUUUCAUGUAUCUACUAAUAAGACUUAUAAUAUGCAUAAUAUCAAGCCUAGUUGCCGUUAAAUACAUCAAACUUCCCAUAAUUUGAUUGUAAAUGAUACUAUCAACUCUCUUUCCUUCAAAUUUUUUGAUGAGUUUUAAACCCAUUUCAACUGACGUACUAAUAGAAUUACAAUUUUUCAUUUGAAACCUGUUCAUAAUUUCUUGCACAUAUUUUCUUUAAGAGACAAAAAUUUUGGCAAUAGAUUGCACCACUUUAAUGCCCAAAAAAUAAUGCAUCUUUUCAAUAUCAGACAUAUCAAAUUCAGUCAUAAUAGAUUUCUUGAAUUUCUCAAACAUGGCAUUAUCAUUUUUAGUAAAAAUAAAAUCACCAACAUAUAAGCAAAUAAUGAGCAAUUUACCUCCAUCUCCAAUUUUUAUAAAAAAAUGUAUAUUCAUAUGGACAUUUUUUAAAUAUUUCCUUAGAAAAAUAAACAUCUAUAUGACUUUACCAAACAUGUGAGGUUUGUUUUAACUCGUAUAAUACUUUCUUGAGUUUGUACACCUUAUAUUCACUUCCAACUUUCACAUAACCAAAAGAUUGAUCAAUAAAUACCUGUUUCUGUAGAUCAUCAUAUAAAAAUGCUGAUUUCACAUUCAACUGGAAGAUAAGCCAUAAAUUUUGUAUUGCCAAUGCAAUCACUAUCCUGAUCGUGUCAUGCCUUGCGAAUGGAGCAAAAAUUUCUCCAUAAUCCACCUCAAACUCUUGCUUAUAGCCUUUAGAGACCAAACGUGCCUUGUACUUGUCAACUUCUACAUUCUCCUUUAAUUUCGUAUUUUACACCGACUUGACACCUAUAGAUUUUUGUCCUUCUGGAAGAUUGAUUAACUCCCAUGUGUUAUUUCGUUCAAUAGCUGUAAUUUCUUCAUCCAUAACUUUCUGCCACUUUAAAUCUUUGAAUCUUUGAUAGCCUCUUCAAAAACUGUAGAAUCACAAUCGAAAAAUAAAGCAAAAUAUGUAAGUGAGUUCUCAGAUUGAUCAAUUCCAAUUACCUCAUAAUCAAUCAUCCAUGCAGGUUUUUUUCUAAUAUGUUGAGGCCGUUCUUCAUCUUCUGCUAUUGUUUGAAAAUUUAGUACAUCAUCUGGACCAUUUGGUGGAAUUUGUUUUGUCAACUACUGCUUGUUUUCUUCAAUUUCAUCAAAAUCAGCGAGUAUUUGUUGUUUAAUAACAUUGUUGCUCCAUGGUCAAAAAAUUUUCUCAUAAAAAAUUACAUCCCGACUAAUGACAAUUUUCUUAGGGAUAGAAUUAUAAUCCUUAUAGGCUUUUGACUAAUCACUAACACCAAGAAAAAUACAUUUCUCUCCCUUAUUAUCUAACUUUGUCCUCUUUUGCUCUGAAAUAUGAGCAAAGGUAAUGCAUCCAAAAAUUUUGAAGUGAUCCACUGUUAGUUUUCGUCCGGUCCAUACUUUCUCAGACGUUAUAUUUUUAACAACAAGUGUGGGACUUCUGUUCAAUAUGUGAAUGCUCCAGUUAACAGCUUCAGAUCAAAAACUUUUUGGAAUACUACUUUUUGUUAAAAGACUCCUCACCAUGUUCAAUAUUGUACGAUUCUUCCUCUCCGAAACACCAUUCUGUUGUAACGUAUAAGCUGCUGUAAGUUGCUUCUGAAUUUCAUGUUCCUCACAAAAAUUUAUAAAUUUUUGUGAGUUAUAUUCUCCAUCACGAUCGCUGUGAAAAAUUUUUAUGGACGUGCCUGCUUCCUUUUCGACAAGGGUCAUGAAAUUUUUGAAAGUUGAAAAUGUUUCAAAUUUUUUCUGUAAAAAAUAGAUCCAAAAUUUUCAAAUAUAAUCAUCAAUAAACAUCAUAAAAUAACGCUUUUACCAUUAGAUGAUAGAUUUAUGAGUUCUCAUAAAUCAGAGUGAACCAGUUUCAAAACGUUUUUUGCUCUCUACGAUUUUCUUUUUGAAAAGCUAUCCCGAUAUUGUUUGACAACGACACACUCUUCACAAACUUCUGAAGGAAUUGUGAUUUGAGAUAGACCAACCACCAUAUUUUUCUGCUGCAAAAUUUUUAAUCCACCAAAAUUUAGGUAUCCAUAACGAAUAUAUCAUAACCAUACCACAUCUUUCGAUUUUGUUGAGAAACAUAAAUGAGUCGAGUUCUAUAAAUAGAGUGGGAACAUACAAUUUGUCGUCAUCUUAAUUUGAGCAAUUAAACCUAACUUUGCAUCUCAAACUUGACAUACACCAUUUUUGAUAAAAAUUUCGUACCUUUUUUCUAGCAACUGACUCACACUAAACAAAUUUGUCUUUAAAUCUAGAACAAAAGGACGCCAGUGAUAGUAUGAAUAGAGGAAUUUUCUUUAGUUUAGAUAGUUACCCUUCGUUUUUCCAUAACGGAAAUUAUAAAGUUACCAUCAAAUUUAACAGUAUUACAAAAUGACUCGUCCAACUCAGAAAAUGUCUUUUUAUCUCCACACAUGUGAUUGCUACAACUGGUGUCUAAAUACUACAUAUUUUGUUGAGUUUCUUCUCUCAUGUGACACAUCAUCAAAAGAGAUAUUUCUUCUUCUUUUUCUGCAAAAUUAGUCCUUUUUCACUUUGUCUAUUCAAAUUAGUUCGACGUUUGGACUGAUAAUGACCAUACCUAUGACAUUUGUAGCAUUAAAUAUUGGACUUGUCUGUUGACUUUGGUCUUUGAGUUGUUGAUGGAUGACCUCCUUGUCUUCUUCUUCUUCCUUAAACUUGAUUUUCUUGGUUUUGGUAUUAUUAUUGUUGGUUGCUAUGAUCAUUGUUUUCUCAACCUCUGCCUCUGCCUCCUUUCCAUGUUGAGUGAUUUUCUGUUGAAACCUUCAAUGCUUGCUUCUCUUUCUCUUGCAAGUUAAUUAUUUGCUUAUGAAUUAAUAAAGAACUCUCCAACUCAUCAAUUGAAAAUGUAUCAAUAUCUUUCGAUUCAUCUACACAGCAGACAACGAAAUUAAAUUUUAUUGUCAUUGAUCGAAAAAUCUUCUCGACAAUGGUAACAUCCUCCAAAUUCUUUCCAUGGAUUCUCAUCUUGUUAACGAUUGCCAUCGUUCUUACGAAAUAAUUUGCAACCGACUCGCUUGACUUCAUGCAUAAAGUCUCAAAUUCAAUCCGAAGAGGUUGAAGCUGCACUUGCUUUGCCUUCAUAUUUUCUUGAUACUUCUUCUUCAUAGAGUCCCAAAUCUAUUUGGAGGUAUCUUUGCUAAGAAUUGUCUCCAAAAUGGCUCGAUCAAUAGCUUGAAAAAGGUAAUUUUUGACUUUAAGAUCUUUCAAUUUAAAUGCUUCCAACUCCGUUUUCUGCACCUCUGACAAUAUUACUCCAACUGUUGGUUAUUCUACUAUAGAUUCAACAACCUGCCAAUACUUCUUGGAUCUCAAGAAGUUCUCCAUUAGUAUACUUCAAUGAUCAUAGUGACCAUCAAAGCGGGGAAUUGUUGGCUACACAAAAUUGUUGGUGGCUAUCAUAAUUUACCAACACAAUUCUCACAACUCACUUUUGUUUUCACUCACGAACCUAGCUUUGAUGCCACUGUCACAAUUAUUGAGAAAAAUAAUAAGAGAAGUAAAGGACAAGAGUUUAUUUCUUUGUAAAACUUACUUAACUCAUAAUAUGAAAUUAUUCUAUUUAUAGAGUUCAAAACAACUCCACUAACUAUCCCAAUAGCUCCACUAACUCCACUAGUUACUCCACUAAUUCCACUAAUUAGAUAAAACAAAACAAACAAAUAUGAUUAACUAACAACACUAAAUAAUUUCUAAUAGUCCUUACAACUUUUUGAUUUAAAAUUUUUUUUAUAUAAAAGUUAAAAAGGUUUUUAAAUUUUUUUAAGAAUCUAUAAGUAGUAUUAGUAGGACAAGUAUUAGCCAAAAAAAGGAAAAAAAAAAGAGGAAGAAGUUAUCGAUUGCCAUAGUACUACUCCGUCCCACUACUGACAUGUUACCACAUUGCAUCUUUCUGCAUUUGAGUUUCCCACAAAAAAGGAUGACUAUUUGUAUUUUAGUUUGUUCAACAAACGGACAUUUGUAAUUUAGUGUUUGCCCAAUAUAUUGGCCAUGCAGCCCUCCCCCCCCUUUUUUUUAAAACUUUUGAUGGCCGCCAGAUUUUUUGGAAAUUUAUCAUGGCUGUCGGGUUUAGUAAGCCCAGUAGUUUUGAUGUUUUUUUUAAAAAAGCUGCAUGAUGUCAAUAGGCAGUUUUUUUUUACAGAUUUCCCUGUGGCUGUGGCUGUGGCUGCUGGGCUGGUAGCCAAACAUUAAAAAAAAAAAAAAAAUUCUCUCUCUUGUCGGGCUGUGUCAGCUCGGCAUGCAUAGUUUUGUACCAGAACUCCGUCAGAACAUUAUUGUUGCAAUUUUUUUUUUCGAACAAUAAUUAGAGAAAUUAGCCAUAGUUAGGGGUCAUUUUAUUUUCCCUUCCUCCAUAUCCAAUUAAGUCUUUGUUAUCAGUGGAUUAAAUUGGUGUUUCCGAUUAUCGUGCAAUUAUUAUGUAAAUGGCCAUUAUGCCUCCAAUUGACUGGGAAAUAAUAAUUUUUGUUAAACGACCAUUUCCAGGAAUAAUGAAGUAUUAUGAAGAUUUUGUAUUUUUUUUUCAGUAAGGGAUGAUAUUAUCUUAUACAAUUGUUCACAUUGGAACAUUAAAAAAGAGAUGAAAUGGGAUGUUUUUGGUUUUUGUGGGCCGAAAGCCUCAAACUGAGCCCAAAGCUUCAUUUUAGUGUUAAGGUUAAGAUUGAGAAUUGAAACUUGGCUAGAAUAUAGAACAUUUAUGAAGGCCUAAAAAAAAACUAAUAUUAGAUUGGAUUGCUACUUUUUACAAGAAACUAUUGGAUUGCAACUUUUUAAUUUGUAAAAAAAUAUACUAUACCAAUUUGACAUAUGUGAUGUAAAAAAUUUAUUGAGAAAUAUAUUCACGAAAAAUGUUAGAAAUUUUUACAGAACGUUAGAAAUUUUAUAGGAUAUGUGAGUAGAAACUAUUGGAUUGCUACUUUUUAAUGCUUAAAAAAAAACAGUAAUGGCUUGACAUAUGUAAUGCAAAAAAGUUAAUUGAGAAAUGUAUUCAUGAAAAAUUUUAGAAUUUUACCUUAGAAAAUAGAAAUCCAACACAUGGAGGUAGUCUUAGGAUCACAAAAAUUAAUUUUAUGCUAGAUAACAUUUGGAAAUUAAGUCUUUGGUAGCCUGAUCAGGUUAAUCAAUCCUUUUAAAAAAAAUUAUUCCUUUGUUUAAAAAAAAUGACUGAGCACUUCUGGAGUUGUUACUUUCGCGUUUCCAGCAUUGGGAGUAUUAAGUUUUCAAUCAAAUUGAAUAAAAUGUCCACUCCAACUCAAAGAGCAAACCUUGCAUUUUUUUACUGAAAAUUUUAAGUUCGAGUUAAUAACCAGCUAUAAAUAAAUCAGCAAUAAAAGAUAUUUGACGCAUUUAUACACACAGUAAAUGGAGAAAUUAUCGGCAAUUAUUGAGACUAAUAUCAGACAAAUCUCCAUAGAUUCUAUGCUGAGAAAGGAAAAGCAGUAGUAAAAUUUUGGCCAUUCUGGUAUGGAAUUAAAGUAUUGGACUCAAUUAGUGUUGCUAAAAAUUUCCAAAUCCCAGAGCCUUCCCUCCUUUCCGUGCCCGCGCGGGCGCCUCCAUUUCCCGCAAAUCCAAAUUAACGUUUUCAGUUUCAGUUUUUUGAUUUCCUUUCCCUCUACCUACCAUAUCUGCACACAGUCACACACUACAAAGAUUCCAAAAAUUCCCUCAAAUUCAAAUCCACAAUCCUCCCUCUUCCUCCUCCUUUCAAAAGAAAAUUUGAAGGAAAAGAAGUGUUAAAAGAUGGUUUUUUUAAAAAAAAAAAAAAAAAUUCAAACAAAUUCAUUCAUCAAUCACCCCGUUUCAUCUCCACCUUCAACUACAAAUACCUCAAAUGGAACUCGGGAAUUCUCACCACUUGCUUAACAGCCUGCCCCAUCUCCACCCCACCACCACCACCACCACCACCAAAACGCCGUAUCAGAUUUCAGAACAUCAAACAUGGAACGUGGUGACAAAGAAAACAUCACCGUCCCAUUUGGGUUCACAAAGAAAGAAGCCAAUGUCUCAAUUCUUGAAAAUGCCAAAAAAUUUCCUGCCCCAGUUGUUAAAAGAAGGUUCAGAAGCCCACUUCGAGACAUUACUCAUCUGUUCAUUAAUUCACAGCCACCGGCACUACUUUCCUCAGCCGCAUUUAUCUCUGAUUUUCAAGCCCAUUCUUUUAUUUUACCUCUUCCUGCUAUGAAUUCUCGAAAAAGGAAAGCUGAUGGGGAUGUUGAGAUUGAUUCAAUGAAGAAGGCUGCAUCCAAGAUUUUGAGAAAAGAGUAUAGAUAGUUUUAUUUAGAUAUAUAUGUAGAUUUUAUACAUCCAAUUGACAUUGGUUUGAUAGGUGAAGUGUUGGAUUUUAUCAUUAUAUCCCAAGUUUAAUUGAUGUAACAUUUUUACUUGAUAGAAAAAUUAAAAUAAUGAGAUGAGCGGCUAUUUGAAUUUUUUUUUUUUACUUUCAUUUUAAUCUUUGGUCAAUCAUUAAUUUUCAUGCUUUCUUAUUCUUCUUUUUGUCAAUUUGGGCGUUCUUCUUCUUUUAUUUUUUUUCCUUUAAAUUUGUUUGUUUCAGAAUUUGAGCUGCCCUUGCUGAAUUUAAAUGUGAUUAAUUUCAUGCCAAAAGAAUUUUGAUCAACUUUUGGCAUCAAAAAUUUUUGUAAAGAAUUUGACUAACGGGCACUCGCUAAGAUACCUUCACAUGCUAAUUUUUCAGCGAAAAUAAAACUAAUUCGAGAAAAUAUAGCAAUAAAUGUGACUAUACUUGCAUGAUAAAUUAAAUAAGUAUAAUUUAAAUAUUUUAAUGAAUAUUCUGAAAUACUCAUUAAAAAAAUCCUUUUGUGAAUUUACACGGAGGAGCGCACCUCCCGGUAUGGAAAGUUUUAAGAAGACACAGUACUUCGGCCAAAUGCAUUCACUAUAUUAACACAAACAAUUUGUAACAUCUGUAUCGCAGUUGAGAUUCCUUCGUGCAACAACAGCUUAUAGUAUGUUUAUCUUCACAAAGAUUACACUUUUAAUGAGUGUUGUAAGAGCAUUCGCAUUAUACCAAACUCACCAUAUAAACAAUAUAUAUAUAUAUAUAUAUAUAUAUAUAUAUAUAUAUAUAUAUAUAUGUGGAAAAAUGACCUGUUUCAUCCCUUACUUUUAAAAUGAAGCAAAUUCAUCCCUGACAUUUAAAAAUUAAAACUAUUACAUCCCUGAACCUAAUUUUCAAUCUGAAUCAAACCAACCAAUAACCUAGUAAUAAAUUUCGAAAAUAGAAUUGAUAGAUCAUUCGGUCAAUUCCAUCAUAUUCACAUGACAUUUAUUAAACCAAAAAAAUAAAAAUUAUAACAUAAAAGGUCAUUCUUUAUCUUGGAAUAGUAGAAUUUUUUUUUUUGGUAAAUCUUUUCAUACACCGUUAGUAUGCUUGCUUGCAAAUCUAGAUAUGUAUCAUACAUAUAAAAUUUGGUGUUUAAAUUUAAAUUAAAAUGAUAUGAUGGUACAUAAAACCGUCAGUGUAUACAAAUGAUAAUGUAGAAAAGAUUAAUCUUUCUUUUUUAUGUUAUAAUUUUUUAUUUUUUAUUUUUAGGUUAAUUAAAUUUCACAUGAAUAUCAAGUUGAAUUAACCAAGUGAUCUACCAAUUAUACCCCCAAAAUUUGUAAUUAGGUUGAUUGGUGGUUUGAUUCAAAUUGAAAUUUGGGUUCAGGAUGUAAUAAUUUUAGUUUUUAAAUGUCAAGGACGAAAUUGGUUCAUUUUAAAAGUAAGGGACGAGAAGAAUAUUUUUGUGAAAUGUGAAGGAUGAGACAGGUCAUCUUCCCUAUAUGUUUAUAUAUAUAUAAACACAUAUAAACAUAUUAUCUCCACUUGUGUUAACAAAGAGAAUGUUACAAUGCUCAAGUAUUUUAAAUAGGGGAUAACCAUUACUAGGUUUACUAAAAUUUAUCUACUUUUCAAUAGGGGGAUAACCAUUACCAGAUUUAGUAGGUUGUCCUAAAAUUCAUCUUUUUAAUAAGGGGAUAACCACUACUAAAUUUAGUAGGUUGUAUUAAAAUUUAUCUACUUUUUAAGAUCUAAGACUAGAUUCAUAAAUAAGUAUUGUGAGAUAUGCUUUGAGUGCAGUAGGUUAAAAGUUGAGAUAAGGCAUACCACUAAGACACUAUGAGGACUCUUAGGUCUCAAGUACUCAAAAAAAAAAAAAAAAAGAUCAAAUAUUUGAAUCAAGAAACUUGAUAAGAAUUUGGAUUGAGAUCAUGUUGAACAGAAUGGAGGACUAACAUGAUAUGGCUAUUCAAAUGCAAGGUGUGUGUGUGUGUAUAUACAUAUAUACAUAUAUAUAUAUAUAUAUAUAUAUAUAUAUCUAUAUCUAUAUGUUCUUGAAUAAUAUACAUCUUCGUUCAGACAAACACAAUCCCACAACUAUAAAUUCCAAUUGAUCAGGAAUACAUGACCAAUUAAAGCUACAAAAAGUCUGGAAGUGGAAGCUAGUUGGACUUAAAUUAACAUUUAGCUUUUAGCAUAUCUUUGAACGUACGUAGGAUAUACUAAUUACUACUGUGCUGUCCUAUUCUUUCUGUCCUCAUGUAUCAAGUGCUUAUUAGGCCAACCAAAAGUUCUUCCAGAGUCAAAAUUGAUAGGUCAGUUUCAAGUUGAUCAUGCACCACGUUAUGUUUAUUUCUUCAGAAUUUGGAUGUUUCGCGGAUAAAAGGUUUCUUGGACCAAUGAACCUGUGUUCGUACGCACUGUUAUUUUAAUUCAAGAAAGCCAUGAAUUUGUGAUCGGCUAUGUUACGUGAUCACAAGAGUCAGAUUUCUAGAUGAAAAAAGUGCAAGAUCUUGGUGACACUGAAAUUUAAAAAGGUCAUUACUAGCACAGCACUGGGAACUGUGAAGAAUUGAUGCAGACACCGUUGAAAACAUGGUUCGCCAUCGCGGGUCGCAGUCGCGCCGCUGUUUUGGUUAUUCUACAUUCAUCGCGACAUAUCGGUUGAAUAUCGGGUGAUACACACAUUCUAACGCAUGAAAGUUUCCAAAAAUUUUGAAAAAAUUACUAAAAUUGAAAAAUACCAAAAAAGUCACAGUUUAAAAAAAAUAUCCAAGUUGACUUUGAGUUGACUCGGAUAUAUCGGUCGAUAUUAUGCAUCACGGAUUCGAAUCGGCCAAUAUCGAUCGAGUCAGAGCGAGUCAUCGUGGAUAUAGUAAUAUUCGAGAUUCAGGGAUCGGGCUCGUACCGAUUCCCUUCGUUCCAGUUACGACUCGGCCAAUACGUAUCGGUAUUAGCCGAUAUGGCGAACCAUGGUUGAAAAGUGCAGCCACCGCCGAUUUAUUUACUUGAGGUAGCGAGUUGCAACAGCAUUUGACAUCAUAUCUCUCUUGAGUAUGCCAUUGGAGUCUCUUUCCAGCAUCAAUUAAAGAAUGAUUUUCAAGUGGAAAAGGCUUUAUAAGGGCGGUCACUAAGCAAUUUGAUAAUGCAGUAAAACUCAGUCAUAAGAUGUCCCAUGAACUUUGUCUCUCUUAAUCAACUGACGAGGAAAAGUCUGUUCCAUGUAGGCAUUUGUCUUGUUUCUCAGGUUUUCUGUUGGUAUUACAGUAAUUCAUCAAACAAUAGCACUUUAAGUGCUUUUUUAUGAGCCAAUAUAUGUUGAUAAACAACGCUGAAUAACGAAAUCAUGAAUGCUACUGCAACUACUGGCCAUGUCUAGGCUGUUCUUCAAUGCUUUAUAUAAUUAAGUGACAACAGGAUUGGCAAGUUAAACAAGAGUAGAUAACAGUAAAAAUGAUUGUGCAAUGCACUUUAGAUGCGUUAUACAUAUAAAUCUAUUCAUGUACAGCAAAUAGCAUACCUUUCAUGAUUAGUUGGCAUCAUUACUUCCUAACUAGCAUACCUUUCACUGUUUUUCUUCUCUUUAUUUUUUUUUGCAGCAGGGGAGGGUGGGAUUUAAGAAGCAGGGAGGGGAUAGGGGGAUUAGAACACAGGAUCUCUAAUUUUUGGAACCUCAAUCUUAGCCACACUGUUUGUCUUCUCAGUUUCUUUCUUUGUCAACCUAAUGACUGAAAAAGAAUAAGUUAUGCUCUUAGUGCACAUAGAUUAAUAAUGAAGAAAGUGCAAAAUAACGCUCGUAUCAAUUCAGAACAAGAAAUGUUAGAUGCAGAAAGGAAAUAGGUAUUCCUUCUGUGACUGAUCUAAAAGAAUGUUCCCAGAAUCUCGUAAUGUUUUAUAGUGCAUUGGUUUUUUUUUCUAUUUCCCCUUCAGAAUGAAUAGUUGCUACAUUGUCUCUGGUUGAUGUCGAUUUUUGAGAACUUGGUAUGGAUUUGUCAUUGUGUCUAGAAGGUAAAGACCAGCCACAUAAUGUCAUGCUAUAAGAUGCCUCAAACGAAAGGCAAGUCAAAAAUGCCUGACCAAACUACCCUAUACAGAGUUCCUACAGUGUAUGGUCACAUAGUUGUACCCUUUGAGCAUAUACUUCUAUUCACAUUUCAUCCAAUGAGCCUGUUUCUGCAAAAGUUCUGUAGGUUUUACUCCUUUUUUGUUGCAAGUGAUGGAAAAUUCUAAUCUUUAUUGGUGAUAUUCAUUCCUAGAAGAUUCAAACACAAUGUUACUGGACUUAGUAAAGGACAUCUGGUUAAAGACUAGAAAUUGAGAUAUAUUCUUAAGAGUCAUGAUGUUCAGUGCUUUCUUUGACUUGAGCUCCUUUUCCUCAUCGCAUAGAUCAGUAAAUGGAUAAGUAGAUGUAUACCCAAUUAGGAGUAAAACUGGAUACUGAUGUUUGAACUUCCUGCAGUGCAUGUCACAGUUACUAUAGGCUAAUCGCGGGCAUUUGCCUGAUAUCCUGCAAAUUUUUUGUAGGAAUUAAUCACAAUCAAUUAACUGUCCCGGUUUGACCAAAACAACAACAACAACAACAACAACAAUAAUUACAGUCUGUUUAACAGCUUCUAGAGAAGCAUUGGUCCUUUGUUCUGCUUCUUAAUGGUCAGGUGCAGGAGUUGCAGCUAUCUUAAAAUUUUGAGUCCUUGACUGCAUUAAUUUAGAUUCAAAUGCAAUGUGGAUAUAGUUAACUCUACAUCACAAUGACGACCUUUGUAAGAGGAAGUGGAGAUAAAGUGCCGCACACAAGAAGCCACAUUUUUGUAUGACAUUGACCUUUGGAUGCAUCACAGAGGAAGUUCUGGGAGUAGACUCCAUUACAAGGUCAGAGUUGGGGCUAUUCGAUGUCAUUAAGAGCUAACAAGACCAACAUUCGCUGACUAGAUAUACACGUUGCUUGCUUAUAUUUAAAAUAUCCUUACCAAUGUCUACAAAUUCAUUAUAGUUUCAGAAUGAGUUGCAGCUAUCUUAAAAUUUUGAGUCCUUGACUGCAUUAAUUUAGAUUCAAAUGCAAUGUGGAUAUAGUUAACUCUACAUCACAAUGACGACCUUUAUAAGAGGAAGUGGAGAUAAAGUGCCGCACACAAGAAGCCACAUUUUUGUAUGACAUUGACCUUUGGAUGCAUCACAGAGGAAGUUCUGAGAGUAGACUCCAUUACAAGGUCAGAGUUGGGGCUAUUCGCUGUCAUUAAGAGCUAACAAGACAAACAUUCGCUGACUAGAUAUACACGUUGCUUGCUUAUAUUUAAAAUAUCCUUACCAAUGUCUACAAAUUCAUUAUAGUUUCAGAAUGAUGGGCAUGAGAUGCAAGGUUGAUAACCUUCUAUUUGAUUCCAAUGACUUGGACUUCUCUAAUCUUUCAACAGAUUGGCUGCAUUGAACUCGUCUCCCACUUCAUUUCAGCUUAAGAGUAGGAAACUAUCUAUAUAUACCAGGGCUUAAGAUCAUCUGAUACCCAACUCCUGCCAGAGGUGGUUAGUACCCCCAAGAGCCAAUAAUGUCUUGCUGGAAGUUUUUCUUGUGUCUUGCCAUUGCCAUUUUUCUGCUUUUGGCAAUGGGGUCAGAAGCUCGGCCUCUUUCACCAUUUCAUCACAGAGUGAAAAUAACCGAGCAAUUCCGGGCAUUUUUUGACAGAAGGAAAGUACUAGAGGAAGAUUAUCAAUUUGACAGCAGCAGUGAAGGUCAUUACCAGCCUGCGCGUUCCAGUCCCGGAGGACCUGAUCCCUACCAUCACUUUUCAAAUCCCUAGUAACGUACUUUUGGCGGAGUGAAGAAACAUUCUUUCUGAAGUUAGAUCAGAAGAUGUGCUAUAAUCCUUCUGCAUGCACAUCCACUGUUACAUGAUUUUGUUUUGAUAAUAAGAAUGUGCAAUGCAUGUGAACUUUGUUAAAUUGUUUUUAUUAACCUCUUCAUAAUAAAAAUAGCAUUGUCACUUGUGGGACUUUAUGACAUAUGACUGAACUAACUAAAGAGUACAUGCUUGCCAGGAAAGUAGUACUUAAAAAUGUGAUUGUUUAUAAAUGAUCAUCAAGUUGGUGCAGGUACGUUUCAGUUUCUUAUAUCUACACUCACAUGGCUAACUGUAAAGUCAGCAAGAAAAGGUAAUAGUUUGCUUUCGGAAGUUAGGAUAAUGAUAAUGAAAUGGAAGUCUACUGUCCAUCUGAUGCAUGAAAGACACCUUUCUUCUUCUUCUUCUUCUUCCAAAUAGAGGGCGUGCUUGAAAAGCUCUCGAAGCUUAUGAAGUUUGAUACAAUAUUAAGUACUUUAGUACCACCAGGCAGCAUCCGGAAGAAGGUACCUCUUACCAUUUAGAUGAAAUUAUGGUCACUGCAAUAAGGCAUCCAUGCAGCAGAAGUUGGACCAAGAAUAUUAACCGAUCUGCAAACAUUUAAGAAUGGCAGAGGUUUUCCAAAUUCGCUUGAGUGAGUGUAUAAAUUGUAAUAAAGCCAGCAAUUUAACAACUCAGAAGCAACAUUUUAUGAUGAAUCGCCAUAACAAAGCAGUUGAAGGUGGAAGCUUUUGAAUAGUCUUCUCCAACUGUCAUUAACAUUCACCCACAACGAAAAAAGAAAUCCAUUUUACUCAGAUAAGAUACCAAAUAAAGGCCUUGCAAUUUGUUUAUCUUAAAUUUAUGCGCAAAUGGUUAUUUACUCAGUUUUCAUUAGCAAGUCACUAUUCUUACAAGGAACCUCAGAUUAGACACUUAAUACAUUCUGUAUUUUGUUAAAAAAAAAAGGAAUAAUAGAGCACAACAUAGGUUAGUUUUUACAAUUAAAAUACUACAUCCAAAAUAAAACUUUAGGUUUCAUGCCAAAUUUUUAAAAGGGAUUCACCCAGAAAAAGAAUAAAAUAUAGGAACUGAAUUACUCAUAAUAAGUUUAAGGGAUAAUUUCAGAAACCUCUCCUGAGAUUUCUGACAGUCUCACUCUCCUCCCCUGUAGUUUCAAAAAUAUCACAAAUCUCCCCUGAAGUUUAGAAUUUUGUAACAAAAUCAGCCCAUGAUGUCAAAAGUGAACAUAAAAAAGUGUUUUCAGGACAGAGAGGGAAUUUUGUUUCCAUAAAUGCCCCUGAGGUAAGUGCACAAGUUAUAUUAGUGAAAUAAUGAAAACUAAUAAAAAUAAAAAAUAAAUUAGAAAAAAGGGAUAUUAAAUCAACCAUUAGUGCUUAUGAGAGUGCAUUACAUAUUUAGUGGAGAGAUAGUUUACUUCAAUAAGUAGCAUGUAUAUAAAUAUUUAGUGAAUGUACAAUCUGAUUGAAAUAAUGCAUAUUGUGUUAUCGACCAAGUACGAUGCAUAUAAAUUGUUGAACAUGCAGUUAUUUGUUCACAUGCAUAUUGCAAUUAGUCACUGCAACAAUAUGCAUAGUGCAAUGGUAUGUAUACAUUUGGAAUAGUUAUUGAUACUUUGACCUACUUGUGCAUAUCCUUACAAGCUGCAGUGGGUAUGCAAUUUUAUCUAUAUGACUAAUACUAAUUUGCUUAUAAACACCUUACACGGGGUGAUCUAUGAGGUACAAUCAGUUUACAAAUAUAUACAUUAUAUUAGAUGUUAGUUACUUCACUGUGUAUAUUUAUAAAAGGUAGUGUAAUGGUACGCAUAAAUUUGGAAUUGUUAGGUGUUAAAAAAAUAUACAUCAUGUUAGGUAUUAGUUAUUUGACAAUGUAUAUAUAUAAAAGGGAGAUUAGAUAUAGCGUAGAAAAAAAUAAUUACGUGAGUUGGAAUGUAUUUGUCCUGAUAAUCAUGAAAUAUUAGUUGACUUGUGAGGGUAUUUAAGUCUUUUUGGCCAUGAUGAUGUAAGAAAUGAGACCUAAAUUCUGACAGGGGAGGUUUGUGAUAUUUUUGAAACCACAAGGGAGGAAAGUGAGACUGUCAGAAACCUCAGGGAAGGUAUCUGAAAUUAUCCCUAAGUAGCAAUUAAGUAGCCGGUUCCUCAACGCAGUAAAAAUAGGCAUGCCAUUUUAUUGUUAAAGCUUAAAGCCUCUGCUGCAUGAGAAAGACAACUUCAAUUGCAUCAAAGAAUUUACCACUAUUUUGUGGAAUUACUCACCUCUGUUCCACUGAGAAGCUUUAUCACUCCAUUUCCUUCCAAAACCAGCAUCUUCAUCAACAUUUAUAUGGAGAAAAUGUCACACACCGGAGACUCAUUGACCUACUUCAAGAACCCACAAGGGUUCAAUCAGUCAACACAAUCAAAGCCUUCCAUGCACUCACAAUUACAAUGGGUCCAAACCCUACAGACCCCAUUGUUCUUUACAAUAAUAUCAUCUCAAAGUACGCCUCUUUGGGUGAAGUUGUUACAGCUCGUAAAUUGUUCGACAAAAUGCCGCAAAGAAAUGUUGUGUCGUAUAAUACUAUGAUCAAAGCUUAUAAUCGAAAUGGUAUUUUGGAGGAAGCCUGGAAGUUGUUCUGUGAGCUGAGAAUUUUAGGAUUGAAGCCUACACAAUUCACAUUUGGCGGCAUUUUGUCUUCUGCUUUGAUGAAUCUUGUUCAAGGGUUUCAACUGUUGGCAUUGAUUGUAAAGAGUGGAUUUUUACAUGCUGAUGCAAUUGUUGGUACUGCAUUAUUGGGUGUGUUUGGGAGUCAUGGAUGUUUAGAUGAAGUCACUCGGGUUUUAGAGGACAUGACCAUAAAGAACUUGGUGACAUGGAAUUGUAUGAUAUCUCUGUUUGGGCAGCAAGGAUUUGUUACAGAAUCAACUGAGAUGUUCCUUGAACUCUUGAGAAGUGGAGUGGAAUUGUCUCAAUCAACUUUUGUAGGUGUUUUAGCUGGUUUUACUGGGGAAUUUGACUUGGAACUGGGAGAGCAAAUACAUGGCUUAGUGGUCAAGUAUGGGUUUGAAGACUCAGUUUCAGUGGCUAAUUCUUUGAUUAAUAUGUAUGCCAAGUGUGGGGAGAUGUGCUCAGCGGAGAAAAUGUUUGAGGAGAAUGAUGUUAAGGAUGUUGUAUCAUGGAACACUAUCAUUGGAGCAAUGACAAAAAGUGAUAUGCCAGAUAAAGCAUUUUCAAUCUUUUUGCAAAUGUGUGGAAAUGAAACCUUUCCUAACCAGACGACAUUUGUGAGUGUUCUACACUCCUGCCUUUGCCUGAAGGACCCAUCAUAUGGCAAAUGUAUUCAUGCUAGGAUAAUCAAGAGAAAUUUGGAAUCUGACGUAUAUGUUGGCAGUGCGUUGAUUGACUUCUAUGCAAAACAUGACAUAUUGGAAAUUGCCCUUCUUUGUUUUGACAAAAUAUCUCAUAAGAAUUUGGUUUGUUGGAACUCUUUGAUGGCGGCUUAUUCAAAUAGAAACUCUUCUGUUGCCCUUCUGCUACUCCGAGAAAUGUUUCACUGCAGCUAUCGCCCUAAUGAGUUUUCUUUUUCUAGUGUUGUUAAAUCAUCUGUAGCCCUAGAGGUGCAGCAGCUUCAUUCACUCAUACUAAAGAUGGGCUAUCAUGAUAAUGAGUACGUAUCCAGCUCUCUUAUCUGCUCAUAUGCCAAAAAUGGAUUUAUAGAUGAUGCCUUGAAAUUUGUGGAUGCUAAGAGUACACCAAUUUCUGUAGUCACGUCCAAUGCGAUUGCUGGUAUUUAUAACAGAACCAGGCAGUAUGAAAAGACUCAAGAACUAUAUUCUGCACUUGAGGAACCUGAUAUUGUGUCUUGGAACAUCUUAAUUGCAGCUUGUUCUCGAAAUGGUGAUUAUAGAGAAACUUUUGAUCUUUUUGAUCAUAUGCAGAGAGCUAAGAUAAGACCAGACAAUUACACUUAUGCUAGCCUCUUUAAUAUCUGUACCAAACUUUGCAACCUUGCUUUGGGAAGGUCUCUUCAUGGUCUGGUUUUUAAGACUGAUAUUAAAUGCUGUGACACGUUUGUCUGCAAUGUCAUGAUUGAUAUGUAUGGAAAAUGUGGAAGCCUGGAGUGUUCAUUUAAGAUUUUUAAUGAAAUGACAAACAGGAAUGUUAUUACAUGGACUGCUAUUAUUUCAGCCCUUGGAUUACAUGGUCAUGCUCAUGAAGCACUACAAAAGUUCAAGGAGAUGGAGGCGGAGGGCUUCCUGCCAGAUAAGGUUGCUUUAAUUGCUGUUAUUUCAGCAUGCAGGCAUGUGGGAUUAGUAAAAGAGGGGUUGGAAUUAUUUGAGAAAAUGAAACUGGAGUAUGGAGUUGAACCAGAAAUGGAUCACUACCUCCUGGCCGUUGACUUAUUGGCUAGAUAUGGCAAUCUAAGAGAAGCUGAAGAGUUAAUUGCUGGGAUGCCCUUCCCGCCAAAUGCACUUGUUUGGCGUAGCUUUCUUGAAGGCUGCAAGAGAAAAAGAACCACACAUAAUGUGGCCCUUCUCAUGUAAAUAGCCUUGAGCAAAUGAGUUGACAUUCUACUCUGCUUACACAGAGAUCAGUGUGAGGUAAUUGUAUUAGCAUGCAAGAGGUUGUUUAUAGAAGUCUUGAAGUACUUCAAUAUCACAAAUGGGUCUAAAAUUAUACAAGUCAAAGAUAAUGAGCGUAAAUCCAUAUAUUGGUGAAAUUGAUCUGCCCUCUUCUGGUUGACAGAUUUGACUUUUCUUUAGUUUGUGUCACUGUGUUCCUUUCAGAAUUUGAUCCUUCAGUAAUGAAGUUAGAAGCAAAAUAAGGCUUUGAUCCUCUGCAGUGUUUUGCCUCCUUUUUAUAAACCACUUAUGCAGGACGAAUGCACAUGGUCAUUGAAGGGAGUGCUCUUGCGUCCACUAUACCCUUUCCCUUUUGUUGUUUGUUGAUAUCCUUUGCUUGCAUCCUUGUUCAUUUAGUGUUUGCUUGUUUUUAGUCUUUCUUUUUUUUCGUUUCCAUUUUUUCCAGCCCUCUGAACCUUGGGCCUUUUCUUUUUAAUAAUUUGUUCUAGAAAAUAGUUAUCGUCCUCUUAAAGGCAUGAAAGUUGGAAUUUAUACUUUAUCUUUUGUCCUGUCUAUCCGUUUGACUCACUGAUUUGUUAAUGUUACUGGUGAUGGCAACUCAGAUUUGUUACUGUUGCAGUCAUGAUAAACAAAAUGGUCGCCUCCAAAUGAAAUAUGCUAUCCCAUGACUGCUGGAGGGACAGAGCAAAUCUGAGGAUGAUUAUUGACCACACUGAGUGGUGGGAAGAAAGAAUUUAGUUCUAGCUUAUCACGAGGUUUGGCAGAAAGCACUCCGUUUGUAUUACUAGAUUGGGAAAUAAAUUUGGUCUUUGGACUUGGUAGAUACAAAUCUAUGACAAGCAGUUUGUGAUGCUGAAAGCACUAGUGUGCAAAAUCAUUAUCAGGAUGAUGACAAUAGGAUAGACCAUCUCCUAGCCAUCCCUCAACAGUGUCAUCAAUUUCUGAUAACAAACCAACUAGAAGAUGUCCACUUUGAGUGGCAUCAUUGUGCUUGAAAAUCUUUUAGACUAUUUGGUCUCCUCUGAAUAAUUGAUGGCCUCGUAUUGACUAUUGAAGCCGCCAACUUAUCCUGUCCCGUGUCUGCUUGGUCACCUUUAAGUAGUCCAUUCAAAUUUGGUUACUAUCUUGAACUUCAAAUGUAUUUAGGUAGUCAUUUCUUCAGCAUCUUUGCCAGCAUAACGGAGAUGAAAACAUCAGCCACUUAUCAUGACCAUCAAGGAGUGAGUCAGCGUGAUCUAUGAUGCUUCGCAUUUGUAGUUUAAGCAGAAAAAGUGGAGUCAUAAUUUUCUGGCAACGCUUAUUUCAACGUAUAAGGCUCUUCAUUUAGGUUAAGAAGUCUGCAUGGCAGUUUGUUAUUACAAAUCAAAUUAAAUAAACAGCACACUUGACAUAAAUAUAGAAGUGUCACUAAAUUGCUACUGAAAAAGUGACACUGAGGAUCCGGUACGGUACUCUGGUUCUUUGUGAGGAUUGACAUUGGCCUGGAGUUGGAAAGAAACUUGCACUUUUUCGGUGCUCUUUAUAUCCUAGUAGACAAAUAUAGGUUUCACUAACGGGUAUCCAAGGGGCACUCCCUCAGAGAGGCCUCGAGUGUAAUUAUUUACUAGAGUAUUGUUAAUUUGUAGGGCUAUCAGUCGGGCUUUGUGAGUCAGAUUUUGACAAAUUGAAGCUCACUCACAAAAGAAAUAGAGCCUUUGAAAUUUUGGGCUUUCGCACUCAGAUUCAUAUUAAGACUCAAAUCCUGUUUGAUAACUCGAUUUAUUACUUAAAUCAAAUGGAUUCAGAUCUUAACAUAAUUAGAUGCGUUUAAUAAUAAAAAAUACAAUAUCUGAAUUAAUUAAAGUCACUAAAUUUACUAAUUAAAACUUAUUUCUAAAAAUAAGUGAUAAAUUAUUCACUUAUCACUAAUGUGAUAUAUACUCGAAUAUAUUAUACAUAUUUAGGGUACAUGUGAUAAAACUAAAAUCUAAAAUAUGAAGUUUAAAUUCAAGUUUGAAAAUUGAAAUUUAAAAUAUGAAAUUUGAUGUCUGAAUUCAUUAAAUUACUAAAUUAUUGAGUACAAAAUCUGAUACAUUCGAAUGUAUAUUACAUUAAGUGAUAAGUAAAUAGCUCAUUACUUAAUUUUGAAGCAAGUUUUGCCUAAAAAAUUCAGUGCCAAUUAAUAAAUCCAAAUGUACUAUUUUUUUUGUUAUCAAACGCAUUUGAACAUAUUAAGAUCUGAAUCAAUUAAAUUUAAAUGUUAAAUUGGGUAUCAAACAGGGAUUUAGUACUUAAUAAUUCAGUAAUUUAAUGAAUUCAGAAUUCAAAUUUUAGUUUUCAUAUUUCAAAUUUAUCAAAUGCACCCUUAGUUUGGAGAUUGAGAUUUGGAGAGAAAAGAAGAGAGAAGGAGGAAAAUUCAAAGUUUAAUUUAAAGUUUUUCUUGUUUGGGAGUUUAAGUGGGAAGAAGAGAAAAGAAAGUGGUAGGAAAUGGAGAGAUAGAUUGGUUGAAAAACUUUCCUCUCGAAUAUGGGAAGAAAAGUUUCACUUAACCUUUUAAACAUUUUCAAAAUGCCAACUUUUAUUCAUAAAAUAUUAAGCAAUAAACCAUAAUAUCGAUUGUGUCCAAAAUCAUUCUUCUCGUUCCUAAACUCUCAAUCAACUUGAGAAGAAAAUUAUAUAUUUUCUCUUCUUUUCUUUUACAACUUAUCCUCUCUUUUCUUUUCUCUCCUCUCCUGAACUCCCAAGUUAAGCCGAAAGGAUUCAUACUUGACUCACAAAUUAAUUAGAGCAUCGGGCUUAAAUUAGGUUUGACCAAAGUUCACUAUUAAAUACAUAAUUAUAUAAAACAUAUGUUUAAUAUUUAUGUAUUGUUAUAUGACUAUAUAUAAAUUGUUAAUUUUUUACGUUAUAAUAUACUUAACUAUAAAUUAUACACAUUAUUGUCUAUGUUAUAAAUAUUUAAACAAAUUAUUACUUGGAUCGGAUUUUAACCAGAUCGAGACUAAUAAGGCUCAGGUUUGGCUCACAUUUAAAUUUUACUCUAUAGUUAUACCCAAAUUCUAUUAGACCCAGUUAAGCACGAGAUUUCGCCUUAAUUUCUUCCUAAAUGAGUGGGUUGAAAUCAAACUGAUUCCGUCCCAUUGACAAUCCUAUUAAUUGAGAAAGCGUUUAAAAACUGUGGAUGCAAUAAAUAUGAGGUGUGGAUCUCUAUGUUAAUUUUGACGUAAAUCGGGUGUAUGCUGUCUAGAAAAAUCCUAAAAAUUCUGUUUUAGAGAUAUGGUCUUGAAAUUGAUUGUAAUUUUUAUUACAGAAGAAAUUAUGGCAUAUGCAUAAAUCCUUGCUCAAUCAAUACAAUCUUAAAUUCCUCCAUUUAGGCAAUCUUCGUCCUAACUGAUCAAAACACAAAGGAAACCCCGUUAUAAAAGGUCACCAGGAGUACCUGUUACAUCAAAAUUCACAAUAGUAUUUCAUCUAUUAAGUACGAAAAAAAAAAUGGCUCCUCAUCAUCAAAUAUCCAAAGCAACAACGUUAAUCUUUCUAAUGAUGCUUGCUCUUUGUGCAUUUCCCACGGGCUUGAACGCACGAGUUCUGUUGCAGAAGAAGGAUGGUGAAAUUGACAGCACAACUACGUUUCAGAAAAUGGGCUUUGAUCUCUCGGCUUUGAAGGAGGAGAUGACGAGUGGAAGAUUGUUGAGAGAAGUACCCGGUGGACCAAAUCCUCUCCACAAUAUUGUUCCACCAGUACAAGCACCACCAAAACGAUCAUCAACAAUCUCUUCAGACAACUAGAUGUAUUUGCAAUUAAGGCAUAUAUGCAUGGUUGUGUCUUGCAUGGAUUUGAUGUUCUGAUGCCACUUACUGUAAUGGUCUACAUAUACAUUUAUUCCAAUAAAAUUGUUCCAAAAUUGCAACAAAAUAUGUGUUUGAAUAUCAAUGGCUACCAAUUUUAACUUUUUUUUUUUUUGGCUUUUCCCUAAGUCGUAUCUCCUAAAUAAUCUCAGAUUUUCAGUUGAUAAGUUCAAUUGGUUUGUCAUUGUUCGAUUUGUUUUAAAUGCUUCAAGACAUAAAAAAUUGUUAAGUGCAAUGCUAAUUUUCCACGGAAGUAUAAGGAUGUUGUACUUGUGGGGAUAGCGAGAUAGGUAGUCCAUCAUCACAAGCAAAAUAAAAGGGGUCCGGAUUUUAGACCAGGACUGUCAAUGGGAUCAGGCCAUCUCGAACUCGGCUCAAAAAAAGAUUUGAUGAACCUAACCUUUCAUUGAGUUGGGUUGAGGUUAGACCUAAAUAUUAGGUCCAAAUUAAAUGUGAACUGAAUUUGAACUUUAUUAGACUCAAAUUCGAUAUAAGUCCGACCCUCUAAUCUGCAUCUAUGUAUAAUUAUAUAUAAUAUAUUCAUAUUUUGAUAUAUAUAUAUAUAUAUAUGUGUGUGUGUGUGUGUGUGUGUGUGUGUGUGUGCGUGUGUCAUGUGUGUCAAAAUAUAUUAAUAUAUAAGAAAUAUUAAAUAUACAAAAUUAUAUCAAAAAUUUCAGAAGGAUGAAUUUUAGUACAAGCAAACUGAGGACUUUUGAAAAUGUAAUGACGUUGAUCAUAUUUUAUUAUUAUUUUUCAUGUACUUUGAACUAAUUGGAUAUAUUAUUGUUGAAAAAUUCUUAGUUUAUAUACUUUUUAAUAAACUAUUACUGGUUUGUAUAUAGUUUUAAUAUUGUGGUCCUGUGGAUGUUAAAUUAUCUUUAGAACUUAAUAGGUAUACUAAUUCUAUCAAGUAAAUUAAGGCGCAACACAUGAGUUUGGUUUAAAUCCGAAUUAUGCUCACAUUUAAAUAUUUUGUAAGUUGAAUAUGAAUUUCACAUUUAUCAACUUGAAACUCAUAAUUCGAAACCUGUAAGUGAUACUAACUAUAUGAGUCAAGUCUAAACUGGUUAAAACUCAACUCAGAUGGUCUGAUUGACAAGCUUAUUUUAGAUGCUCAUAAGAAGUGGGUGUGCUUUCGUGCGUCUUUCUGCGGAAGUGUAUGCAAUUUAAGGAUGAAUAAUAAUUAACACAUGGACUUUUUUUUUUUGUUUUUUGGGUGUGAUUAUCGUGUACUUGUCCACCAUCAAAUUAAAAAAAAAAAAAAUCAAAGGAACGAGUUAACACAAGAAAAGGCCCAAUCAUGCCAAGAGAAUGCACUAACACUUCUGAUUUGAAUCCUCAAUCUAUAAUCAAGAGGACAAUGUGUGAUCAAUUUAUCUUUGACAAGUUAAUUACUCCGCAAGAGCUUUUACUGCUCUGAACUCUUGGAAGCCAGAGGGACACUAAGAGCUAGUUUAAAGCUUCUUUUGCGUUAUUUUCCUAAUUGUCGCUCGUCUUCCUCUCUUUUAUCUAUCAGCAAACAUAUAUGAAUGUGGAGGAAUUUGCUGAUAGAUAAAAGAUAAAAAAGAUAUCUAGGGUCGAACCUUUAUCUAAGUUUUUGAUUAAUCAUAGGUAAUACCUUCCUGAAAGACGUGAAAAAAAUGGAUGAAGAUAUUUUAAUCUUAGACGGUAUACGUGCCACAUUCAUUCCCGAAAUUUAGUUGUCUACAUGCAAAUAAAGGGUCUGUCUAAUGGAUGUUUAACAAGCACUUAGAUAUUAGAUUUUUAAAAGUGUAAGAUUAAUUAGAAAAAUUAUAUAAAUGUAAGAAAAAGUAAUAAUUGUUAGUGUAUACAUGGUACUAAUAAUUGUUAGCAAUAAUUGUUAGUACCUAUAUACAUAGUUGUUAGUAAUAAUUGUUAGAAGAACGCUAAAAAAUAAUUUACCAGCCUUUAUUUAUUUUUUCCAUGUAAGUGAAAACGGCAAGUUAAAUGUAUAUUGCCAUGUAUUAUAAGAAGGUAAGUGACACGUUAUUAUCAUCCAUAGAAGGAAUAAAAUGUGUUGUAGAUGAAAUUGACAUACAGUCCACUAAAUCUUGUUAAUCAAUGUCACUGAACAUGGACAAUCCGCUUUUCCCUUUUGGCCAAGUCUCAUCAAUUCGGCAUUAAAAAUGAAUCAAAAACAAAUCAAGAAAUGACCCCUAUAUAAAGGACCACCACCAUCCUCACAUCACUGCACAAUAGUUGAUAGUUGACUACUCUUGAUAGGUAAAGCAAAAAAAAAAAAAAAAAAGGCUGUUAAAAUGAGUUGGAAAGCAACCAUUUUAAUCUUUUUCAUGAUGUUAAAUUUCUGGGGAUUUCUCAUGAGUUGCAAUGCAAGAAUUAUUGAUGAGAAUUAUCGCUCAGUUGAUAGCAAAACUCUGUUUCAUAAGCUGGGCUAUGAUGUCGCUGAAUACCAGAAGAAGAAUGCCCGAUUGUUGAGAGAAGCACCGGGCGGACCUGAUCCUCAUCACCAUGCCACCCCACCACAGCCACCAACCAUAUGAUAGAUGUCUUUGAUGUAUGUAUAAAGUAUUCAAGGCUGCAGGCAUAUGUUUGAUCUUUAGAUCCCUUGUAAUAUUAAUACUUAGUGGAACUGAAAUUCCCAAUUCAAUAAAAAAAAAAGAGAAAAAAAUCUAUGAGAUGACUAAUUAGAUCAAUCCAUGAAGCCUUCAGAUCAUUUCAAAUAUAUGUUGAGAAUCGAAGUCAAGAAAUUUUGAACUAACUAUAGGUUUGAUGGUGCGCAAUAUUAGCUAAACAUGAUUAUAAGUUUCUCAAAUCUAGACAACUAGGCAUAAAAACUACUCUCUUUUUCUUUUUCUUUUUUUUGGUUCAAGAGGAUACUUCAAACCUUACAAAGGAGGAAAGGGAAGUGGCACUUUAAUUUUGCAAAACGAAGAUCUUUAUUACCUACAGGGCAUCUGGUGUCUCCAAUUGGAUGGUUUGGAAUUCCUGCGUUCCUCAAUUCUGUGUCCAAGUUAUGCCAAAUAUAACGGGGAUUAUGGAGAAAACAAAAUUUUUAUGCUAUAAUGGAAAAGAAAAUUUAAGGAAGCAAAAUGAGCACCCAAUUUUACCCAGUACUAAUUGAGCUAUUGAACAAUAAAAGUAGAGACCAAAUUAAGAGAUUUAUAUAGAUUAAAGCCCAAAAGCGCAAGCAAAAUGUCAUGUGAAGCAACAGUAAUAAACUCUGUACAUGAACCAUGGUUCUUCAAUGAAAGUCACAGGCCUAUGUAUCUUUUGAGAGAUAGUUCUUUGUUUCCAAUAUUUUAUCAUCAAGUUAAGUACGUGCAAAUAUGAUCUAUGCAAACGGGUUAAGAUAUCCCAUGUAUGAUCUGAUCUAGAACUCCAUACUAGUGUCAAUUGUUGCAUGUUUGCCGUUGAAUUUUCUUAAAGAUCUGCAUAAAUGGCCUCUUACAAACUAUUAGAUUAGGACUCUGAAAUUCUAUUAAAGUAAUUUAAUUAAGGGUAAAUUACUUAUAAUCUCCUGCGAUUUUACAUAAUGUCAGAUGACCCCCUAUGGUUUCAAAAUAGCCACAUAUCCUCUCUAUGGUUUUUUGUAAAGUAGAAAAUGGAUGGAAUGCACAAUCACUUACACUGUUUAUACCAAACGCGCUCUAAAAGCACGUGUGGUAAAAUUUUAAUCUGCAUGUAAUUCCUUCAUGGUUUGUAUAAAUAUCCACUUUACUCUAUUUUGAAUUUUGCAUUUAUCCAUGUAAUCCCCUUAUACUUUUAUAAAAAAUAGUUGAUUGUCAAUAGAUUUGGCGUUUAAAUAAGGGUACUAUUGAUAUUUUAAUUAACGACAUUACAUAGGUUAUUUUCUAUCAACUUUUCACUUUAUAUAAAAUCAUAAGUGAGUGAAAUGGAUAUUUUGAAAUAUUAGAGGGGCCAUGUAGCAAUAAACGAAACCAUAGAGAGCGUUAUAUGUUAUUUACCCUGUAAUUGAUGGCCAUGACUACGUCGAAGUUGGAUGCUUCAAAAUAUAAGACACGAUAAUAGUCGUUAACAAGUUUCUGUUUGAUCAAUUUUUCCCCUUUGCUCACUCAUGUUCUUGGUUUUUUUUUCUUCUCAAAUUUGAUGAAAAUAAAGGUGAAGCAAUAUCUUUGUGAGUUAGAACGCCACCUUGCAAAUCCUAUAGGCAGGUUUUUUGUUUUUUCAAUUUAAAAAGUUAUUCUAAAUCUUACAAUGAUGAUAAUAAAAAAAAAUUGAAAAGUUCAAAUAAAGUCCUCACGAUCGUUGCAAAUCAUAUAUAUAUAUAUAAAGGAGUUGUUGCUUGAAUGUUGGAUAAUUUUCAUUUGCCCUUUUCGAGGGUCAAGUUAGGUAAUGCAGCACGAGUGUACAAGUCAUUAACGGUAUAGUACUAGCAUUGUAUGUUCAUUGGUGUGUGCAUUACCCACUUUACCCUUAGUGGGUUGAUGCUUACACUUCCGAUGUGUAGCUAUUCAGCUGUUGUUUCAGCUUUGCGCUUCUAAGUAGCCAUUACCAUUGAUUUGUAAUUGCUGCUAAUCAUCAUGCAAGUCAUUGAGUUUCUGCAAAGAGAUCUAGGGGUUACAUUGAAUAAUUGGAGCAUCAUCACGCGCACAUGAAUGCAUUGAGAAAAACAUUAACUCAAUCCUUUAUAGUGGAAGUGUAACUGCUGGCUUUUUCUCUUCUAAAUUUUUCACAAAAUGAAUUCAGCAGAUGUAAAGAGUUGGAUCAUUAGAGUGAGCAAUUAUGGUUUCUUUAUUACAAUAGUAAUGGAUGGAAGAUGAGGGACCUGUUGGAAACGUCUGAAUAGAAACUGAAAGAUUUUUGCUUUUCUGAAGCAUUUGUUAAGUAGUUUUUUUUAACAACCCGAAUAAUGAAGGACAUUAACACAGAGUACGGUUGCAUGAGUUGCUUAAACUCUAUAUUACCAAGGUGGUCCUUGAAGAGGCAAGGUUUCUUGCACUAUGUUUUUCAGGUAGAUACUAUCUCUGUAUAUAUCGAAUUCCUGAAUGAAACAGUGACAAUAUUGUGCAGUUUAAAAUUGGUAAUUAUAUUUGUAACUGUAUUAUUGAAUUUUCAUGUUUGCCAGCAACUGAGGUACACCUGUGAGGCAAGGGAUUUGUCCAGCAGCAGCUUUCUGAUCAAGGUACUUCCUAAAACAAUUGUUCCAGUUAAUUAAUGCAUUAUUGGUGUUCAUGCGUUUGCUGUACUAGAAUUACAAUUGUGUUCAGCAACUGUUUUAUGCAAUUUAGACUUGCUAAUUAGUCUUAUAUUGUCCUUUUCAACUUAUCUGCAAGCCUAUAUGUCAGUUAAAUUGCAGUAGUUAUGGUAGGGGAAACAUAAAUAGGCACUAAUUAACAAAAGCACACCAAACAUUCCUAAAUAUCUAAGCAUGUGAUAGUUUUAUGGCUAGGGGCUCCUGUUUGUUGAUUAUUUGAGGAGAAAUAAGUUACAAUUUGAAAUAGUUCAAUCUUAGAAUAAAGGAUUUACAAAUAGUUGUAUGAUUUUCUUUCUAAUCAUUACAAUUGAAAGGACAAAAGUGAUUCAAUUUUUUUUUUAUAAAUGUUUUCACAGUAAAUUUUGUAAAAAUUCUUACUGACUUAUGAUUAUGUGAUUAAAUGACCAUUUGGUUACUUUUACAUUUCUCCACUUAAACAAAUUAGUGUUUUUUAUUCUAUUUGUACAUUUAAAAAUCACUACACUUUUUCAUUUUCUUAUGAUAUUGAUAGUAUUUUUUACUUUCUUAAUCUCCUGAUACAUCACAAAUUAUAACAUUGGUACUCACUCCUGCGCAUUGCACAGUCUUUUCCCCUAGUUGACUCAUAUAUCUACCAGUUAAUUAGUGAUUUUGGGAAUGUAGGCAUAAUCUCUAGUUCCUAUCCUGGAUUUUGGAAACAAUAAUGGCUCCAAGACAAGUCUCGAUUUUCUUCAACAGGAGAAUCCAAGGGAAGACCCAAUUAUACCGAAGAAAUGCACUUACACUCCUAGUUUGAAUCCUGAAUCGAUAACCAAGAAGGCAAUUCGCGAUCUAGCCAUCUUUGACAAGUUGAUUAUUGUCGGUUCUUAUUACUCUGCAAUCCAAUUACACUAAAGGAAUGCACUAACACUCGUGGUUUGAACCCUCUAUCUAUAAUCAAGAAUGCAAGUUAUGGCCAACUUAUAUUUGACAAGUUGAUUAUCGUGAUUCUCAUUACUCCGCAGGAACUUUUACGGCUCUAUACUUUCGAAGCGAAAGGGACACUAAGAGCUAGUUUUAAGCUUCUUUUGCAUUGUUUUUCUAUUUGUCAGUAAUCUUCAUCUCUUUUAUAAAUCAAAAACAUAUAUAAACGUGGAGGAAUUGGUGUGCAUGGUCAAUAUAUCAUGUGACAUGCUAAUUUUAAGAUAUCUAGGGUCGACCUUUAUUUAAGAUUUUGGUUAAUCAUAGGUAAUACCUUCUAAGGUUUAGUGUAUUUCAUUUAAACCGUUUGGUUAUUUAAACUCAUAAAAGGAAUUGUAACCCUGUUUUAGGUUAUUUGUCAGCUUACCCUUGGUAUUAGUUUUUAGGCAAUGCACCUCUUCAUUGAUAAUAAGGUAAUUGUGAUAUUAAAACAGCUAAAAUACAAAGGUGUACCCGCAUCAUUAUAAUUUCUUUUUUUUUUUUCUUUUAAAUACCUUAGUCCACGUUAAAGCAUAUGCUAUAUUGAAAAGAAAAAUACGAAAGUUAACACAUGUCAAACUUUUCUUUUAAUUUAUAGUGUUUAAAGUUAAAAGCGCCGUUGCCGUAAUAGUAAUUCAAAGGUUUUGAGUGAUAAAAAAAAUAUAACAUAAGAGCCUAAAGCAUGCCUUUCAUUCUUAAUAAAUUUCGAAUUUCAAUGUAGUAAAAGUUCUGUACAGUGGCUUGGAUAAGUUAUUUGGAUAUUUUUAACACACAACACAAAAUAAUUCUCCUUAACGAGAUUCCAUCUGUUUUACAUUUUAAUGGAAGAAAUCAGUGCAUUGAGUUUUUUAGGUCCCACCAUCCUUGUACAAUACAUAUUUUCUUGGAAAACAUGAGAAUAAUGGAUGAAGACAUUUUAACCUAGACAGUAUACGUGUCAUAUUCAUUCCCUAAAUUUAGUUGUGUACAUGUAAAAUAAAGGAUUUAUCUAAUGGGUGCUCAAUGGGCACUCGUUAAAAUAUAUUUCAGAUAUUAAAUUUUUAGAAAUGUAAGACUAAUUAGGAAAAAUAUAGGAAAAAUCGUCCAAAACGUCCCUCACAUUUUGUAAAAUAACUUUUUUCGUCUCUCACUUUUAAAAGUGUAAUUUUAUGUCCUUUACAUAUUCAUAUCGGUCAAAUUUAGUCCCUAACUAGAUUUCCAAUCAUUUUUUGGCCGGAAUCUAUCAUGUGCAAGGCACGUGAUCAUUUUUGAAGGGUAAAUUUAUCAAAUUAUAUUUUACAUAAUCUGAUCUAUAGUCCUCCACAUUUUAUAAAAUAAAUUUUUCGUCCCUCACAUUUUAUAAAAUGAUUUUUUUUUCAUCCCUCACAUUUCACAAAAUGAAUUUCUCCAUCCCUCACAUUUCAAAAAAUGAAAUUUUCAUUUCUCACUAAUUAUGUGUGUGAAUACAUUUUUUUUAAACACAUGUAUAUGUCUAUUUGAUUUUGCUUAAUAAUAAUAGCAUAAACACAUGUAUGUAAUUGGGCCCAACUUGUGGACUAUCUUCUCUUCUUGUAUGAUUAUGACUAAUAUUUACCAAUAGAACCUUAAUUUGCAUAUUCUUAUUGUAUUUUGACCGAAAAUAGUUUUAUUGGCCAACUUGACAAUGAAUGCAAGAUUUUUUACUAGCUAAUACCAGAUGAAAUCAAAUGAUCACGUAUAAUAUAUGGUAUUCGUAUUGUUAAGUGAAAUCAAAUAGACACAUACAUAUAUUUAUGCUAUUCGUAUUAUUAAGCAAAAUCAAAUAGAUAUAUACAUGUGUUUAAACAAAAUGUAUUCACACACUUUUUUUUUAGGGUUUCCCUCACACACAUAAUUAGUGAGGGUUGGAAAUAUUCAUUUAUUGAAAUGUGAGGGAUGGAGAAAUUUAUUUUGUGAAAUGUGAGGGAUGAAAAAAAUCAUUUUAUAAAAUGUGAAGGACGAAAAAUUUGUUUUAUAAAAUGUGGAGAACUAUAGAUUAGAUUAUGUAAAAUAUAAUUUGACAAAUUUACCCUUCAAAAAUGAUCACGUGCCUUGCACGUGAUGGAUUCCGGCAAAAAAAUGAUCGGAAAUCUAGUUAGGGACUAAAUUUGAUCGAUGUGAAUAUGUAAGGGACAUAAAAUUACAUUUUUGAAAGCGAGGAACGAAAAAAGUCAUUUUACAAAAUAUGAGGAACAUUUUGGACGAUUUUCCCAAAAAUAUAUGAAUGUAAAGAAAAGUAAUAAUCGUUAGUAUGUACAUGGUAGUAAUAAUUAUUAGUACGUACAGACAUGAUAGGAUGUGGAAUUUAAGUGUGUUAAUAAAAAACGUUAAAAAAUAAUUUACCAGCCUUUAUUUUUUUUCCAUGUAAGUGAAAAUGACAAUUCAAAUGUACAUGGCCAUAUAUUGUAAGAAGGUAAGUGACACGUUAUUAUCUUCCGUAAAAGGUAUAAAAUCUUGUGUAGAUGAAAUUGACAUCCAGUCCACUAAAUCUUGUUACUCAAUGUCACUAAACAGGACAAUCCGCUUUUCCAUUUUGGCUAAGACUCAUCAAUUCGGCAUUAAAUAUGAAUCAACAAUAAAUCAAGAAAUGACCCCUAUAUAAAGGACCGCUACCAACCUCACAUCACUGCACAAUAGUUGAUAGUUGACUCUUGAUAGGUAAAGCAAGAAAAAUGGCUGUUAAAAUGAGUUGGAAAGCAACCAUUUUGAUCUUUUUCAUGAUGUUAAAUUUCUGGGGAUUUCUCAUGAGUUGCAAUGCAAGAAUUAUUGUUGAGAAUAAUCGCUCAGUUGAUAGCAAAUCUCUGUUUCAUAAGCUGGGCUAUGAUGUCGCUGAAUACCAGAAGAAGAAUGCCCGAUUGUUGAGACAAGCACCGGGCGGACCUGAUCCUCAUCACCAUGCCACCCCACCACAGCCACCAACCAUAUGAUAGAUGUCUUUGAUGUAUGUAUAAAGUAUUCAAGGCUGCAGGCAUAUGUUUGAUCUUUAGAUCGCUUGUAAUAGUAAUACUUAGUGGAACUGAAAUUUCCAAUUCAAUAAAAAAAAAAAAGAGAAAAAAAAUCUAUGAGAUGACUAAUUAGAUCAAUCCAUGAAGCCUUCAGAUCAUUUCAAAUAUAUGUUGAGAAUCGAAGUCAAGAAAUUUUGAAGUUACUAUAGAUUUGAUGGUGCGCAAUAUAGUUAAACAUGAUUAUAAGUUUCUCAAAUCUAGACAACUAGGCAUAAAAACUACUCUUCAAGAGGAGACUUCAACCCUUACAUAGGAGGAAGGGGCAGUGGCACUUAAUUUUCCAAAAUGAAGAUCUUUAUUACUUACAGGGCAUCUGGUGUCUCGAAUUGGGUGGUUUGGAAUUCCUGGUUUCCUCAAUUCUGUGUCCAAGUAAUGCGAAAUAUAAAGGGAUUAUGGAGAAAACAAAAUUUUUAUGCUAUAAUGGAAAAGAAAGUUUAAGGAAGCAAAAUGAGCACCCAAUUUUACCCAGUACUAAUUGAGCUAUUCAACAAUAAAAGUAGAGACUAAAUUAAGAGAUUUAUAUAGGUUAAUGGGCAAAAGCUCAAGCAAAAUGUCAUAUGAAGCAACAAUAACAAACUCUAUACAUGAACCAUGGUUCUUCAAUGAAAGUCACAGGCCUAUGUAUCUUUUGAGAGGUAUAGUCCUUUGUUUCCAAUAUUUUAUCAUCAAGUUAUGUACGUGCAAAUAUGAUCUAUGCAAACCGGUUAAGAUAUCCCAUGUAUGAUUUGAUCUAGAACUCCAUACUAGUGUCAAUUGUUGCAUGUUUGCCGUUGAAUUUUCUUAAAGAUCUGCAUAAAUGGCUUCUUACAAACUAUUAGAUUAAGCCUCUGAAAUUCUAUUAAAGUAAUUUAAUUAAGGAUAAAUUACUUAUAACCUCCUGUGAUUUUAUAUAAUGCCAAAUGACCCCUAUAUGGUUACGAAAUAGCCACAAUACCCCUCUAUGGUUUUAUGUAAAGUAAAAAAUAGAUGGAAUGCACAAUCACUUACACUGUUUAUACCAAAUGCACUCUAAAAGCAUGUGUGGUACAAUCUUAAUCUGCAUGUAACCCUCUUAUGAUUUAUAUAAAUAUCCACUUUAUCUUUUUGUGAAUUUUGCAUUUAUCCAUAUAAUCCCCAUAUACUUUUAUAAAAGUAGUUAGGCUGGUCGAUUGAUUUGGUAUGUAAAUAAGGGUACUAUUGGUAUUUUAAUUAACGACGUUAUAUAGGAUAUUUUCUUUCAAGUUUUCACUUUAUAAAAAAUCAUAGGUGAUUGAAUAUUUUGAAAUAUUAGAGGGGUCAUAUGGCAAUAAAUGAAACUAUAGAGAGGGUUAUAUGUUAUUUACCCUUUAAUUGAUGACCAUGACUACGUAGAAGUUGGAUGCUUCAAAAUUAGGACAUGAUAAUAAUAGUUAAUAAGUUUCUGUUUGAUCAAUUUCCCCCCCCCCCCCUUGGUCACUCAUGUUCUUGGUUUUUCUUUAAUUUGAUGAAAAUAAAGGUGAAGCAAUAUUUUUGUGAGUUAGAACGCCACCUUGCAAGUCCUAUAGGCAGGGUUUUUUGUUAAAAUUUUUAAAUUUAAAAAGAGAUUCUAAAUCUUACAACGAUGAUAAUAAAAAAUAAAAAAUUGAAGAGUCGAAAUAAAUUCCUCACGAUGGCUUUGAAUUGACUCAUAUAUCUACCAAUUAAUUAGUGAUUUUGGCAAUGUAGGUGUAAUCUUCAGUUCCUAUACUGGAUUUUGGAAACAAUGGCUCCAAGACAAGUCUCGGUUUUCUUCAACAGGAGAAUCCAAGGGAAGACCCAAUUAUACCGAAGAAAUGCACUUACACUCCUAGUUUGAAUCCUCUAUCGAUAAUCAAGAAGGCAAUUCGCGAUCUAGUUAUCUUUGACAAGUUGAUUAUUGUCGGUUCUUUUUACUCUGCAAUCCAAUUAUAUUAAGGGAAUGUACUAACAAUCAUGGUUUGAACCUUCUGUCUAUAAUCAAGAAUGCAAUUCAUGGCGAACUUAUAUUUGACAAGUUGAUCAAGAAUCAUUACUCUUUUGACAAAAAAAGGGUUUAGAAUAUUCCUUUUCUUGUGUCGAAAACUAGAAAGACGAAUAAUCUCUUCAAGAAGAGAUUGUUUGUUUCCUAUAUGUCCCUUCUCUUACCCGAUUACUUUUGUCAGGUAUCUAACAAUGUUUUCAGAACCGGACCGGUGGUUGUUCAAGAACCGGUCAAAACCGUCCAAUCCGGUAAACUGGGUCAAACCGCUAAUCUCCGGUUUUUUAGUUUUCCUUCAAUGUUUUUUUUUUUAAGUUUUGCAAAAUGUGGCUAGUAAGGAUUGAACUCAAGACCUUUACUGACCAAUAGAGUAACCAUUGCUCCAUCAUAUCCAUUUAGUCUCUUGUUUUACCACAUUUAUAUAAAAUAAAUUUCCAUUUUUCUUUCCUCCGUUUUCCCUAUAAAAUCUCAUGCUCUCAUAACUUUUUGUUUAUAAUUUUCAACUCUCUCUCUCUCCUCUUUUCUUUUGUCACCCCUUUUUAAUCAAACAUCUUUAGUUUUAAUUUAUUGAUAUUUUCUUCCAUCUUUUAAUUUUGUUUUUGUCUAUUAAAUUGAAUUUUUUUUAAAAAUAAUUGUUUUUCUUUAACCAUAAAACCUAAUUAUUAAAUGCCACAAUCACUCACUUUCAUCUCAUUUUUUUGCUUCUUAUCAAGUUUGCAUCUCUAUUUUCAAUUCUCCUGACUUCUUCCAAACUCCACACUUCAAACUUUUUUUUAAGAUGUAAUCUCUAAAUCCCAAAAAUGUGAAUUAAAAUUUGAACUCAUAAUGUCUAAUUCCCAUAGAUGUGAAUUUUGUAUAAUUUUAAAAUAUUGUGAUAUUGUUGGGUGGGAUUUAAGAUUAUUUUUUUGGUAAAUAUAAUUGAGAUUGAGAUGAAAUUUACUUGUUUCAACUUACAAUUUAAAAAAUUUAUUUUUGAAAAUCCAAGUUUUUUUAAAAUAUUAAACUUUUCAUCAUAUAAAGUCUUAAAUUAGUCCAUUGCAUGUCUUAUUUUGUGCAUAUAUAUAUUUAUAUAAAUUAUUUUUAAAAAAUUCAUUGAACUAGAGUUGAACCGGUUCGAUCGGUUGUCCGACCGGUUGAAUCUUGACUCGAACACUUCACCGGUUCAAUUAACGGUCCGAGUUUUAAAACAUUGGUAUCUAAUUCAAUUGGAUUCUAUUUAGGAUCUAAAACUAUUGAUCCGUUUUAUAACAUUGAAAUCGGGCAAUAGUAACAUAGUCCCGUCGCCCCAAUUUGACUAAAAAAAAUAAAGAAAUAGGGUGAAAGUAAAAUAGGAUUUUUAAUACCAUGACUAGCAAUGUGACAAAAGAAAUUCCCAGCAUCUCGUAGAAAAAGUAUAAAUAAGCAACCGCAAGUCUCUGCAAAAGCUUUUACCGCUCUAUACUUUGGAAGCGAAGGGACACUAAGAGCUUGUUUUAAGCUUCUUUUGCGUUAUGUUUCUAAUUGUAAGUAAUCUUCAUCUCUUUUAUAUAUCAGCAAACAAAUAUAAAUAUGGAGGAAUUGGUGUACAUGGUCAAUAUACCAUGUGACAUGCUAAUUUUAAGAUAUCUAGGGUCGAUCUUUAUUUAAGUUUUUGGUUAAUCAUAGGUAAUGCCUUCUAAGGUUUAGUGUAUUUCAUUUAAACCGUUUGGUUAUUUAAACUCAUAAAAGGAACUGUGACUAUGUUUUAGGUUAUUCUUCAACUUACCCUUGGUAUUAGUUUUUAGGCAAUUGACCUCUUCAUUCAUAAUAAGGUAAUUGUGAUAUUAAAAUAGCUAAAAUACAAAGGUGUACCCGCAUCAUUAUAAUUUCUUUUUUUCUUUUAAAUACCUUAGUCCACGUUAAACCAUAUGCUAUAUUGAAAAGAAAAAGAAAAAAGUAUGAAAGUUAACACAUGUCAAACUUUUCUUUUAAUUUAUAGGGUUUAAAGUUAAAAGCACCGUUGCCAUAAUAGUAAUUCAAAGGUUUUGAGUGAAAAAAAUAAUAAUAUAAAAGCCUAAAGCAUGCCUUUCAUUCUUAAUAUGAAAAUUUCCAAUUUCAAUGUAGUAAAAGUACUGUUCAGUGGCUUGGAUUAGUUAUUUGGAUACUUUUAAUACACAACACAAAGUAAUUCUCCUUAAUGAGUUUCCAUCUAUUUUACAUUUUAAUGGAAAUCAGUGUAUUGAUUUCUAAAGGUCCUGCCAUCCUUGUACAAAACAUAUUUUCUUGGAAAACAUGAGAAUAAUGGAUGAAGACAUUUUAACCUAGGUGUAGACAAUGGAAUUUUAAUUAAUUCUUAAAAUUACCAUUGGUCUAUAAAUUAUUUUUACAGCUUAUUUUUAUCCAAUCGGAUAUUGCCAUAUGUCAUGUACACUUGGAAGUUUGGCUAUUCGUCAGCCAAUUAUAUCUCUCCACAUGUCAAGAUGAGGUGUUGCGGCCAAUUAAAAUUGCCAGGAUAUCCCUAUCAAUUAAAUUACGCCACAUCACAUGUCUAUAUGAUUAGACAAAAUUAUGGAUAAAUAUCUAAAUAAUUAUUUCUUUAUUAAAGGGAUAAUAUCUGGAGUUAUUUAAUCCAUGUAGAUGUCUUAUAUACUGCAAUAACUUAUCCAAUCAAAUGGCGCCGUGUCAUAAGUCCCUACAAGUUUGGCCAAUCAAGAGACUACUUAUUAGUAUUAUCUCUUUAUUAAUAAAUAUAAAAUAAAGAGAUAAUAUUUAAAUUGGUACAGUCCUAAUAUGACGGCACGUCUUGUAAGACAAGUAGAGUGGUAUACAUAUUUUUCACUUCUACCUCUUGCUACAGCUAUAAAUAGGGGUCUCUUAACCAAAUCAAGGGGACACCAAGAGGCAUCUCAUACGCUCAAGCAUUGAAGCUCCAAGUUACAAAGGUUUGGAUCUUCAAGCUCUCCAAGUCUUCCAUAUAUCAAGACUUCAGCCUUCAAAUAUCUUCUAAAGUUCUUCAAAUAUUUCAUAUCAAGAUUUGAAAGAAUCGAUGGUGGAUUCAAGAACAAGUUGCGAAGCUCUUGGAUUGGCGUUCGAGGAGAAGAAUCGAAGGAAACUCUCUACAAGUUCGAGAAAAUUUUGAAAAUUGUAGUCACAUAUUUCCUUAAAUUUAUAUAUUACAUAUUUGUCGUGUAUUUUUCUUGUCAUUUUACAGACAGAAAUUUUAUUGCGUACAAAUUUUUGGCACGUCCGGUGGGAAUUUCUGCCUUCCAUCUCUUCUUGUCGAAUAUUCAACUACAUAUAUCACCAAUGGCACCAAAGAACAACAAGUCCAUAACUGCUCGUUCCAAAGCAAUUAAUGCCAAACCUGUUCAGAAAACUACACAUGUUACCAUCAAUACUCGCGCUAUUGGUCUUGUGAUAAGGAGUAUGACGAGAACUUCCACCCAAAGUAGCAUGGAAGCUCCAUCGGCAUUAACUCCCAUCUUUGGUUCAACAUCACCAAUGAGCUAUUUUUUCACGAUGGGGAUCAAAGACAUUCCUACCUCGAUUGAGAAGGCUCUUGCCAUGUUCAAAUUUGGAUCCGAAUCCAAAUUUUCUAAGUAUGAUGAUGAUUCAUCAAGCACUGGAUCAGCCUCUUCACAUGAAACUCUUCAAUCAAGGUUUUUUAUUGAAGAUUUUGCUGUUUCUUCUGCUGCAGUGCCUGCUAUGAUAAGAAACAUUUUAAAUCUCGAAAAACAAGUUUCGAACAUGUCCAAGAUGAUGGAGACAAUGAUGAAAUACAUCAAGGACCAAGAUGUUCUUAUCGCUCAACUGCUCACCCAGAAAGAUCACGCUCCUAAAGGAAGCUAUGUAAAUCCGAAGGAGCACCAAGAGCGUGAAAUUCGCUUAUCUAAAGGCAAGGACAAGGUGAAGGAAGUAUAUGUGACCGUCGAGAGAACUAUCCCUGUAGAACAACUAAAGGAAUUUGUUGAAGACGUGAUUAAAGACAAAAAGGAGGGUGAUUCAAAGUCAAGAUUUACCUACUCCAAACCUUACACUGCUAGAAUUGAUAACCUCUUAAUGCCUGCUGGAUAUCAACCGCCUAAGUUUCAACAGUUUGAUGGAAAAGACAGUCCAAAACAACAUGUGGUCCAUUUCACUGAGACCUGUAAUAAUGCUGGAACUUAUGAUGACCUACUAGUCAAACAGUUUGUUCGAUCUUUGAAGGGCAACGCAUUUCAUUGGUACACUGAUCUCACACUAGAGUCCAUCGACAGUUGGGAACAGUUGGAGCAAGAGUUCUUCAAUCACUUCUACAGCACUAGAAGAACCAUUAGUAUAUUGGAAUUGACUAACACUCGCCAAUGGAAAGUUGAACCCAUGGUCAACUACAUCGAUUGAUGGAGAAGUUUAAGUCUUAACUGUAAAGAUAGACUGUCUGAACUCUCUGCCAUAGAAAUGUGCAUCCGAGGAAUGCAUUGGAACUUAAGUUACAUUCUACAAGGUAUACGUCCAAACACAUUUGAAGAAUUAGCUACUCAUGCGCAUGAUAUGAAAUUAAGCAUCACAACCAAUGUAACUGAUGAGAUUCUUAUUCAAGCUCCGCGAGUACAACUGCCCCGUCAAAGCAAUGAAAGACAAGAAAAUAAAAAAGGGGGCAAAUUUCCUCCAAAACUCAGAUAUAACGAGUCCACGGCAAUAAACACGGCUCCCAUGAAAAUUGAUAUUAAUGUAAGCCAAAAGGUCACCGAAAAGUUAGACUCUUCUCAAAAUAAGUCGAUAAGAAGAUCCACUUUAAAAGAAAUGUAAGAAAAAAAAUAUCCCUUCAUUAAAUCUGAUUUACAAGGGAUGUUUGAUGAUCUUUUCAAGGAGAAACUCUUUGAACUUUCCGACAUGAAUCACCCAGAAGAAAUCGGUCAAAUUAAUGAUCCAAAUUAUUGCUAUUAUCAUCGCUUGAUUGACCAUCCUCUCACUAAAUAUUUUGUCUUUAAAGACAAAAUUAUAAAAUUAACCCGUCAAGGAAAAAUCCUUCUCGAGGAGGAUAAAGUAUCGACAAACCAAACAACAAUAAUGUUUGGGUCUGUGUGCUGCUUGAUAGAAGUUCUAUCCACAUCAAGCAGUGCUUUGUCUGUAAAAAAGGAGUUUGAAAAACCUUCAAUUGAAAAUGUUAUUAAAGAUGAUAAUGAAAGAUGGAUUUUAGUCACUCGAAAGGGGACUCUCAAGCCAAAGAUUAAAAAAAAAUAUCUUUUCAAAAAACAUUGGUUCGACAAAAGCUAAAAUGACAAAAAAACAAUGAAAUGCAAUAAAGAAACAAAAAGGAAUGGCCACGACACCAAUUCCUUCAAAUCUUCAGCUUCUUCAAGAGGUCGACAAUCUGUGACACUGAAAGAAUUUAUGCCCAAUGGAUAUUUAAGUGGCGAUGAUGAUAAUUCUAUUUCUUGUAAUGUCAUCAAAGUUGAAAAUCCUCAAAUCGCACGAAUUAGCACUGAAUUUGAGAAAAAACUCAAAAUCGAUGAUAAAUCACCGAUGGAUUGUGCAACGACUCUCAUUUUUUUAUGAUGACGAUUUAACAGUUGAUUUUAAAAUCUAUAAUCGACCUAUAUUUAUUAGUGCAUAUGUUCGAGAACAGAAGAUGAAUCGGAUACUUAUUGAUGGAGGAUCUGCUAUCAAUAUCAUAUCCGUACGUGCUAUGAAAGAACUAGAAAUUCAAACGAUGAACUCUUCCAGAGCCUCCUCAUGAUCCAAGAAUUUAACCAAGGGGGGCAAAGAAUAAUUGGCCUCAUAAGACCUGAAUUGCUUAUUGGUGAAUUGUUUUUAAGAGCGUUAUUUCAUUUUAUUUACGUCAAAACCUCUUAUAACAUGCUUUUGGGAAGACUCUAGAUUCAUGAGAAUAAAAUUAUACCGUCUACUCUUCAUCAAUAUUUCAAAUAUUGUCAAGACGGUAUAGUUAAGAGAGUUACUGUCGAUGAUAAACCUUUCACUGAGGCCGAAACUCACUUUGCCGACGCUAAAUUUUGUCUUAAAAAAGAAGCAAAAAAAAAAAAGAAGCAGUAAGAGAAGAAAGUCAAAAUUUCAAAGUACUCAUUUUACGUUAUAUUCCAAAAUCAAAGAGAGAAGAAGGUCAGUCUUCUUUUAUCAAAAAUGACGCAUUAAAUGUUUCGCUUAUCAAAAUAGAGCCUGUUAAAAAUGAGAAAGCGAACUUGCAAGGAUUUGAUCGUCUCAAAGAAGAACCUGUAGUGAAACAUUACUUACUACCAACUAAAUGGAUUCAAGAAGGUUUUGAUCCAAACGCAUAUAGACUUCUUGUUAGGGUGGAUUAUAACCCAAAUGAGAAGAAUAUAUUUGGCAAAUUUCCUCCUGAAGUGACAGGCAAGAAGACUCAUGGAUUGACGUCUACGCAGAAAAUAUUGAAAGAAAAAGGCUAUAAUGUUAAAAAUUCAUCGAUGGGUCUUGGUUAUCAACUGUCUUCUCCUGUUCGUAUAAUGAUCAAAAGGACAAGUUGUAACUAUGUGAACGAAGAAAUGGAGGUCACAAGCCGAAAGAGGUCUGUUUUCGAUAGAUUGGGGAAUAAGUCAAAACGUGCUUCUGUAUUUGAUAGAUUUGACCCGCAAUUGAAGAAUUUGAAACCGCCUAUCUUCGAGAGAUUAGACAGUAAAAAACAUGAGUACCAAGUUGUCAAAGAAGAAAAUCUUAUUCCAAUAAGGAAGAAUAGUUCGAGAAAAUGAGUUUCCAAUUUCUUUUACGCAUUAUGAAAAUUUGUUUAACGUAAGAAUCGAAACCAUCUUUGAAGAAUAGGGUCAAGAAAGUAUUGUUUCUUGCCAUCAUAUUACUAUUAGUGAUCCCGAAGAAGAAGAAAAAGAUGUGGAUGACGCUUCCCCUGAAUUUGAAUAAGGAGUAAAAAAUACAGUCAAUAUAUUAAAAGAAAUUAACCUUAGUACAAUUGACGACUCUCACCCAAUUUACAUAAGUUCUUGUAUGAUUUCUGAAGAAGAGAAAAAGUAUGUUGAUUUGCUGUUCGAAUUCAAAGAUGUCUUUGCCUGGAAUUACUUAAAAAUGCCUGGUUUGGAUCCAAGGAUCGCUAUUCAUAAUUUGUCUGUCAAGUGAGAAACAAAACCUGUUAAGCAAACUCAAAGACGCUUUCGAUCCGAAUUGAGUCCUCUGAUAGAAAAUGUGAUAAAUAGAUUAAUUGAAACUAAAUUUAUACGAGAAGUGAAAUAUCCAAUAUGAAUUUCAAGCAUUGUCCCUGUGAGGAAGAAGAAUGGACAAAUUCGAAUUUGUAUUGAUUUUCGAGAUUUAAACAAGACUUGCCCCAAACAUGAUUUUUCACUUCCCAUCAGAAAAUUGACAGUAGAUGCUACAACAGGAUAUGAAGCACUAUCUUUUCUCGAUGGAUCGUCUGGCUAAAAUCAAAUACGCAUGGCAGUCGAGAAUGAGAAGCACACUAUCUUUCGCACUUUCAAGGGAAUUUAUUACUAUAAAGUGAUAACGUUUGGCUUGAAAAAUACUAGAGCGACAUAUCAUAGGGUAAUGCAAAGAAUUUUUGAUGAUAUGCUACAUAGAAAUGUGGAGUGCUACGUUGACAAUCUUGUGGUGAAAUCAAAGAAGCGAGAAGAUCAUAUUCAACACCUUCGAAGAGUUUUUUCAAAGCUUUCGGAGAUACCAACUGAAAAUGAAUCCUUUGAAGUACUCAUUUGGAGUCACUUCUGGCAAAUAUCUCAAUUUCAUCAUUCAUCAACGGGGAAUAGAAGUCGAUCGAUCUAAAAUUGAUGCCAUUGUAAGCGUGCCUGAACCGUAAAAUUCCAUGAAUUGAAGAGUUUUCAAGGAAAGUUGGCUUACAUCAGGAGGUUUAUCUCUAAUUUGGCCGGACAAUGCCAACCCUCUAGUCGGCUGAUGAAAAAAAGGGAGCCCUUCGAGUAGGAUGAAGUGUGUAGAAAUGCUUUUAUGAUCAUUAAAACGUACUUCAUGAAUCCCCCUGUGUUAGUUGCGCAAAUUCCAGGAAAACCAUUAAUCCUCUAUAUUUUCGAUGAAGAACGAUCGGUUGGGGUCUUACUUGCUCAAAAAAGUGAUGAACGUAAGGAGAAUAUGCUGUAUUACUUGAGUCAAAUGAUGACAUCUAACGAGUUGAAUUACUCACCUAUCAAGAAGUUGUGUUUGACACUUGUGUUUAUCAUUCAGAAGUUGAAACAUUAUUUUCAAAGACACUAUUCGACUCAUAUCCAAGUCUAAUUUCAUUAAAUAUGUCAUGGCAAAACUUGUACUGUCUGACCGACUUACGAGAUGGUACUUUCAGUUUCAACAAUUCGAAAUUAUGUAUGUACCUGCGAAAGCUGUCAAACGAGAAAUAUUGGCAAACUUUCUAGCCGAUCAUCCCAUGCCUGCCGAGUAGGAGUUGACUGAUGAAUUUUUCGAUGAAGAAGUGUUUAUGGUCGAAUUUUCGUGGUCGAUGUAUUUCGAUGGAGCUGCUCACUGUGAUGGAAUUGGUACGAGAGUUGUCUUUUAUACUCUUGAAGCAGAUAUAUUGUCGUACUCUUUCACUUUAAUAUGUCAGUGUUCAAACAAUGUGGUCGAGUAUUAGGCAUUAAUUCUCGAUUUUGAAACGGCUGUAGACAUGAAACAGUUGUAUCUUAGAGUCUAUGGUGAUUCCAAAUUAGUGAUAAAUCAACUUUUUUUUAUUUAUGAUAUCAAGAACCUGAAUUGAUAUCAUAUUAUAAGUAUGCAAGAUAACUCAUGGGAUAUUUAGACAAUAUCACUAUAGAACAUAUCUUUAAAAAAUUCAACCAACAAACUGACUCUUUGGCAAGAUUGGCGUCCAUGAUCACUCUACCUUCUCAUCGAAAUCAAAUUUCAAUAUGUUAAAAUUGGGUCAUACCUCUAAUGUUCGAUGAAAAAGAUAAUGGUGGGGAAGAAAAUGUUUAUCACAUUUUUGUUCAUGAAAUUGAAAAGGAUGAUUGGCGUCAUCUUAUCGGUGACUACCUUAAUCAUGCAAAGUUAUCAGAAAAUUUCAAAAAAAGGGUUUAUAUAAUCGUCGAGCGUCACGGUCCAUUUACUACAAAGAGACGCUUUGCCAAAAAUCAUUUGAUGGAGUGUUUUUACAAUGUCUUGAAGAAGAUGAGGCUAUGCAAGCAAUGGAGAAGGCUCACUCUGAAAUAUGUGGUGCUCAUCAAUUUGAUCCGAAAUUACACUUUUGCGUUAAAAUAAUGGGGUACUACUGGCCAAGAUGGUGAAGGACUGCAUUGAUUUUGCUAGAAGAUGUCAACCUUUUCAAUUCCAUGGCAAUUUCAUCCAUCAGCCUCCUGAACCAUUGCACCUAAGUGUGGCUUCUUAACUGUUCAAUGCUUGGAAUUUGGAUAUAGUUGGACCGCUUCCAAAAUUUUUUGGUGGACAUAUUUUUAUUUUGGCGGCGAUAGAUUACUUCUCAAAGUGGGUUGAAGCAGUUCCUCUAAAAGAGAUAUAAAAGUAGAAUGUAGUAGUUUUCAUUAGUUUCCAUAUCAUUUAUCAGUAUGGAGUCUCACGUUAUAUCAUCACCGAUAAUGAUAAAUUUUUUUGUAAUAUAACAACGAAUAAACUUUGCAAAAAGUUUCAUUUCAAACAAUACAAUUCUUUCAUGUACUACGCUGCUGCAAAAUGGAUUCGUUGAAACAUUCAACAAGACCUUAUGUAAUCUGUUGAAGAAAAUCGUGGAUAAAUAAAAAAGGGAUUGGCAUUUUCGAAUUAGAGAAUCUCUUUGGACAUAUAGAACUACUUUUUGAACUCCCACGCAGGCAACCUCAUACGCGUUUGUUUACAAUGUUGAAACUGUUCUUUCAAUUGAAUAUCAGAUACCUUCGCUAAAAAUCGCGAUUCAUGAAGGACUCAGUGAAGAAGAUAACGUUCAUCUUCACCUUGAGAAGUUAGAAACACUCGAUGAAAAGAGAUUAGAAGGUCAACAACGGAUUGAGUGCUAUCAGCUUGUCUUUCAAAAGCAUUCAAUAAGCACGUUCGACCUCACUUUUUUCAAAUUGGAGAGUUAGUUCGGAGACCGAUCAUUCUCACUCAUGGUGGGUAAAGAAAGUUUACUUGUAUGUGGGAUGGUCUAUAUGUUGUUCGAGAAAUGUAUACAAAUGGUUCAUACAAGUUGGUUGCUGAGGACGGAUUAAUGGUUGGCCCCAUCAAUGGUAAAUACCUAAAAAAGUACUAUGCGUAAUCGGAACCGCACGUGCUCCUGGCCCGCAUGAGCUAAAACUGUGGAUGAGAACCACCAAUAGUGUAGUAUGUGAUUAAACUGUUGAAACACUCCACCAAAUCUAAGGUGGUAAAUAAAUAGAUACUCCUGACCUGCAUGAGAUUAAAAUGUGAACGGCAGGAAUUACGUGUGAUUUGAUUCUCCUUUUGAGAUACGUAGGCAGUUUAGAGGACAAUUCUAUGUUCAAUUACACCACUCCAAAUCAAAUCCCUUUUCCCUGAAAAAAAGGGGAUCUUCUCUUUCUUAAAAAAAAUAAUAAUAAAAUGCUACAUUUGAGUUCUUUUAUCUUUAAAAAAAUCGAAAAUAAGGAACGAAAAACAUUUUACUAGUUAUAGGAGAUUUCAUUACAGAAAGAAAAAAAUAGAUAAAAAAAUUUUUCAGGAAAAAAGAAGGACAUGGUAAAAAGCUUAAAUGUCAAAUUUGCAAUCUACUACAACUAUUUUACAUGAUUCGAGUGCAGAUUCCAUGUUUUCAAGUUUUUUCACUGUGUCAUCAGUUAAGACGUUAGCAUUCUCAAUAGAAGAGAACUCAUCAUGUGCUUGGGUUAUUUCAGUCUGAAUUUUUUUAAAAAUUUCAUACUUUUGAUCGAUAGUUGAGCUGAUUUUCAUGCCUUGUUUUUUCAAAUUGAUAAGUUCCUAUCGCAGAACUUUCUUCCUGUGUUCAAUGGACUGCAAUUUUUCUUCAAGACUUUGCAGAUGACAAGUUAGUUUUUCUUCUUUUGCCUUGACUCUCCCGAGUUGGGCGGUCACUUUGAAAAGAAGUUCUGCAUGUGUUUCUUUACUUAUUUUUUUUCAUGAUGAAGUUGUCAAAAUAUCAUAUGCCCCCAUCUUGGCAAACAAUUCUAUCGGGUAGUCUUUUAAACGGAGGCUAUUCGUAGGAUCCAUCCUUGUGAUUUUUGCAAUAAAUUUUUCUGCGUAUUCUUUUAAAGAAGAGAUCUGCUCAAUAGAAGUGUCAAUAAUCUGCUCACGAAAAUUCAUCCACAAACUUUGCAAGUAUUUUCUUCGAUGCGUUUGGAUUAAUUUUUGUCCAUGAAAUUCUAAAACCAAUGCUACCUUAGGUCUCUUUCGGAUCGCAUGCGAACUAAUCAACUCCUUAUGCAUUGAUGGAUUACAUUCACUGGUGGCAAACUGUCUUGGAAUACUGAUAACGAUUUCGUUACUUUUUUUGUUUGAAAUUGUACCAUCAGUUUCAAGUUCAAUUGGUGAAUUGUUACCAACAUUUUCUUGGCAGAAUUCAAGAAAUGGAAGCUAAAAAAAUGUUACAAAAACAAAGAAAAAAAAAGAGAAAUGGUUACAAAAAAAGGAAAAAAAAAGAAAAAAAGUUGCAAAAAGGAAGAGAAAGAUGAAUGGAGAGAUGAUUACUUUAAGUGACGACAUUUUAACAAGUAAUGGUAUAAAGGAAACCUACGCCAAAUCAGAAGAUGUCCUUUUCUUUGAUCGGUUCCAAUGACGGUUUUGACUACUACUGCCACUCGCCAAUGAAUGGGUUCCUCCUUGGAUAGAUUCGGUGCCCUAAACUUGAGUCCCUUCCUUUUCAAUUGCGUCGAUAUAAUCGUGAUCGUCCACCGUUUCAAUUUCGACAUCUUUUCCCAUGUGAGUUAUGGAUAAAAAUUUUGAAACUUUGGACGGCGUCUUCUUUAUUGGAAUCGCUGGUUGUGCCUCUUUGAUGGCCUGUUGAGAGUCUUUCGAAAACUUAUUUUUUUGUGACAAUAUUUUUCGAGGGACUGCUAGUAAUUUUGUUCUUCUGUAAAGUGGAUGUAGUAAGAUCCGUUCUAAUCUCUAUCGCUCCAUUAUGAUGCACUGACUCAUUGACAAAGGUAACCUUACAUUUCUUUCAAUGAUUGCUGAGGGAUCUUAACGGUGAAUUUAAAGGAAGUUGAAGAGACACUAUUUGACCGAGUUGACCACUAGGCAUCAUAGUCUUUUGUGAUCAAUGGAUGCUUCCUAUGCAUGGGUAUAGUCAUCCGAGAUCGCGUCUGCGUGCGAACUGAGAAAUUCUAUAAUUGAAUAGUCUCACCAAAAGUAUAAGUGUGAGUAAUCUCUUUCAAAUUAUUUGGAAUAUCUUGACAGAUGUCGAAUUGUCUGCUAGACCUAUAAAGAUUAUAUUUUUCACUAAUGAAAGUAUUGUCCUUACGUAGAGUUAAAUGGCAAGAACGUUGACUAAUAAAGUAACUCAUGAGUCUUGAUGAUAAGGAUCCAUCAUCGAUCAACACUUUUUCUUCAUUUUCAGUUCAGCACAGUUUGGGAAGCAUCAAAGGAUUCACUUCUUUGAAGAUUUCCUCAACUUGACCAUAAAAUAUUGUCAUUUUCUCACCACUAAAUCUCGUCAUGCUCGCGUGGUGGCUACUCACUUGGUGAUUCUCAUAAUAUACAUCAAAAUAUUGGCCAAUCCAAGUAUAAACGUAAUGGAUUGGAAGAGUUACCCCACAUUCUCUAAGGUUAGGGGCGUAGACGAUCUCUCUCAACUCAUGAUAUAUGCUUGCAAGAACGGGAAUUGGAAGACAAAAUUUUUUUCUUAUGGCCAUUAAACAUGCAACCUUGAAAACACUUGGGCGAAUGCGAUUAACCUUUUUGCUCAGCAAAAGAAACUUGCAAAUCCAACACGCUAUGAAUACCGUAAUAUAAGUUUCCUUUCUUAAAAAUUCUGGGACAUCCAAUGUGUCAAAAGGGACGUUGAAAUCCUUUGUAUCAAUAAGAUCAGGAGGCUCUACGCUUCGAGAAGGGUUGUAGGUCAUUUUUGGCUUAGAUGUGGUCUUUCUUCUAUUCACCCUAUUCUGAGAAGCCCUAUACCUAGCCUCUCCUGUGAACCAGAAGCGGAUCCAGUCUUUCAUUCAUACUCCUUGGUCAUUCGUUCAAAGGUGGUAGUAAGCAGAAAAGAGAUGCCUGCAACUCUUAGGGAGAAGUGGAUUUCCUUCUUUAUCAUGAGUGAAAAGUUCCUGCGCUGAACGAACAACUUCAUCAAAGAACGAGCCAUCGAUCUAAAGGCUACCAAGUUGAUAAAGGUCCCAAAGUGUGAUGGACAACUCCCCAACGGACAUAUGAAGUGUAUUUGUCGAGGGACACCAAUAUUUGAAGAAAACUCGUAAGAUAUUUUUGCAGCUAUCGUAGAAGAAUCUCGACACGUAGACGGUUUCAAACAUGCCAGCACGUGUGAGCACUUCUUUAUAUCUUCCAAGGAUAUUCUCGACCCACUCCCAAUAAUGAGAGGUGAAGCACGCCUCGCCAAAGAAAGACGAAAAAAUCUUCUAUGUAGUUUUGUCAAUAUUAAAUCCCACGAAUGGAAGCGUGAAUUUAGCUAUUUUUGGAUCUCUAUUAUGAAGUGACGAGUUUAAUACGAUUAUUUCUUCUUCCUUCGACGUAGUAGAAAAAGUCAAUGGUGCUACAACUUCCUUAGUCUACUUGCUAGUUCAAUCUUCAAGAUGAAAGCAUCCUUCAAGGGGCAUAAAAGACUCGGCAAAUGUGCUAAUUGUUGGUUUGUUCACAUAUAAUGACAAACUUUUCGAUUGAGACCCUCCUCUCUCAUCCGUCAAUGAAAUAUGGGGUAACGGCGUGGUGUAGUCUUUAAUUUGCACGGUUGUUGAAAUUUUGUAAAAAAAAAAAAUCAGUUGCUGAAAAACAAAAAAAAAAAAAGAAAUUCUUACAAACUUUUGGUAAUCAGAUUACCUAAGUGGCUGUCUUUUGCCAAGAUCCUGAAUUUGAUUCCCAAACUCGUCGAUGGCUUUUACAAGAGGGCUAGCCUGCAAUGAUUGAAGUCAAGAGCAUUAACGAGUAAUAUUUAUUUGAUGGGAAAUAAGUGAGCCAAAUAUGACAUUGAAGAUUGGACUUGAAUUGGAAUCACGUUACAAAACUAUAUUGUCCUAUAAGACGCAACAGGCUCACAAACCCGAAGUAUUAGUCACAUCAAAUGUGACAAAAUGCAUGUAAACUCCAAGUAUUAGUCACACUCAAGGUGGCAAAGAGAAUUAAAAUAAGCACGCAAGCCAUUAAUAUAUGAAUAUCUAUGAACAAAGGGUUCGGAUAAUUACUUUCAAAUUGCAGUGAUAGCAGCAGCUAAAUUUCGCAAUGGCUCAUGUCCGACGGCGUAGCAAUUUAAAGAUGACACGGGAACAGUUUGCAAAGGACAAGCAUCAGCAGCUUGAUGAUAUCAGCGCGAAGGAAAAAACAAAGGGGGAGAGUUGGCUCUUAUUUUGAUUGUGAAUAAAUUGAUGCCUUGGUCUUGAGUAUUUAUAAUAGAUCUGCGCCGCACGUUCAAGGAGAGUUCAAGUUGAAUAAUGUUCUAAUUUGAAUCCAAAUAGAUUCUUUCCCAUGGAGAUUUAGUUAACAGGCUUGGGGGAUUGGUCUUCUUUUACAAUUGGAAGUUGACCUCUUAUCUAUGAGUCAUCACCGAAAUAUUUCCCAAGUUCUCAGAGAUGGAAUUUGAUUGAAUUCACAAAGGACAAGAAUUCUUGUGCACAUGGUAUACUAGCAAAAGGAAAGCUACAUGCGAGUAAGUGGACAUAAAGCUUCCAAAUGAAGUGAUCCGGCCUCGGGAAAUUGAAAGCACUAGUGCAUGCAAUCAUCAUUCCAUGUUAUCAAUUAAGGGCCAUGACUAGUUUCAAGAAGUUUCAUACAUUAAUGAACUUGAAUUGGAGAUUAAUGUUGUCUUGAUCCUAGGACAACCGAAUUAAGUUGGGAAACAAAAAAAAUGUCGAAACUCGUUCACUCAAAUCCCGCUUCAAUUUUUUUUGGCAUUCAUGAACAAGUUUCGAGGGGGCAUUUAUAGAUAAUGAAAUUUUAAUUAAUUCUUAAAAUUACCAUUGGUCUAUAAAUUAUUUUUACGGCUUAUUUUCAUUCAAUCGGAUAUUGCCAUAUGUCAUGCACACUUGGAAGUUGGUUAUUUGUCAGUCAAUUAUGUCUCUCUACAUGUCAAGAUGAGGUGUUGCGGCCAAUUAAAAUUGUCAGGAUAUCCCUGCCAAUUAAAUUAUGCCACGUCACAUGUCUAUAUGAUUUGGCAAAAUUAUGGAUAAAUAUCUAAAUAAUUAUUUCUUUAUUAAAGGGACAAUAUCUGGAGUUAUUUAACCAUAUAGAUGUCUUAUAUACUGCAAUAGCUUAUCCAAUCAAAUGGCGCAGUGUCAUAGGUUCCUACAAAUUUGGCCAAUCAAGGGACUACUUAUUAGUAUUAUCUCUUUAUUAAUAAUACAAAAUAAAGAGAUAAUAUUUAAACUAGCACAGUCCUAAUAUGACUGUACGUCUUGCAAGACAAGUAGAGUGGUAUAUAUGUUUUCAACCUCUACCUCUUGCUACAGCUAUAAAUAGAGAUCUUUCAACCAAAUCAAGGGGACACCAAGAGGCAUCUCUUACACUCAAGCAUUAAAGUUUCAAGUUACAAAGGUCUGGAUCUUCAAACUCUCAAAGUCUCCCAUAUAUCAAGACUUGAGUCUUCAAAUAUCUUCUAAAUUUCUUGAAAUCUUUCAUAUCAAGAUUUGAAGGAAUCAUUGGUGGAUCCAAGAACAAGCUAUGAAACCCUUGGAUUGGCGUUUGAGGAGAAGAAUCCAAGGAAGCUCUCUACAAGUUCGAGAAAAUUCUGGAGAUUGUACUAACAUAUUUCCUUAAAUUUAUAUAUUACAUAUUUGUCAUGUAUUUUUCUUGUCAUUUUGUAGACUGAAAUUUUAUCGCGUACACUAGGCAGUAUACAUGCCAUAUUCAUUCCCUAAAUUUAGUUGUGUAUAUGUAAAAUAAAGGGUAUGUCUAAUGGGUGCUCAAUGGGCAUUCGUUAAAAUAUAUUUCAAGUGUUAAACUUUUAGAAAUGUAAGACUAAUUAGGAAAAUUAUAUAAAUCUAGGGAAAAAUAAUAAUCAUUAGUAUGCAUAUGGUAGUAAUAAUUGUUAAUAUGUAUAUAUAUGAUAGGUUAGGUGGAAUUUAGAUGCGUUAAUAAGAAAACGCUAAAAAAUAAUAUUCCAGCCUUUAAUUUUUUUUCCAUGUAAGUGAAAACGGCAAGUUAAAUGUACAUUGCCAUGUAUUAUAAGAAGGUAAGUGGCACGCUAUUAUCUUCCAUAGAAGGAAUAAAAUCUGUUGUAGAUGAAAUUGGCAUAGAAUCCACUAAAUCUUGUUACUCGAUGUCACUGAACAUGGACAAUCCGCUUUUCUACUUUGGCUAAGCCUCAUCGAUUCGGCAUUAAAUAUGAAUCAACAAUAAAUCAAGAAAUGACCCCUAUAUAAAGGACCACCACCAACCUCACAUCACCGCACAAUAGUUGAUAGUUGACUCUUGAUAGGCAGAGCAAGAAAAAUGGCUGUUAAAAUGAGUUGGAAAGCAACCAUUUUGAUCUUUUUCAUGAUGUUAAAUUUCUGGGGAUUUCUCAUGAGUUGCAAUGCAAGAAUUAUUGCUGAGAAUUAUCGCUCAGUUGAUAGCAAAACUCUGUUUCAUAAGCUGGGCUUUGAUGUCGCUGAAUACCAGAAGAAGAAUGCCCGAUUGUUGAGAGAAACACCGAGCGGACCUAAUCCUAUUCACCAUGCCACCCCACCACAGCCACCAGCCAUAUGAUAGAUGUCUUUGAUGUAUGUAUAAAGUAUUCAGGGUUGCAGGCAUAUGUUUGAUCUUUCGAUCCCCUGUAAUAGUAAUAUUUAGGAUCUGUUUGGUUGGAAGUAAAAUGUUUUUCUUGGGAAAAUAUUUUUCGUGGAAGUAAUUUUUCAUGAAAAUCAUUUCUCUUUCAUCAUUUUCAGGUGUUUGGUUAGCUUAUUGAAAAUAUUUUCUUACUUCAUUUUUUUGGUGUUUGUUUAACUUUUGAAAUAUUUCACUUUUAUCUCUAUCUUUACUUUCUACACAUUAUAACUACAUACUUCUUCCCAUGCAAAAUAAGAAAAUUUAUCUCAUUGUUUAACUUUAAAAAAUCUUGGAGAAAUGUAUAUAUGAAUAAAAAAUAUCUCCUUAAGCAAUAAACAAAUUGUUGGCCAUUUAGUGUCAAAUAUCAAUCACAUGCAAUGCUUAUUGUGACAUAUAUCUUGCACUCUCACUGCUGAAAGUUUCUUUAGAAAAUUAAAGAAUGUCCCUAUUAUACAUAAUUAAUUACUAGCAUAGGAUGAGCAAGAUGAGGUUUUUUUUUUAUUUUGAAUAUACUAGGGGGAGGGUUGGGUUGGGUUGGGUGGUACGGGGGAGGGAGUAUAAGGAAGAGAUCUUGGGUUCGAGUCCUCCUGUUUACACUAAAAAAAAAAAGAACAUACUACAAAAUGAUUUCAGUCAGUUUGGAACAUACUACAGGUAAGAUGCAUGUAUUUCGGAAAACAACUUCAGUAAGUUUGGAAGGGAAGUUAUUUUCCAUAAGAUGAGUGAAAAUGUUUUACAUAGGAAAAUAUUUUCAGUAACUUUUGUGCAACUAUUUUUCUGGAAAACAUUUUCACCCGAAACAAACGGAUCCUUAAUGGAACUGAAAUUCCCUUGUAAUAGUAAUACGUCUUGGUUUUGGAGUAUUAUGUUUGAGUUUGAUGCGAUUAUGUAUGGUUGCUAUAUACAUACAUACAUACAUAUAUAUAUAUAUAUAUUGUAAUUUUUGUGGACAUCUAGAAAUCAAAUUAUAUUUAUACUGCGUAUAACAAAAUUAUAUGAUAAUACAACAAAUUAUGUAAGAAAUAUAUUCCAAACCUAUAAUCGCAUAAAAAUCUCAACUGUACUUCCCUAUGCGCGUCUCCAUGCAAAAGGAAUUCUUAAACAUGGAGGAGAGCAAUAUCAGUUGACGGGUUUAUCAAACUUAGAGGAUUAGCAAUUUAGAUAAGCAUUUCCAUCAUUUGACAAAUUAUCUCGAAUUGAAAUUGUUGACAUUCGUGAAAUUGUUAGUAAAUUCCAUUUAAACCGUUUUGUUAUUUAAAACUCAUAAAAGAUAUUGUGACCGUAUUAUUCUUCACCUUAUCCUUGGUAUUAGUUUUUAGUCACUUGACCUCUUCAUUGAUAAUAAGGUAAUUGUGAUACUAAAACAGCUAAAAUACAAAGGUGUACCCAUACCAUUAUCAUUUGUUUUCUCUUUUAAAUACAUUAGCCUGCGUUAAAGUAUAUAAUACAUUGAACAGAAAAAGAAAAUGGUAUGAGAGUUAACACAUGUCAAACUUUUUCUUUUAAUUUAUAGGGUUUAAAGUUAAUGGUGCAGUCGUCAUAAUAGCAAUUCAUAGGUUUAGAGUUAUAUAAAUAAAUAAAUAAAUAAAUAAAUAAAUAAAUAAAUAAAUAAAUAAAUAUAUAUAUAUAUAUAUAUAUAUAUAUAUAUAUAUAAGAGCCUAAAGCAUGCCUUUCAUUCUUAAGGAGUAAAAGUUUUGUCCAGUAGCUUGGAUUAGUUAUUUGGACAUUUUUAAUACACAACACCAAAUAAUUCUCCUUAAUGAGUUUCCAUUUAUUUUACAUUUUAAUGGAAAACAAUGUAUAUAUUGAGCUUUUAUAGGUCCUGGCAUCCUCAUAAAAUACAUAUUUUCUUGGAAAACAUGAAAAUAAUGGAUGAAGAUAUUUUAACCUAGACAGUAUACGUGCCAUAUUCAUUCCCUAAAUUUAGUUGUGUACAUGUAAGUUAAAGGGUCUGCUUAAUGGGUGUUCAAUGGGUAUUCCUUUAAGAUAUACUUCAGGUGUUAAAUUUUUAGAAACAUAAGAGUAAUUAGGAAAAAUGUAUAAAUGUAAAGAAAAAUAAUAAUUGUUAGUAUAUAUAUGAUAGUAAUAAUUGUUACUACGGAUAUACAUUAUAGGUUAAGUGAAAUUUAGGUGAAAUUUAGGGAUGUUAAUAAGUGUCCAAUAAACACCCAUUGCGAAAACGUUAAAAAAUAAUAUACCAGCCUUUAUUUAUUUUUUCCAUGUAAGUGAAAACGGCAAGUUAAAUGUACAUUGCCAUGUAUUAUAAGAAAGUAACGGCACGUUAUUAUCUUCCAUAGAAGGAAUAAAAUCUGUUGCAGAUGAAAUUGACAUACAAUCCACUAAAUCUUGUUACUCAAUGUCACUGAACAUGGACAAUCCGCUUUUCCAUUUUGGCUAAGACUCAUCAAUUCGGCAUUAAAUAUGAAUCAACAAUAAAUCAAGAAAUGACCCCUAUAUAAAGGACCACCACCAACCUCACAUCACUGCAUGAUAGUUGAUAGUUGACUCUUGAUAGGUAAAGCAAGAAACACCGGGCGGACCUAAUGGUCCUAAUCCUAUUCACCAUGAAACCCCACCAAAGCCACCAACCAUAUGAUAGGUGUCUUUGAUGUAUGUAUAAAGUAUUCAGGGUUGCAGGCAUAUGUUUGAUCUCUGUACUUCCCUGUACCGUGUCUCCAUGCAAAAGGAAUUCUUAAACAUGGAGGAAAGCAACAUCACUCGACGGGUUUAUCAAACUUAGAAGAUUAGAUAAGCAUUUCCAUCAUUUGACAAAUUAUCUCGAAUUGAAAUUGUUGACAUUCAUGAACCCUGUAAAACCAUAUAUAUGCGUCCUGAAUUUGGAUAAGGCAGGCUUAGUCAGUCAUAGAUUAGACACAAGAGUGACGGAUUAUCCCUAAAUGAUACUAUACAAAUAUACAAUACAAGUUUCAACCCAAACCCACUUUUUCUGCAUAUAUAUAUAUAUAUAACACUUAUCAGUCACAUCUUCUGACUUCAAAAUGUGAACAUAACUAUUAUUCUGUGAAUUAGUCAAAUGUGUCCUUAUCUUUCCUCGCAGGCUCCAAGUAUACAUUUCCUGAUCAGCUAUGAUAUGCUUUCGGCCGAAACUGCAAUUGUUAUUGUGAUGCACACUCGGAUUUUGCUUAUGCUUCUACUGCUAUCAGCAAUAGAUAUAAAGUGAUUACCCUAACUGGAAAGACUUUAGGGUCCAUAUAUUUUGUCUCUUUUCUCGAAGAGGAAAAUUGAUUCCAAAUUUUAAAUCUUCAACAACAGACACAAAGCAGUGACCAUGUAUAGGAAUCAUGGUUCUUUUAUUUUAAGCAAAGUCUAAUGUAUUAAAAUCCCAACUUCUUUUUUUUCUUGGCCUUACAUUGGCUCCAAUUUGAAGUGAUUGUACUAGUAUAUUCAUUUCAUUAUGUCGUUGCUUUUCCAAGUUCAACAUCAUAUGGGAGCCAAUUAGAAUCAUGAGUUUGGAUAAUCUAACUAAGUAGUCCAACUUUUCCAACUUUGUACGUGUCAAUAAAUUCAUGGAAAACUAAAUUUCUUGGUUGAUUGAUCAAGUUUGAGAUGAUCACAACACUGGCUUGAUGAAUGCUCUCUAAAGACUAAAGGUCAGCCAUUCAUAUAUUUGAGAGAUGUUUUUAUUAUUAUUAUUUUCUGAUAAUUGGCUUUAGAGACAAUUAUAUAUGCACCGCCCAGAGUAGCAUGGCGAGUACAAACAAAAUCCACAAUAAUCAUUUUCCUAACUUUCCGACCAACGCCUUGCGAUCACCGGCAAUGUAUUAAUCUGAACAUUGGCUAGAGGCAAAGGGAAACGACCCCAUUUGUUCGAAUUGCCUUUUGACAAAAUUGAUAUAAUAAUCUUCUAAUCAAAUUUGGAUUUCUGAAUUUGUUUAUUUAAUUGAUGACACGAAUUUGGUUAAUUAGUCUGCCAAGAAAAAGAUAACAUAUGGCCUUCAAAUUGAAGUUCAGAUGUUGUAAGAAUGCUCUCCUAAAGUAUUCGAUAAGCAAGCAUACACUGACCAUUUCCAAAACAUGGCAAAUUAUAUAUAAUGCAAAAAAUCUCCCAAGACUCCCUAACUUAUCUGUAUCCAACCAAAAAAAAAAAAAAAAAACUAUCGACUAUUAGCUAGACUACAAUUGCAGGAAACGAACUUACACGACUCUCUAACUUUGUUAAGGUACCAAAAGAAAAAUUGAAAAGAUCAACUGUCUCUUCAUUUGCCGCCACGCCAUAUUCACCAAGAAUACUACUAUUGCUUACACGUUUUACAAUCUAUUUAAAACUUUGGCGCCGCCGCAGCAUGAUAAAUUGUUGUCUUAAUUAUAUUGCUUCACAGGGAAAAGGGUAAAGAAGAUGGACAAUGUUAUCAUGAGUCUGUGAUGUGUUCUAGUGUAGGGUUCCAUUAUGUUCAUGCAUCACAACAAGAAAUACAGGCGUUUCUAUUGGGAAUUUUCCCAUGAGAACAAAAGAAAGAUUAACUGGAAAGCCAAGAACUAUGACUUCUACGAUAACAACAAAGUUGAAAAAGUCUGGAGGGUCAACAGGUUAAGAACUAAAAAGCCCUUUUGAUUUUUGACAAGGUGAACAGCAUGGUCAACUACAAAUGAGGGCCGUCCCACCAAUGUAAGCUUUCCUUAUAGGAUUUCCAAGGAGGACACUAUCUAAUUUACGUGCUAUCUAGCUAAUUAUGCCGACAGGGCACGUGAGAUUGAGGCGGAUCAUUUCUAAUCAAGUGCUGGUUUCAGGGCCAGUUGGAUAAUGCUUCAUUUUUUGUGGAAAAGAUCUGAGUGUGAUGCACCGUGCGGUCUAAUCAGAGCCACUUGUCGAUUUGCAGUUUUCUUAUGUUGCGGUCUUGGUUUGAUUUUACGUUAGCAAAAUGUGGAAAAACACUAAGGUGAGUACGUGCGUGUUUGUUUGGCAGCACUGUUUUAGAAGUGAUUUAGAAAAAUAAAAUUAUACUAAAUAAGGUAUCACUGAUAGAGAUGGGCGGCGAUGAUGGACGACGGAAGUUACCAAUAGUAGGUGACGAGUGGUGGAAGGUGGGGGAAGAGGGGUGUUUUGGAGAAAUACAAACGUUUUUUUUUUAAAUUGUUACGUUAAAUUACAAUAAAGUUUUAGACAAUUUUAUUUAAGUCUCCCUUCUCUCCCUAUGCUUCUUAAAUCGUACUCUUCUACUACCAAAAAUUUUUAAAUAGACAUCCAAAAAUACACUAUAUAAGCGAACCGGACAUUUUCGCUACUCAAAAUAACUAUUGUGAACUCAGUUUGCGAUAUUAUUAUUAUUAUUUCCUGUUCGAUAGUACUAAAACACGAUCCUGGUUUUUUCACAUAGCGAGAAUUUGUGUGAAUCUGCUACCCUUUAUGAUAGUACGGGUAAUUAUAGGAAAAGAGUAAUGGCUCGCAGUAUUACAAACUUGAUAUUAGACAACACAAUCCUUAUUUUUUGCAAGUUCUAUUUGAUAGUUCCUGUUUGCACUCCAACUGCAAGAAUUUUAGCAUUUUUAAAAUGCAUCCAGGAGGGAACUACAAGAAUCUUUUCUUGACAAUGUUCUGUUUCAGCCCAUGUCCGAGGAAUUUUUCAUACAGAUUACAUGAAGGGCUUAUUUACUUUCGCAAAUCAUUCUCAUUUCCCGACCAAAGCUAGCAAAAAAGAAUGUCGCCACGCGGAAGGAUCACAAGUUGGUUGCCUUUAGCGAGUUCAGUUAAAGCAUUGUGCCAUUUGACGUGGAAAAAGAAUCUUCAAGGGCUUAAAGUAGUAAGGUUUUAUCUGGUUCCCAGGUUGAGAUUGGCCCUAACAUGAUGAGCAGUAAAGGUUGGUGAAGGACUUUGGAUGAAAUGACUUAUCAGCUGCCGCUUGCAAAUUCCAAUCCACUACUAGUUGAAGUAGGAGGAAUGCAAUACUUGACUUGAAUUGGGCUAAUAAGUGCUCAUUCAGAUUUUUUUUUUUUGCUAACUAAUUAAGUUAAAUAAACAACAUUUAUUUUCUGUCAAAGUAUUAAACUCGACUUGACUUGAUUAGUAUUAACUUUGAAAUCUAUAUAUGUAAAAAAUUUAGACUACUCAAAAGUGGACUUGAUUAGCAUAAACACAUAUGAAAAAUGUAGACUAUUAAAUCAGUUUGAUAGUAAAAACUCAUUUUAGUUCAACUUAAUGAAUAAACGGUUCACAUUUAAGCAUAAUUUUAAGGGAAAAUGGCUUGUUUCAUCCCUUACAUUUUACAAAAAUAUUUUUUGUCGUCCCUCAUUUUUAAAAUAAAACAAAUUCAUCCUUGAUAUUUAAAAACUAAAUCUAUUACAUCCCUAAAGUUAACUUUCAAUCUGAAUCUAACUACCCAUCAACCUGAUUACAAAUUUCGAAGAUAUAAUUAGUGGUAUAUCAUUUGGUUAACUCAACUUGAUAUUCAAGUGAAAUUUAAUGAAUCCAAAAAGGAAAAAUAAAAAAGUAUAACAUAAAAAAAAGAUUAAUUUUUUCUACAUUAUCAUUGUAUACACUGACGGCUCUAAUUAUUUGUCACAUCAUUUCAAUUUAAAUUUAAACACCAAUCUUUUAUGUAUGAUAUACAUCUAGACUCGCAAAUGUACAUACUACCUGGAAGAAACCUUACUAUUCCAAGUCAAAAAAAAAUGGCCUGUUUAUGUUAUAAUUUUUAAUUUUUUCCUUUUUUUGGUUCAAUAAAUGUCAUGUGAAUGUGAUGGGGUUGAUCGAAUGAUCUAUCAAUUCUAUCCUCGAAAUUUAUUACUAGAUUACUAGAUGGUUUGAUUCAUAUUGAUAGUUGGGUUCAGGAAUGUAAUAGUUUUAAUUUUUAAAUGUUAGAGAUGAAUUUGCUUCGUUUUAAAAGUGAGAGAUGAAAAGAAUAUUUUUAUGAAAUGUGAAAAAUGAAACAGAUCAUUUUCCUUAGUUUUAAUUAAACUUGUGAAAAAUAAGUAAAUAAACUUAAACACUAAAUUGUUCAUUUGAUUAAAUUUGGACUUUGCACAAGGCUUGAUGCUCAUAAGAGGAUAUGUCCUUAAAUUUUUAUUAAGGGAUGGAACAAAUAUUAUGGUAAUCAGUAGUAACUCUAGCUAGUUUUAAGUUGAGCAUUCCCUAAGACCUUUGCUUAUCCGAAUUUGUAAGCGUCAAAUCACAUAAACGUGUUUGAAUCAAUCAAGAGCUUUAGUAGGAGUUCUUGAGAGACUAAAAUCUGUCUACCUGUAAAUUAAUAUUAAAAGAUAAGCUCUUCAAUUAACACUGUACGAAUGAUUACAAUUUUUUUCGAGCAAACGAACAAUCUGAUGCAGGAGUUUUGUCGGAUUGGUACGUGGGUUAAAUAAAUAAUCGUACCACUUAAUUACAUGUUCUCCCCCACUAUUCUCCGUUUCUCCUACUCUCCUGAUGAAUCUUUCUGAGUUCUUAUAUAUAUAGCCAGAGCUGUCAGAUUAAUCUUCCACCCAAUUAACCACUGCUUAUAUUAUUUCUUCCAGGUAGCUCAAGCUAUCAGGGUUCCUUAGACUUGUUCUCAAUAAUAUUUCGCCCUCCAUUUUACCAUGGCUUGUUCUACCAAUGCAAGGUUAACCACCCUACCGUAUUUCUUCAUGAUCAUUAUUUUCUUUGCUUGCUUCUUCACUUGUGAUUUGGAAGCACGGGUUCUUGUGGCUGAUCAUCACGAGGCUAUUUCCACGAUGCAUGAAAAGUUGAAACCUGACAGCCAAAUUCUUCUGAUGAGAAUAGGCUUCAGCCCUUCACAGCUUGAAUAUUACAGAAGAAGGUCACUUAAUGAUAUUGAUCGAGUGGCUCCUGGUGGACCAGAUCCUCAUCACCAUGCGUGAUUAUCUACAAUAUCCUUUUCUAUAUCUUUUGUCAUUUUGUUUUUUGGCCCAAUUCUUGGGUUUUCGGUGGAGGGUUUAGCAGGAUUGAUAUGUUGUUAGAGAAGAAGAUCAGACUAUUGGUCGUGCAUGUUUGCUUUUCGUGAUGAACCAGCGUUCAUCAUCGUUUCGGCUGAAAUCGGGUAUAGCAAAUAUUUGCGCGCAACGCUCAUUUUAAUUCAUUGUUGUCAUUUCAAGAUUCUGUCCCUACAAGGUUUCUGAUUAGAUCUUUCAUCUUUUUGUGUGUGUGUGCGCGUGCGUUUUUUUUCUUUUUUCACCUUAUUUUCCUUUGUGCAUGCAGUCAUGUCUACAUUUCAGUGAAGAAAUAAAAUUAAUAACCUCUUCUCUCUCUCUCUCCCUCUUUCUCUCUCUCUCUCUCUUCCUUUUUUUGUCCGGGAGAAUAGGCGAGGUAACAAUAAUAACUUCAUUUUAUUAUGAAAGAAACACUUUAAGAGAAUCCAAUAUAUGAGUCAGGAAUUCAAUUCUGACAAAAAAACUUAAGGUAUUAUGUUUCAGAUCCUUACUUACAUAUUAAGUGAUUUUUUUCCAUCUCUCUGGAAUCAAUAUGGAUCAUAAUCCUUUACUCAUAAACUUAAUAAUUUUGCAUGAAACAUUUAUGGAAUCAACAAUUUAUUGUGGUAUAAAAGAACCAAAUGAUCAUAAUUGUUUUUGGUUCAAGGAUAAGAGACGACUUAAUUUGGGCUCUCUACCUUGUCUGCUUCUAUGCAGUUAAUAGUGGACUUUAUGAUUAACAGUAGUAUAUGAAUAUCACAUUUUCUAAGCUCACGAGAGCCAAAAAGUAUUUUUGACGUAAUUAAAAAAAUUUAAUCGGAAAUCUCCUACCAGAAGAAAUAGAAACAACAGACAGAAAUCCACAUUUCUCUCCAGAUUGAGAGCAAACUAUACAAAAUUAAGUUGUCCCUAAUCUUCUAACUAACGAAAUGUCAUUUUAGCCAAGUAAGCAAAUUGGAUUAUCAAAACUCAUAUAACUAUACACAAUAUGUUUGUUUUUUUUUUUUGUUUUUGUAAGAUUUAAACUAUUCAUGAUAUGUUAGUAAAGCGCUUAUAACCUGGUCAAUCAAUCUCUAAACGAAUUCAAUCAUCCAACAAGUCCAUUUACUUACAGCCAACCAGUACUCCAGUUUAAUCAUCCUAAAAUGAUAACUGGUUAAUGAAACAAUACUACCUUUCCCUUUGAAACUAGCAAAUUCCACAGCUAAUAUUGACUAAUUAAUUAAUAAAUUUGUUUUCCUCCCAUCAAAUUGAACAGGUUCUACUUUGGUCGUACAAAUCCACAACAGAUGCCUCUAAUAUCUCAUACAGUUUGCCGCAUUGAUUGCAAGAACGAUUUUUGAUGUGUAAACGUGUCCCUUUUGCAUGGAAGAAACAUCAAGAAACAUGACUUAGCUGCAGUUAGAUGCACUCAAAAGAAAGUUAAAAGAUCUCUCAAGUUUCUCCAAACUUGAUAAGUUAAAACCAUAAACGGAUUCUUUUAAAAGUUCAGAUACUAAAAAGAAAAAAAGAAAAAUCGAUUCAAUUUAUAUUACUAUAUAGUUUCUUAUCAGUUAAUAAAUCACCUUUACGUGGGUUGUCCAUGUCAAUGCCGAGUUGUUAAUUUUAUUUUUACUAGGCACGUAUAAAAUUCAUAGCAUUAAUUUCUUGAUACUGCUGCAAUUUAUUCCUGUCACAAGAAGAAGCUAGCGAGGCCACAUCUAUAUAUGGCAAAGGCACUAGAAUGGCUUCGUAAAGAUUAAAGAGCUUCUUCUUGAAGAACGUUUGAUGAAGAUCCUAACUAUAUAUGCUCAAAACGAUAAGCAUGGUGUUGACUAGGGUAAAUGGAUAGAUUCAGAGAGUUUCAGCCAAUUGGAUGCUCUUGUGAGAGAUAAUUACUAAACAAUUUCAACAUGAUCAUAAUUAAAUGAGGGAAAAAGUCAAAUCCAUGAGUAUAUAAGGGAAAAGUAUAUACAGUACAGGAGUUAUAUUUGUUAACACAAAAAACCCCCCUUUAACUUAGUCAGAUAAUCAAGGUGCUUUAUCCAUUUGUGACUUGUACCCUAUGUCCUAAGUGAUUCUUGUCCUUUUGCACCAGCCAAAAGUUGAUGAAAAAUGAUUGGAUUGGUGGCUUUUAGAUGUGGUUUCGGACAUUCGAAAAGUUGCUAAUAUUUAAUCAUAUGGACAGCAAAUCUUAGGGCAAGAGAAAUAAAAAUAACGAAAGAAAGAUGGCAGGAAUUCAUUUUCUGCAAGCAGGGAUGUGGAAUAGGGAUUGUGAUUGUUGUUGCCAGGGGGAUAGUGGAAGAGAAAACAAAUAUUAGUGACAUCUACGCAUAUCUUGCCAAUGCUAGGUAAACAAUUGCAGGAGGGCUGUGACAAUUAAGCUUAAUCAUAGAGAUCUCAAAUCCUCGAUCUGAUUUAUAAAUUAAUGAAUUUUUUAAUGAGUAAUAAAUGUUUUUGAGGCCCUUGAUGGAUCACUUUCAAUCAUAUAAUAAGCAGCAAAGAUCCAUGCUAGGCAUGGAUCAAUACUUUAUCAAAAGGCUUAGUUGGGAAAUUAUUCAUGUAUGACACACAUACAGUACAACAGAUAGAAUAAAAUUGAAAAAAAAAAAAGAAGAAAAACAAAGGUGAAGCACCAUUCUAAAGAUAACAAUGAUCCAUGUGACUAUAAGUCAUAUACAAUGUCCUAAACAAUUUGGCAUUGAUGUUUAACCAACAUAUUUGCACUAAUUUUGGGUCUUUUCUUACAAUGGAAUGAAUUUAUAAAGGGAGAAAAUAAGUGUAAUAUGAAUUUAUGAGAGUGAUCUUUAUUCAAUACGAACUUAGAGGCGCUAGAUUUAAAUUUGCGUACCUUAAAUUUCAUCCCUCACCUGCUAAACAUAAAAAAAAAGAAAAAAAAAGUGUAAUGUAGUAUUACCUAUUUGUGCAAUUAUUGUUCAACCAUGCAAAAUGUUUAAACCAACCAGUAUCAAGUUUUUUUGUGCAUAUCUACCUGCAAAAUAUUGGUGAGAAAUUACCUGACCCAAAAAAAAAAAACAAAAAUGAAAUCAUUGUAGGCUAGGCCCAGCCCAGUUACUAUUCCCUGUAAGUGGCUCCCAACUAGGGUAGGACCACAAAACAAAAAGCAACCUACAAUUCUCAUCUGUUAUCAACGCGCCACCAUGGACGCGUUGGUCAACCAAAAAUCUUCCCACCCCAUUCCUUACUGGACCCAUCAUCUAACAAUCUCAACCGUCAAAUUCUCACCCGGUUGUACCGCAGCAGAACUCCCAACCGUUAGAUAAGCGUUUAAAUAUCACGCUCCCCAUCAGCGCGUGAAAUUCCUCGUCCACUCCCCUCACCCAGCUCUCUCACUGUCCUUCUUGGCUUCUUCUUUCUCAACUCACCCAGAUUUCUUCCCCAGGAUCAUAGUUAGGAAAGAGUGUGAGGAUUCAUACUCAAACUGUCUGUGAUAGUGUGUGAAAAGAGAGAUCUCGAGAAAAAGGUAUGGCUUCUGUUCCUAAUUUAACUUUUGGGAAAACCCCUCAAGGAUUUCCCUGUAGUUAUUGUUUAUGUGUAUGUGUAAAAGGGUUUGAUUUAACUUUAGCAGUGUAGAGGACCCAAAAAUAGAAUUUGGGUUCUUGUGAAAUGGGGGUAAUUGUAUUUUAAGAUUGUAGAGAACCAAAGUAUAGAAACAGGGUUUGUUGUAAAAUUGUGGGCUUUUGUGUUUAUGCAUGCAGCAGCUAAUUUCGAGGUAAAAGAUUGAAUUUUUCCCGGUGAAGAAGGUGAAGCUUGGGAUUUAUGUGUGUGAGUUGUGUUUAUGCAUGUGCUUUUUGUAUGUAGAUUAGUUGAAAAAGAUUAAAUUUCUAGGGUUUUGGGAGGUGGAUAAAUGGCUUCUGGAACAACAGUUGGUGGUGGAGACGGAGAAAAAGAAGGGUCUAAAGAGAAGCAGAGGUGGGCUGAAGAGAGCAAGGUGUAUAAAAGGAAGUCUGUCAAGGGGUUAAAGGAUAGUAGUGACAAGAACAACAGUUAUGGUGCCCAGCUGGGGCAAAGUCAAACUGGGAAACCUGGGAGUGAAGAUGGGAAUCUGUUGGAAGAACCUGUGUUUGGUGUGGCGUCCGGUGACUCAUCGAGUCGUCCACUGGGAGAUCGUGAAGUGUCUGGGGGAAAUGGGAUGGGGAAAGGUGGGUUUCUGAGGCAAGAAAAUAAGGUCACCAUCAAUUUGGCGAUGAAGUCGAAAAGGGAGGCACGGGAGCUGAGGAAAAGGCUCGAGAGCGAGUUGGACGAGAUUAGGAGAUUGGUGAAAAAGAUUGAAGGGCAGGAGGGGAAAAAGAGCAGUAAAGCUGGACGUGGUGUUGAUAAUGGUGGGAAGUUGAAACGGGUCCAUUCCGAGGUGGAUUCUGUUGGAACGCCUCGCAUUUCCAAGCCUUUGCAUCAGUUGAGCGUAUCAGUGUUGGAGAACAGCAAUGACAAUGGGGAUAAAGAGAAACGGACGCCUAAGGCAAAUAAAUUCUACAAGAAUACAGACUUUUUGCUUGCAAAGGAUAAGUUUCCUUCUGCAGAAGGCAACAAGAAGUCUAAAUCUGGUGCUGGGAAGAAAGCUGGAGGGGGUGAAUCAGGACAUGGGUUUGUUUCAGGGAAGUUUUCUAAUCAAAUGUUGAAGAAUUGUAGCUCUUUGCUUGAUCGAUUGAUGAAGCAUAAGCAUGGAUGGGUGUUCAACAAACCUGUUGAUACUGUGCAUCUUGGUUUGCACGAUUACUUUGACAUUAUUAAGAAUCCAAUGGAUUUGGGUACUGUAAAAGCUAGGCUUAGCAAUAACGGGUAUAAAUCUCCUAAGGAGUUUGCAGAGGAUGUGAGACUUACAUUUCAAAAUGCUAUGACAUAUAACCCUAAGGGGCAAGAUGUUCACGUGAUGGCUGAGGAGCUAUUAAAGAAUUUUCAGGACAAAUGGGCUGCUAUUGAGGCGGAAUAUAUGCAUGAGAUGAUGCAUGGCCCGGAUUCUGAAGUGGGUUUACCGACUCCUAAAUCUAAGAAAGCUCCUCCAGCAGUAAUGGAACCUCCUGAAAUGAGGACUUUAAGCAGGUCAAAGUUUAUUAGCAAUCCUGUUGAUCCCAAAACCAAAACCAUGAUUUCUGCUGGUUCAGGGAGAACUGCAGCCCCAAAAAAGCCAAAGGCAAAAGAGCCCAAUAAAAGGGAAAUGACAUACGACGAAAAACAAAAACUUAGCACAAAUUUGCAGAGUUUGCCUUCUGAAAAGCUUGAAAAUGUUGUGCAGAUUAUAAAGAAGAGGAACCCUUCUCUGUGCCAAAAUGAGGAUGAGAUUGAAGUUGACAUUGACAGUGUUGAUACUGAAACUCUUUGGGAGCUGGAUAGAUUUGUAACAAACUUCAAGAAGAGUCUGAGCAAGAACAAACGAAAAGCUGAGCUUGCCAAUCAAGGAAAGGGAGAAGCAGCCCGGAGUGUUCCAGAAAAGGUAAGCUAUUGAAAUUUCUAUUUGAUGCCUUUCUGUUGUUAAUUUCGGUGGUUAUAGGCACUUAGCUUCCGUUUUCUGCAGGACCUUGCCCCAGCUGCAGCAGAAACUCUGAAAGAAAGGAAGAUGGGUAAGCUAUCUGAGCUCAAGUCUCCUUUGCUCUUGAAAUAACGGCAAACUUGGUUUUCAAACAUAGUGAAGUUAAAUGUGUUUUCUGAACAGAAGCUAAGAAAAAUUAUUCAUCUCAAACUGAAGUGGAAAAGAAGAGAGAUAAUGCAAGUCGAUCAACUAACUCAAGCGGCUCGAACGCGGACUCGGGAUCUUCCUCAGGGGGUAUUGCUAAUUCUUACUUUGUAUUUUCUGUCUGGAGAUUCAUGAUUACAAACUUAUCUCCAAAGUGAGAGAAUGUUACUGAAUUGUCUUCUCACUUUACAUUUUUUGGCAGACUCUGAUAGUGGAAGUGCUUCAGAUGGAUCCGAUGCAUGACAUUGAACUAGGAAUUAGAGUUACUUGUCAAUGUAAGAUAAGUUUCUUUGUGGAUUUAUUUAUUUGUCAUUUCAUGGAUCGUGGAAUUGAAUCUGCUUUUAUUGAUUUCUCUUGUUUCCUUGCUCAUAUUUAAUUAAUUUUCUGUUAUUUAUCGAAGCACGAACCUGUUGUUGUUUAUGUUAGCCUUUUCUUUAAUGUUUCUAAUUCUCUUUGUGAAUUUUGCGUGUUGUUCACUUUUAUGGUUGCUGGCUUUACUUGAGUUUAACUUAAAACUUAAGAAUGCUCAUUAAGAUCUAGAUAUGAUAGUUAAGCAUGUAAAAAGUGCACUUGUAAACAAUAAAUGUCUUAAUUGCUUUAUAAUUUCCAAAUUACUGGGAAGUUUGUAGAUCAUGAGAAAAGAUGAUUGUGCUCUUUUGCUCUAUUCAGCAAUGCAUGGUAGUUAAACUUUUUUUUUUUUCGGAGCAUAUAUUGAGCGCAUCGAAUUUGUCUAUCUACAAUUUGAAAGUGGCAUUUUCCUAGACAAUAAUACUGCAGUAUCUUGUUUAUGCUUUAGAAGCUGCUGUUGACACUCCCCAAAUGUUGAUAAUUCUGGAGUGCCUGUAAAGCUGUCAAAGAUUGAGGGAAGAGGAUAGAGAUUUCAUUAAAUUCUUUGUGAGUGGAUAUUAACACAAGUGUGAGAUAUGACUUAUCAAACAAAUUAUUGUGACUUGUACAGUUUUUGCUUUAAGAGGAAGUGCUGGUCAUUGUUAAACAGUCUGCAUGACUUUACGUGUGAAAUGACUUUCCUUAACUAGUUAAAUGAAAAGAGGGAAAGGUAGGAAUAUGCAAAACUUAAGCAUGAAUGCAAGUGUAACAAACUAGAGUUCAGCUAAAUAUAGAUAUGUAGGUUUGUGGUAUAAUGAUGGAAGCUUUAUUAAAUUUACUUCCUUUGUUGGCUCCAACACUGUGGCACUUCUUUUACAUUUUUUAAACUGGGAAGUUAGUUAUGGAGGCUGUAGAGAUCAACAUAAGUCCGUUGUUCCUUGAGCUUUAUAAUGGUCGAUCAGCAUUUUCGGUAUAUAUCAUCUUUCUAUCUUAGUAUCUUCCAUAAGCGCUCAAAGAAUCCCAAAUGUUUAAUCAACAUAUACACCAUGUGGCUGCAAGCGCUUAUUUGAGUGCUCUCCUUUAGCUUUAAGAUAGCACGAGCUUGUGAACUAAACCAGUGAUCAAGGUGCAGUGAUAUUUAUGAGCAUCAGAUCUAACAGGUGUAGGAAACACUCUAUUAUCAAGCUAUCAAGCAUUCAGCUUUUUCUUAUUCUUUCUGUACUAGAGUGUUGGUAAGAACUUGUACCUACUGUUAGGAAUUAUCUAUACUACAUUAGUUUCCAUGUUUGUAAUGCCUACUUUCGCAAAAGUCAUCUUAGGUGAAAGUAGUGCAGUUAGAACGUAAUACCUGUAGGUCGAGUAAUUUGGUCCUCUCUGUCUCUCUCUCACACACACAAAGCACACACUUUUCUUUUUUAUUGUUUCUCUUUCUGUUUUGAUUGUCAUGGUUAUGGCGAAUGCCUGAAUGUUAAUUUGAAGUUUGGCUCGUUUUUGUCUUCAAUAAUUCCAACAGGAUUGUGGCCUGAUUGAUGCUGCUAUUCCUUUUCAGGUCUCAUUUUGUUUUAACGAAGAAUCGUGCUUAAGUCUAAUAUUCAUGUUUCUACCAUCUUGCCUAGAUUUAUUGUUACAAACCUGUGGCCGAGCUUGACUGCAUAUCGAUCUCCUCUUGAAACAAUGGUCUCCAUCGACAGUAAGGUGUUUUAGGUGACGGUUUUAGCAACAGAUGUUUCUGGACAACCUGGAGAAUGAUGCAGAUGCUUCUUUAUUGUACAUUGUUGUAGCUUUUGUACAUAGCUAACUACUGCUGGCCAGUUUUCUGUGUAUUUGUCUGGUGGUUUACAGCAGCGUUGGAUAAAACAUUUCGCAGUUAAUUGCAAUUGCAUGUAUGUAUUAGUAAUAGCGGUAUGCUGUCGAUGACCUAAGAGGCAUUCUUUGUGUAAAGUCUUGUUCUUGGUCGUGGAUCUUUCUCGAUAGUUAAUUACAUAUUGCCCUUAGCUUACUGCUUUUGCUAUGAACACUCCUAUAAUUGCUCGUUUCUUGCUAACUCAAAUCUAAAUUUUGGCGUUCCCUAGAUUGAGUGGUACCAAAACUAAGGGUAAUCAUUAAGUUUUGUUCAUGAUAUUCCGGGUUUGCUUCCUUAAACCCCAUCUGUCAGUCCCUCAUCCCCUCCAUUGUGCGGGAAAAUAAUGGAAAGCCCCCAAAUCCAGAAUGGUGGACAUUGCAACAAGCUAUCCUGCGUUUCCACCUUGAAUUCUCCAGCUGUUUGUGUCCCUAGAGCUUAGUUUAUCGCUGCUCAUUAUGUGGUAUUUGCAAUAUUAUUUACACUUACCAUAACCCUUAAAACUUCUUUAAUUGAAAUAAAACUUAGUACCAUACCAAUUUGUCAAGUAAUAAUCACGAGUAUUGCUAGAAAAAGCGACAAAAAUAUAUACUCCUUUCGUCCUACUUUGAUAGUCCUUUUUUUUUUUUUUUUUUUUUUACACAAUUUAAGAAAAAGUAGUUAACUUUGUUGGAAAAGUAAAUUUGGAUUGCUAUUUUUCUAAAAUACUCUCACAUUAAAUAUGGUAUAACUUCAACUUUCAUUAAAUGGGGUAGGUUUAUAGUAACAACUACUUACAUUGAAUAAGGAUAUUUUAGAAAAAUUAAAAUACAACUAUAUUCUUCAAUUGGAAAGUGGGUUAUAAUUUGGGACAGAUGAAAAAGAGAUACAGAACUAUCAAAGUGGAACGGAGGGAGUAUAAAGUUAUACUAAUACAUUUCUCUUGGUACAUAGUACUCCCUCCGUCCCAUUGUUGUUGUCAUAGUUCACCUUUUUUCAUGUCCCAAAAUUUGAGUCACACUAUAAUUUUUUUCUCUAACAUUCCAUUUGUAGCCUCAAAAGAGACAUUGAUAAAAUAAAAAACAAGUAUAAUGGAACUCACAAAAGCAAUAAAUAGACAUCAAAAAAAAAGGUGCGUGGACAGCACCAAAAAUUUUGAUGGCCAUAAAUAGGCGCGUGCUUGGCAACCGUAUGAAAAAGAGCUUACAUUUUACAUGGACCCACAGAUUCUUUUCACAUCACCAUAGACAGCAAUUAAGAUUUGAUAUCGGUCAAAGGGGUACGAUUGGAAAAAAAUGUCUCACAUUCAAAUUGAUUGAACUGUGCAUAAUAAGUUAGAAUCUCCAAAAACGUCCCUUAUUUUGGGACAGAGGGAGUAUUUCGUAUUAUAAUUCAUUACUCAAUAUUGUCUAUUAAACUUAGUACAUCAUGUUUCAUAAUCUAAAUCAUUAUUCAACAUUCACAACUAUUGUAUACAUCCUAUUGUAUUAUCAAUCAUCAUGCAAUAUUUACAAUGCAUAAACUAUGUCAUGGGGUUUAAUUACGAGAAUUAGCUUAGACAUGAUUAUGCCACCAAGAUCGAUCUCUGAGUUGCGGCGAGGUGACUUGAAUUUCCCCAUUUCUUGAUUACAGCAACCCAUGGCUCGCAAUUCUUUGAAUUGCUGUUCCUCUUAUUCUACGCGCGCACCUUGCCCGGUCGAUCUUCGUCAUGGCCCGCAAAUUGCAUCCUGUAACAGCGCUUGCCUACUAUUCCCUCCCAGUACCCUCCUCAGUCCUCACUGCCUUAUUUGAAGGAAAUGCAUCCGCUAAAACAUAGAACCAUGCUCGCCACUACAUUAAAAUGCACAUUUUGGUCAAACACUUUCCCAACACACAACCCUUUUAAUCCAAGAAAGCCUUUUUCUGCUUCUGCUGUAAAGUAUCCCAACCAAGAAGAAACGCCUGCACAAAAGCCAGCACAAAUAGUACACUGGUCCGGUCUUGACAACUGGAGAAGUAGCCCUCUUAAUCACAACCGUUUCUGGGGAGCCAAUGGCCCACAAACACCCCCGAUACAACCAUCAUUCUCGAAUUCUGGAGAAACCGGCGACAGUGGUUCAAUUUCAUGUUCUAUUGACUGGGGCUGUUGCUCUUCUUUAGCAGAGAUGGGGGCUGUGGUGCUAUCUACAGCUGACCCUCUUCAAAAAUCAAAGCUUUCCCACUUGGCUUACUCCAGAUGGUGCCAGGAGAGCCUUCCUGUUGGAGUCUGUGAGGCACCCUCUAAGCCUGCUCGUCCCCAGAAUCCGCAACUGGUUUGUUUUCUGAGAGUCCUUUUGGCCAUUUUGGUUACGGAGACAUUAAAAAUUUGAUCUUUUUGUUGGAGUUUAAGAGUUAAUGUGAGGAAUAGCAGAUAUGUUUGUGUAUGAUAGUCAUGUUCUUGAUUGAAUUGGUGGGAUUGGAGUUGGAGUUUGUGCUUCUGCUUAGAUGGUAAUCCAUGUGUUUGAUGAAUUUGGUAUGCUGGAGAGUUUAGGAAUUGUCUUUAUUGAAGCUUAGUUUCCUCUUAGAGAAUUGGCAAUGUAAAAACAAAACAAUAUUAUUAUGGCAGCUGCAUGAAAUGCUCUCGCUGUUAAUAAUUGACACCACUCUCUUUGGGUUUGUUUUAAUUUAGUAACUCUACUGUUUAUUAGUGUGACAAGCUGAGUACACUGUCUGCUCUUAGGACUGGUUUACUGUAUGAGAAUGCAGGUAUCUCCAAAGGAGAUUCCAUCCCCAAAACACUCUGGUUUGCCUCUUAAUGCAUAUAUGCUGCAUAAUCUAGCUCACGUGGAACUAAAUGCGAUUGAUUUGGCUUGGGACACCGUUGUUCGCUUUUCUCCUCAUUGUGAGCAUCUUGGAGAGGGAUUUUUUGCUGACUUUGCUCAUGUGGCUGAUGAUGAAAGUCGACAUUUUGCUUGGUGUUUACAGAGAUUAGAAGAGCUUGGAUUUAGGUUGGUAUGGUAUUUUUGUUUUUUGUGAUAAUUGUCUUUGUUCAUAUAGUGACUAACAGCCUCUAUCGUUCUUCUUCUUCUUUUUUUCUUUUUUUUUUUCGCCCCGGGCAGCUAUGGGGAUAUGCCAGCUCAUAAUUUGCUCUGGAGGGAGUGUGAUAAAACAUCAGAUAAUGUUGCUGCACGUCUGGCUGCAAUUCCACUUGUCCAGGUACUCUGUUGGAUGUAUCUUUUGCAUCUUUAGUAUCAUUUGAAAUUCAGAUGCUUAUGGGAUUAUGAUUUUCCAAAAUUAUUUCCGAUGUCCAUAACAGCUGUACCUGAAUCUAUUUCUCUUCUUUCAGAGUGUUCUAUGAAGAAAGUCUCAUACUGGAUAAUAUUAAAUGCCAAGACAUGUUUAAUGCUGCCUAACUGUAAGAAAGUUGUCGGGUUCCUAACACAAAAAGGCUAUCUAAUAUGGUCAUUAUGUCCUUACCAGAGAAGUUUCCCUUCCCCAGCAGAAGCCUUAGGUGGCUGUGAAACUAGCUGCAUAUUAUUGCCCUAGGUCCACUCAACUAUUAGAAGAGCACUAGGGCCCCUGAAAGAGCUACUAUUUAAUCCCAAACUGCUCCCGACUCAGCAGUGAGGUAGAGAUGAAUUGGGAUGGAGGAGCAAUACCCUACCCUUUUUUUUUAGCGGAUUUCUAAAUUGACAGUUGAAACAAAAAAAAGCAAGCUGAUUGACUCAAGUAGGACUAGUUCCACAUGGCAUGAUUCCAUAUUGAUUCCAACGAAGAGAAAUUUUCCCAGUUAGAUAUGCAGUUAGGAUAACGAAUGGUUCACAUCUUCUGUUCUGAUGUUCUAGGAGGCCAGAGGACUUGAUGCUGGGCCUCGGCUUGUGCAGAAAAUGGUUGGAUUUGGUGAUCUUAGGACUUCAAAUAUUGUGGCUAAGAUUGCCGAUGAAGAACUUGCGCAUGUUGCAGUUGGUCUUUAUUGGUUUCUUUCAGUUUGCCGGAAGAUGGGUCGUGCGCCUUGCUCUACUUUUAAAGGUCUAACACGGUUACACUUAAUUUAAGCAGACCUGUUGCAAGUCUUUCUCUAAAUAUUGUGUUACUUAUGUGGCAGUCUUGCUGGAAGAGUACAAUGUAGAGAUAAAAGGACCCUUCAAUUACUCAGCUCGAGAUGAAGUUGGAAUUCCUCGAGAUUGGUAAGUGUAGGAAAAUUUCCCUUCAUUGAAUCCAAUUAACUUAAUGGGAAGCAGAACAAAUAAUUUUACUUGGUGUACAGGUAUGAUCCUUCAUUUUCAAGACAAGGAGAUGGGAAAGACGGGCUUUCUGAGGUAUUUAAUUUGAAGCUUCAAUCUUUAUCAGAAACUGAAAAUGCAUCUAUUUGAAGCAUAUGCUUACCUUUCUAAGUUUGUUCAUCGAAACCGCCUGCAGGUUUACGAUAGGUUAGCAUGCAUAAUUUCUAUGGAACAAGAAAACUCAAAGAUGGACGCGUCUCGUGGAUGAAUCUUACGUUAAGAAGCUGUAUAUAAUCCAACUUCAUGAAUGUCAAACCUCAUGUGGAACAACAAAAACUUCCAUUGCCCUUCUUACUGGAUGGUGAUUAUCAAUCUUCUCUAGGAAAGCUGCCCUGCAAGGUCAUUGGCCUGGUUGUGAUGAAUUAUCUUGGCUUGUUAGUGUUUUAUAAUUCCUGGUCCAGGAUUCCCAUGAUAGCACCAGCACAACUCCAAUCAAAGACAUCCUUGCAGGUUCCCUUCUCUUGGGGUUCUUUUACGUUAAUCAGGGAUAGAAGAUACUUCGGAGCUACAAUUCGCUAUAUAGUACUCGUCCUAUGAUAUUCCUCUUAGCUGAAGUUAGCAAUUGAUGUUCUGUUAUCUCAACACUUUCAUCUCCAGAACAAAAGAUGGACAGGAAUUAUUCCACAAACAAGUCAAGGAAGUGGAAAGGAAAACUUUUUUCUAUUUGUUUUUCCAGCAAAGAAGGAAGAGACACCUGAGUGCGUCUACGUCACAUUAUGCUUGUCAAUCUGGAAAGUAAAUCUCUUGCCAACGAAGAAAUUAGCAUCUAGAACCUAAUUCUUGAUUCACGUGUCCCCCAACAAAUACUCCUCAUUAGAUUACGUAUUGAAAAUUGCAUUAAACCCAUCAAUUAUCACAGCCUGAUUGCUUACUAUGUUUAGUAUAGGAUGACACUUUAUAGCUACGUGUCCUAUUAUUACCAUACUCAAAGAAGAAAAGAAGAGAGAGUUUUCUAGAGGGGACCGACCUUUGGGAGGCAUAAAUCUCACAAGAAUCAAGAAUUCAACAUCCAAAGAAAAAUCCCAGAACAUCAAGAAGUGAAGAAAACAUCACAAAGAAAUGUGCUGUGGAGAUGGAGAUUGUAGGCCUUUGGCCUUCCUAUUAAGCCUGCCCUUCGCCUUUCUUGCUCUCCUCGUCUCUCUUGUGGGCGUCAUCAUUUGGAUUGUCGGGUACGGACAUUUGACUCAUUUUUCUUCUUUUCUUUGCAAAUUUCACGGCUGCUGCGUCGUUUUCUUGACUUUAUUUUGUCAAUCAUGUUUUGAUUCUCUCUUCUUUUUUUUUUUCUCUCCCUUUCUUGAAUUUUAUUGAUUGGUGUAGUAUACUGUUGAGCAUCAUAUGCCCAUGUUGCCUGUGCGUGACUGUGCUAGUGGAGAUGGCCCUGCAAUUGAUCAAAGCCCCCAUCCACGUUAUGGAGUGGUUCACCUCUCAGAUUCCCUGCUAGAUUAAUUCUUCUCCCUCUUUUUGUAACUUCACUUCAUCUUUUUCACAUCUUUGUUAGGAAAUUGUAGACCCUGUUUUGUCUUCCUCUGCAUCUCUUGUCGUUAUUGAAUCAUUUACUUCAUCCUAGUUGCUAUUUCUAAUCCUUCUAUCUCAUGCUUAUCAAUUUCUUUGCUUUUUUGCUGGGGAAAAUACUCAUGAAGAGAGAGGAGACAACAUUUGAAAGUAGAAAGAAGGAUUUUCGAACAUAUGAACUGCACUGAACCUUAUGAGAUUCUUGAACAUAAGAAACCACGUAUCAAAGAGGAUUACAUACAACAGUUAACAGAAUUGAACAUCUGAACUGCACCCAAAUUUCCUUCGCCACAAAACAUAAGCAAACAUGAUGAAAAAAAAAACAGCAUCAUUGGAAGGCCUUUCAUACACAACAGCUUUAACAUGCUAAUAUAUGCGAAGCACUAAAUCAAUUUCAGUCAAGAUUGCCCUUUUUGCUCUUCUUUGUGUGAUUCAUCUUUAUCGAAGGUGUGAGUCUGACCAGGCAGGCCCUGUCCGGUGAGAAGAUCUGUCGUCGUUUGACCAAUUUCUGCUAAAGUUUCGCCAACUGCAUGCAGCACUCCACCGCCCUGUCCUUCUUGUCUCGUUUCUUCUUGGAUAAACUCCUUUUCUGUUGGUUUGGCUUCUCCUCCCUCUUCCUCGUAUUGCUUUUCCUUGGUGAUGAAUCCACCUUCCUACAUAUGUUUCAGGGUCAAAAAUCAAUCAGCAAAAGCCAGCCAAAGAGAAAAAAGGCACGGAGUAUAACACAAUUCCCACAGCUUUUGCAAUUUUCUAGGACAAUGCAACAUGCAAAAUCGCCUAGAAAAUACUUUGAUACUUGAUAGGUGAUACCUCAAAUGUAAAAAUUUGUCUUUUAUUAGUGAUUCAUAAGCACAAUUCUUCAGCCAGAUAUUUGCUUUACCUUUUGUCCUGUGAGCAUCAUAAAUAAGUGGUGCAAACAAAUCAAUUACUCGUAUCUUCAUGGUAAAAAAUCAUAAUCAGUCCAAUGUGCGAAUAAUGAAAAUUAUGUCUCACUGAUUUACCUUAACUGGAGUUGAUUUCUUCUCCUCUAAUUCUCUCUGAGCCUCAGCCUUCUUCCUAGCUGCAUGCUCGGCAGCACUUUCUUCAGUUGCGACUACAGCAUCUUUGGCAGCAGCCAAUUUACUCUCAGUAUACCCGACAACUCUGUCCUGCACCCGCCACCUUAUCCCUGGCCACCCCAGCUACAUCAGCCAUCACUUUAGUACCCAGAGCAGCCUUUUCUGCCGUGUAAUGUGCCGCACCCCAGCCAGCCACGGCCGCCAUAUCUGUGGCUUCCCCGGCCACCUUUCCCAUGUAUCCUACUGCAGUUUUGCCGCUUUCCACUGUAAUAUCCCUAACAACCGCUGUUUGUUCUCCAACGUAACCAGCCGCCUUCUUGGUUGCAUCCACAGUAGCAUCCUUAGCCUGGACCGCCUUUUCCACUGUAACAUCGUUGGCCUCUUGACCCUUUUCAACAGCGGCGUCCUUCAAGGCUUUAGCCUUCUCACUAGCAACUUGAGUUCCACGUUCAACACCUUGCUUGACAGAUUCCUUGGCUUGGCCUGCCUUUUCUGCAGCAUAUUGGGAUCCAGUUUGAACUCCUUGCUUCGCUGUUUCCUUGGCUUGCCCUGCCUUCUCAGCGGCAUACUCAGAUGUUGCACCAGGUUUCUGACAUGCCGCUUCCUUUGCCUGCCGCGAACGCUCCUCGGCAGCCCUGAUGGCCUCCAUGGAAUUCUGCUGCGCCUGUUGCCUAUACUCGGUUAUCUCCUCCAAGGAAGGCAUUUCUUUCUCUUUACCUUCCUCUUCGCCCUUCUUCCUUUCGAUCCCUUCACCCCUUUCUUCAUCUGUGCCUCCACCGGCUUUCACAGCCAGAGACUCAAAAUGGGUAGCCAUUUUUGGGACCCUGUCUUUCUCUACAUCGACUGCUCGCUCAUCCGUAACAUCUUCCCUUCUCAUUUGCUCUGACGACAUUGUCAAUUCUUGAUCAAAAGAUGAUAGAUAUCUUUGGAAAUUUCUUUUGGAACACAAAUGGAUUUUAUGUAGUAAAAAAAAUGCAGUACUAGGAUGUAUCCUAUGCAAUGUGACAGUGUGUGAGAAUUCGAGACAUCAGGAAGUUUGGAAAAUGGUUAUAAAAACUGAGGCCCAGAGGUGAUGGCGGUUUCCAAGGAGAUCGAUGAAAGAAGAGGAAAUGACAGGUGGGCAAAGCUCAUGCAAUGUAGUGGUGUUGUGGGGUGGUCGCCUGUGUGAGUCAGCAAUCGAGUCAAGCAAAGAUGUACACGUGUUUUUUUUUUUCAGCAGGAAUGAUACAACGAAUCGGCUAUGCUUUUUGAAAAAUUGUGUGGAUAAUUGGAAUUUAGAAAAAAGAAGAUGUAUAUGUAAAAAUUUCCAAGUUCAAACUUAUGUAAAUAUGACUGCAUGAAAAUGAUUAAUAGCGGCAAAUAUGAAAAUGGGUCAACGUGUACACCAAAACGGACCGAGAAAUGGAUAGUGCUGUUUUGUUUAAUAUCACAAAGGAAAGCCCAAGUGCCAGCAUUCAGCAGGAACAUACUAUUGAUGAUUCCCAACAAUUUUUUGGCACAAAAACGUUUGGGAUGAAUUAUUUCGAGUCAUCAUCAUGAGUCACGGCAUACCCCUGUAAUCAUACAUCGUUUUACAGAAAUUCUUACGAAUUGUUUAUUAAUACAAUUCUUACAUUCAUAAUGGGAUCCAAAUACAUGAUCUUUCCUAUACGACAGGCAGCAGAAAAGGUGAUUACAGAACUUAAUAUUUUUUUUUUUUUGGUCAAUUACUGAGAGAACUCAGACUUUUAGCAUAUAAAUUGAAAUCCCUGAACAACCUUCAAAAGCCGGCAACUUUUGAAGGCGUCCAGAGGACUUAUAAACUAACCCCCCAUAGUCGAUGUGGGAUAGAACCUCCACAGGACCUGCUGCUAGAACUUAGUAAAUGUAACUAUAAAUAUUAGAACCAUUUCCAAGUCAAAAUCUGGUUUCCACUCACUGGCCUGGAUCCAACUAGACAUGGACGGUGUUUCAAUUGUGGUUUAAUCAAAUCCACUUGGAUCCUCCUAGAUGGCAUGAGGCUUGUUGUCCACUUGUUUCAUUGAACUAGCCCAAAGUGCUAAUGCGUUUAUAAUUCAAGUUGCAAAGCAGUUGCCAAUCAGCCCGUAGUCUAGUGCUGUAGACUAAUGGAAGUCCCCAAAGAGAGACUGGUAUUCUUUCGAGGGACUGAAGUAAUAAUCAGUAUGUUGAAUUGAUGAAAUUUGGCAGUUUGAAAACAUGCAUUUCCAACUGAAGUGCCAAAAGAGCUUCAAAUUUAAGGUUAACACGUUCGAGUACUAAAGAAUGACUUGUCAAAGCCCCUGUGUUGCAAAACUUCCAGUUUAAAAGGCGAUAUCGAUGAAUGGUAGAAUUUUAACCGCAUUAACAGAACAAAAAGAUGGAGCAAUUCUGACACAAGACAAGAGUAUGCUAUAGUUGCCUGAAAUUGGCCUAAAAAUAAUCCAAUAACAUUAAAAAUUCUCAAAAAAUGAGAACAACUUCUUAGUCAGGCAUCCUCUCAUGCCAAAAAGCCCCUUUAGUCUCCACUUUACAAUUGAAACAAUCAAACAGUGAUCAAAUUAUUCCCUUGCAUUGCAUGAGAUAAAUAGAAUAGAGCCAAUUUCUACCCUUAAACAAUGGACAUUUCUUUCUGUUGAUGAACUAAGUAUCAGUCAGAGUUCAUUCCUGCUACCCCUUUUUUCUGUAUCUUCCCCAUCAACCAAAAAGAGCUGCAUAAAGAAGUUCAUUCCAAGUAUCAGGCAAUCCAGGCAGACACCAAUGGCUGCAGUCCAGGCCUUUGUUCUCACUGUAGUAUGUUGGAUGUGCAUCCUUGCGAUAUUGUGAAAGUGUUGUGAUGUCCAAUAAAUAAACUGGUUUCUUGAUUCUGCUCAGCACUUUGUUCAGAAUUAUUGAAGCCAAUGGUGUGCCUGCCGGAUACCUUGCACCAAAGUAUGGCUGUGUCUCGCCAGCACAGGAUCUUGACGGUGCAUUCCAUUCCCUGCCCCUGAAUUCAAUUGCAGAGAUUAACAACCGCUAAGAUUCUGUAGACUAGUUCAAAGGCAAAGUUCUAAAGUGUUAAUCUUAUUUAUGUCAGUAUACUGACAAUGUACAUACACUGUUACGGUGGUUAGAUGUUUGAUAAUUAUACAAAAUUUAAAUUUAGAUUAAUUGUUAAGUUUUUAACGGCGAUACUAUAUUUACUGUAUCAGUGUGUAUAAAAUUAAUUUAUUUUUAAACAAAACUUCGAAGGGUUAACUCUUGAAGAAUUAUUUUUCACGAAAAAUAGAUAUUGCAACUUUUUUUUUUUUCUAAUUUGUUCAAGAAGAGACUCUAAACUUUACAACGGGGAGGGAAAAAAUAGGCAUUGCUACUUGUUAGUGGUGAUUUCGUAGUAGCAAAAAAAUGGAAUGCUAAAUUCUUGUCAAACUAAAUAUAUUGGUUCUUCUACAAACAACCAUAAUGUUUAUCUACGAGCCUUUUGGUUUUGAUAUGUAUAUGCAUAAUUUGCGUACUUGGAUUUUACAAUGAAAUUGGAGGAAAAUUGCAAUAAACUAAUCUCAAAUUGGGUGAGGAAUUGGGAACAGAGAAAUUGCUUACAAGUAGUGAGUAGGGGAAAUUCCUUGGAAGAUGACUUUAGUUUUGGAAGGAUCGACGUUCCGGUCGACCCAUCUGGCCCAUGUUGUCAUCCCUAUGUAGUAAGCAAUCAGACGGUUCAUAUCUUUCUGAACUUUGACGCCAUCUUGUAUGUAAUCCCAUCUGCGUUAGAUCAUAGGGCACUGAAAUCAAUUAAUACAGCCUAAAAUAUAAAUUGACCAUAAAAAUUUCAAUCAUAAAAAAUUUAUGAAAUUGGAGAAUUUACGGCUGGGAUCUUCCAGUAUGGGUCCACCAAUGCCAAGAGUUGAAAAUUAGAAGGUCCAUCCCUCUCCAUGCAUCUCCACCCCUAAUGGAGUCCAGCUUUAGAACUACGCCCUCCUUUUCCUUCACCAUAUCCACCAGGUAUGGGGUGCGAUAUAGUAGUAUCCUAACAUUAUAAUCCUAAUCAAACCAAAAACAAAUCACAAUUGUUACCACAAGGCCUCCAUUUUUCUUUUUUCUUCUUUUUUUUUUGCUACAAAAGAAUAUACAUGACAACGUCUAAGAGUAAUAAAAAGAAUCUCAGAAUUAUUAGUCGAGAAAGUGUAAGUGAAAGAUUUCGAGUUCGAUUCCUCCACACAGAAUAAAAUCUACUUGUAUGGUUCUAGUAAGUCAACCAUCUUUGUUACUUUAUCUGAGAAAUUUGAUUGCUACAUUUACCUUAAAUUAGAUCAACAAAAUUGCAUACAAUAAUUCUUUAACAUUCCAUUGAUGUUUAACAUAUUCCUUUUUUCUUUUUUUUUUUUGGUUCCUUCUAUCCAAGAGAGAACACAAACCGUAAAAGGGGAGAGUGUGCAAAAAGAAAGAUUGAUAGUUGAAUCAAAUACGUUAAGAAUCACUUGACUAAUGUUCCUAUAUUGUUUGGAAUGUGGUUUUCUUUAGAAAAAUUUUUAUGUUUUACGUGAACAUUAUUUUUUAAUCUUUUAUUUACGUCACAUACAUCAAAUCCUUACUGAAUAUUUUUCUAUAAAAAAAAACUUUUAAAAAUGACAAUCGAAAUUAAAGUUAAAUCUAAAACAUCAUAGUAACGACUCAAAACGUUUAACUUUUCAAAAAAGAAUUCGAAAAAUAUUUAUCUUCCUAAAGAUGACACUACUCACACCCAUUGCCAUUCACGAGUUGUUGAAGAUAGGAUUCACAAUAGGCCAGAUGGACACUUAGAAGAAAGCAAAUCGCAGACAGGAUGGUCCAUGGAUUAGCUGUUUGGGACUUCUUUUUCCCGAUUCCGUAUUUCAGUUCGUUUCUACCAACAUGCGUCCUUGUCCGGCUGUCCCGUCCCUACUUUCUGUUUUUGCCAACAAGGCAAUCACGCCAUCACUUUGACCAAAAAUCACUCCUAAGUUCCACAAAUAAGGGUAGGUGGUCCGAUUUUCUUCAUCAAUACAACAUAAUUUAUCCACUAAUCUCCUAUCACAGCCUCCUUAAGCUCUCACUUUUCUUAAAUUAAAAUAAAGUAAAUUAUACAAAUGUAUCGUUGCUGAUAAAAUAUAUAUAUAUAUAUAUAUAUAUAUAUAUAUAUAUAUAUACUCCUUCUAUACUCGCCUUCAUGGACUGAUGAAUAAAGUCUACCAAGAUUGGAUAAUUUUGUAUUAUACAUUAAAUUUCAACUUCUUCACGGAUAACUUUUAUAUACAUUGUGAGUGUAAAAAUUUUUUUAUGCAAGUAGAUUUAAAUCACACGACACUUAACACAAAUUCAAAUUUGAAAUUCAAAUCAUGAAUACAUGACAUAUAUCUAAAACGGUUAGUAUAAAAAAAAACAUUACACAAUCAAUAUAUAAAAAGUCAACCCUUUCUUUAUUAGCAAAAUUUUCAAUUACUGUGCGCCCUUAGAGUACAAUAUAAGCACACCAAAAAGAAGGAAGGGGCCAAAUAUGAAAUUAUGACGUCAUCCGACUCCACCCCUUUUGUUUUGUCUAGAAUAUUUAAUUUUUGCAGAUAAUAUAUAAUAUAAGUGGACCAUGGCUGUAUAGGUGCCCUUUAGUUAUAGAAGAGAAGAACCCUACAUUACAGCAGCUUUCCAUAGUCAAAAUUUCAUGAUAAACCCGGAUGGUGAUGUCGAAAUACAAAAUUUGUCAAAAUUGACAAGAUAAAAAACUUUGCAGAAAACCCAAUGAUCGAUUUUCUAUAUUUUAGGAUUUGAAACAUGAAAAAAUUUGAAUGCGAAAUUAUAAAAAAGAGACGUUGUAGCAUAAAAUUGAUUGAACAAGUCCAGAAUUUAUUAGGAAGCAAGCAAAUAAGCCAGAAUGCCUCUUUCACCAAAUUUAAUUCUACCAAAGAAGACAACAAAACCCGAAUUAAUUAAUUGAUUAGUCAUUUUCCAGCAGUCCUCCUCCCCUCUAUAAAAAGACAAAAAAUCAUUAAUUAUUUUAAAAAAUAAGCCAAAAGUCCUUCUCUUUUUUUCUUUUUUCUUGUGGACUACCGCUUCAACUUUAUGCGUGGUUUUCUUCCACAAUCAUAAUGACACCCUCAUAUUCUACCAGAUUUUUCAAUCAGGCCUCCCUCAAUUACUCCUGAAAGAUGGUGCAUAUUACUACUACUAGUAUUUUUUACCAUCACCAUUUUCAAAAAGAUUCCUGUUCUUUUUUUGUUUUUUAUGUCAAAACACUUACAAGACAAAUUGGGACAAAUUUACAACAUGUAAUCAUUAGCAAGACUUUUAAAUUCUUCUCAGUUUAAGUUCUUUUCACAGAAGUCUCAAAUGUUGCAGAUGCGUUUCUUUGUCCUCUUCUUUACCAUAGCUUUCUCCAUGUGAAAGAAAAGGCUAAAUGCGUUGAAAGUUUCAUGGACAUGGACCAAUCGACAACUUUGCAAAAAAAUUGAUUCUUUUCUUCCUCAAAACAACUGGCAAUUCACCAAGCACGCCAUCACUCCAGAAACUUUCUAGCCAAACAACUAUGGAGAAAAUGAGAAAGGUAUUAACAACUGGCAACUCACCAUCGGAAUAAAGAAGUCAGCAAAAAGUUUGUGUCCCAAAAAUUAAUGCCCUGAUCUAUCCGGUCUCAGGAGCAUAUGGGGUCCCAAUAUUUCCUUUACCAACUCGAAUUCCAUCUUAAAGACGGCAGUGACAUUCGGAAACCAAACAUUUAUUAUUAUCAAUUUACGGAAGAAAUCAAGAAACUGACAAUAGCCACGAAGGCAAUGGCAAUUGAAUUCAAAUCAAGUGCUGAAAAAUUGCGACGUGAACUAUAAAAAUUUGAGUUAUACUACUAUAUUAGGUGCGACAUGCCCAUUAUGUGGUAAUAUUACGUGAUGCACUUAGUGUUAACAAAAAUUCAUAGCAUUAAUCUGUCUGAAAAACACUUGCAAUUAUUAUUUGAUGACAGAUGAUUAGUUUUAGUGCAUCGCGUGAGCUAGCGAGUAUGGUCUUACUAGUAGCCUCUCCGUCAGUCAUACUGGCUUAGCUGAGGACAUGGUACAGUACGAGCAGAAUGGAGAAGAAAAUGGUUGUUUGACGGAGCGCAAGUGACAAAAUUUGGGGCAGAAAUAACAGAAGGGAAGUGUAGUCAUGAACAUCUAUCACUUCACCUUCCAAAAAGCUAGGACAGAGACAGGAGACAGGUGAUGCAUGCACCAAAUCAAGUCAUCAUUCAACCAAUUCAACAGGAAAAGUAGCUCAAAAUCUUGAAAACAUUAGGCGGUGAACCAUCAAGAGAUAAGACGCAUGAAGAAAGAAACAUGGCCGGAGAUUAGGACUAAAACUUACCAGAAAUGCAAUUUCAGAAAGCACCUCUUUCGUUAUCAGACUGUACCUAGCCUUCGGCGCCCAAGAGUGAAUCAUGCAACCCAAAGAUGCCCACAUGUUGAAACUCAAUGAAUCGCCAACAAACAUGAUGUUCUUCCCCCUCCAUUUCUCCAAGAAAUACAGCCCAUUAAACCUGCAAAAAAAAAGUAGCAGAGUUGGAACUCCAAUCCCAGACCAGAAGAGAAUUCAAGAAACCAAAGUUGAGAUUGAAGAGCACUCGUGGAGUUUGUACCUUGGGAGGUUACAUGAAAAUGGUUGCCACCUGUAUUUGAGGUACAACUUGUCAGGCCUCUUGUAGAGGAGACAGUUGAAUUCUGUAUCAAUGAAGGGACAUGAUGCAUAAUCAUAGAGGGGAUAUUGAGCAUCAUAUACCCAUUUGCCUCUGAAAAUGUUGCAACCAGAAGCAAGCAUUGUGGCUCCAACUGAACUAGUGGUACUAAUAUUGGCAGCAUUCAAGAAAUUGUCGAUUUCAUCAUCAGCUUUUGCUGUUUGACAUGAACAAAGAAAGAGUAAAAGUACUGAAGGGAUGAACAGAAAUCUCAUCUUGGAUUUCUAGCCCAGCAGAUUUGUCGGAGCUAAAUAACGAGGUUUUGAGGUAAAGUUUGUCAAUGUGUUUCAUGUACUAUAUAGUGUACAACAUUAUAUACUAAUAUUGUGUGAUACUGAUGGACUCUGGUUAGAAAGAGAGAGAGAGAGGGAGGGAGGGAGGGAGAGAGAAUGAUGAGAAAGUAUUCCCAGUUGCACAUGCCCUUGAAAAUUAGAUGAACCCCACCUCCCCCAGGCGCCAACAAACAAGUGUCUUUUUUUUUUUUUUUUUCUAAUAUAUAUCCAUUUGUGAAUUGUGAGUUUCUAUAAGCAGAAUUAAAAAGAAUUGUGAUUAAUCUGAUCUUGUUUGGGUUAUAUGCUGGACUUUAGCCUGUGGGGUUGGUAAUUUUUUUUCUUUUUUUUUUGUUGCAUUUGAAAUAUUUUGAAACCUCAUUUGAGUGUUCUUUUUCUUGAAAGAAAAGGAUGGCCUUUUUUAUAAAGUUCUCUUUGUGUACUUUUCUUGUGUUUGGUAGGUGAUUCUAAAACUUUUGGUAAAGGUGGCAAUAAACAUUAUUAUUAAUUGCAUAUGCUAAGGUUAAUUGUCUCUAGCAUCAUUAUUAAUUAAGCUGCACAUUUUGUUAAUGACUUCCACUCGCAGCUGCCUCUCUUUCUGUUCAAAACCAUGGGCUAUAAUACAUAAUAUUAGAUUCUGUUUCCUUCUCUUUCUCACAUUUGCUCUUAUUAACUACUAGUGGCUUAAGCAUUCUUUUUCCCUUGUAAACAUUUUAGGAAAUGAAAAUUUUUGAACAAACUCGACCAUUUAACAAAUACGGGGUAAUAAAGGAUCUUUUAAACUUAUCUAUAAUCGAUUUAUUCAUGGCUUUGGGGUACUUUCUAGUUCGACUUUCAAUUCUCCUCUUUCCUUUCUUUUCUUUAGUAAGAUUUAGAAUCUCUCUUUAGAUUUCAAAACAAUGUACCUGAAAAUAUUGUCAGAAAAGAAAUUUUUUUCCUUGAAAUUUGGUAAACGAGGUUUUUUUUCCCUUGAAAUUUGGUAAACGAUUGAACAUCUAAUGCAAAUAAACAACAAAGUCUCGACCGCCAGAUCCAAGCCCAACGAGACUACGGUCAUAUCCUUUGAUCUAGUGCUGAUUUAGGUCAUGUUUGGAUUGUAAUUUUUUGGAGUUUUCAUAAAAAAUGUAUGGUAACGAUUUGAUAUAUGUGAAGUAAAAAGACGAUCAGAAAACGUAUUUACGGAAAACGCAGAGAUUUUUUAGUGAAAAAUUCCUUUCUAAACAAGGCCUUAGACUUUUGCAAAAACUUCAACAAAUCAAAUGGGGGCCAUGAUUCAAUUUGUUUCUUUUGUUAAAAUCAAGUUCCUGGGAUAACCGGUGAAUAGAUAAAUCACAUGUAAGAAAAGCUCGACAUUUUUUCCAACGGUGAGAAUUUAAUCUUAGUCUAUUUUACUCUUUGAUCCAUCCUAGAAAUUGAAUAAUUACACGCACAUUUCCUCUAACGCUUUUGUAUCAUUGAACUAACCCACAUAAUAUAGAAAAUAAAAAUAAGCAAAAUCAUGAGUUUAAAGAGUUUGUUGUGGGAAAUUAAAAUUUAAGUCUAGAACUAGACGAGGUGUCUUUGUAAUUAGGACAAAGCUCAAGGGUGGAUAGUAGUAGUGUUAAAAAUCCCUGCCGUGCUCGUGCUUCUUCUUCUUCUUUCUUUAUCAUACAUAUUAGAACUUUCCGUGUGAAUUUUCUUUGCUACCAUAAUCACAUUCGUCCAAUUAAAGUAGUGGAGGACACUAGUGACUGUUGAUCGAGACCAGGCCACACCACAUAUUAUUAUUGUUUGAGUAUGAUAUUACUUUAUUUACAUGGCAAGAUAAAGAAAGAUAACAAAAAUGAAAUUGAUGUCUUGGAAGAUUGAAAAUUCAGCCAAUUGAGAUCGGCUGACUUCUAUCUUAUUGAAGUUACAAUCAAUCCAACAUCAUGGAACCAUCCUCAAGCUUUUCUUUUUCUAUUUCUUCUUUUCUUGUCUCUUCUUUUUAAUUUUAAUCACUCUAGAAGUCUGAAUUGGUAUUGUGUUUACAAUAUUGUUGUCAUUAGUUAAGUAAGAGUACUUGAAAGAUGGAUGGAAUUAAUUGGACAAAAGAGCUGAUAUGAUAUGGCAAUUUAGGGAUGAUAGUUUCUUUCUGCCAUGUAUCCAAUAGUUAUUUGCUUAGCCAUCACUCUUUAUUUAUCUCCUAACCAACCAUCCUGCUAUGUGCUCGACACUUGUGAACCUUAAUAACUCAAAGGCUUAUGAUUGGAAAUUAUUGUGUUUUUUGGUUACGUACUCUGGUUAUUUUCUUGCGAAAGUGGAUAAAAAUGAUGAAGUGGCACAACACCUGUAAAAUGUAGUAUUCAGCUAAUCAAUUCAUGGAGGGGACUGUUUUCAGGCACCGUUUUGGAUUGAGGGAUAGGGGUUCAUUUGUGAUUAUUAUUUGGACAAGAAUUCUAUUAUUAUUUUUUUUAAUAGAGGAAACUUUCUGGCUAGUGAGGGCAACGGGGCGGAAUUGGGGCUCCGCCUCAGCUUCUUCUGUGGGGUUAAUAAAAAUUUGUUAUAUAAUUUUAUUAUAAUUAAAUUCUAAUAAAUAAUUAAGUGCUAAAACAUCAAUACAUCAUCAAAUCAUUAUCUGUUGUAAUUUUAUAAUUAAAAUUCAUAAAAAUAAUCAAACAAAAACUAUUUGAAUAUAAUCUAACAUGAUGAAACAAAUACAACUAAAGUAGUCAAGUUUUCACUUUUGAAAAAAAUACAAUCACUAAGUUAUUAUUGUAUUUUAUUUGAAAAAAAAAAGUAUUGUUGUGUUAAGUGUAAUUGAGGAUUUAGUGUAAAUGUAUUAGUAAAUUUAAUAUAACUAAUUAAUAAUUUCUAUUAGUAGACAUGUAUAAUUAUUCGCAUAAUUGAUAAUAUCAAUUAUAUUACAUAUACCUAUAUAUAUUAUAUAAUACUUAUAACUAAUAAUAAUAUUAUUAUAAGUUUGAAACUAAUUAAAUUAAAUAAUAUAUAUAUAUUUUAACGGAUGGCGGGGCGGGGGUCCUUAAUGGAGAGGAAAAAAAUUCCCCCCUAACCCCCAUCGGCUGCGGGAAUCCAUCCCAAUUGUCAUUCAUAUUUCUAGCAGGCCCUUGAACUAUUCACUUUACAUGGUUUUGGUCCCUAAAUUACAAGUUAUCACAAAUAAAUCCUUAAACGAAAAAAUGCUUAGUUCAAGGAGUUCCAUCAAAUUUGAGUGUUAAAUGUAACAGAACUAGGAGCAAAAUCAAUCAAACAGAAAAACCGACCCAUGAUUUAGUUAAAAACCUACAAUGUUAAGCCAACUGAUAACGUGAAAUUUAAUGGUUUAUCAUCUUCUUUCAUCUUUCACCUUUUCUAGCCUUAAUUUGAUGAAAUAAUCAGUCACUAGACUUUUUAGAUUGUUUUUGUGGGUUGAUUUUUUUUUUGGUCUGUUUUGUCCCUAAUUCGGUCACAUCUAAUGGCCAAAAUUGACAAAAAUCCUUAAACUAAGCAUUCUCUUUUUUUUUUUGGGUUCAAGGGUUUAUUUGUGACAAUUUAUAGUUGAGAGGCAAAAACCAUGCAAAGACAAUAGCGCAGGGUUUGUCCGAAAAACUUCCUCUUUUUAAUAUGUUUUCCAACCAAAUUAUAUUUUGUAUACAUCACUAUCAUUACAGCACAAAAGUGUCAUAAUAACCAAUGCAAAAAAAAUUUCCAAACAACUUUCAACCCAUACAUAAUAUAACAAGGAGCAGUCGUAGACAGAACGUAAUGGUGGUACCUUUUGAUUUUGAAUUUUGGGCAAAUUUUGAAGUGUCAAUAGGGGUGUCUUUGGGUCUGUCAAGUAACAGUGGAAAAUCAAGAAAUGAGUACCUAAUAGAGUAUAAAAUUGAUUGGUUUUCGACGUGACAGAAUUCAAUUCAGGAGUCAUUGAGUUUUGACAUGAUGAAAAUUGAAGAAGGGGCUCAUGUAGUAGGGUCUGCCGUUUGUCCCAAGAAUCGAUCUUCCCCACAAAAAAAUGAAAACUCAGCAGUAGCCAUUUGCAUGGCGGCAUUCCUCCAUACUUCUCUUUCGGCGUUCCCUCACCUAGUCAACCUCAUGUAAUAAUUCAUAGUGCCGCCAAAGCCGCCUCCCCACCACUUCUUGGUGCUAACACCCUUGCACACACGCAUGGUGGGCAAUGGCGCACACAAUACAUAUACAUACAUACAUAUAUAUAUAUAUAUAUAUAUAUAUAACAAUAUUUGGGGGAAUUAUUUGAGGUGGAUUUUGAAAUAAAAUGCUAGUUAAAUAUUACUUGUUCUGAAAUUUUUAUAGAAAGGAAAGUGCAAAAAGAGGAAAGAUGUAGGGAGAAGCGAAAAGGGACUAAAAAUGGUGUGACUCGACUUUUUGUUGUAUGGCAAAUACGGAAAACCUUUAGUCUAGGAUAAUUUUUUAACGUAAAUCGCUGCACUUGAUUUUCCAUAAGAAACACUUCUUAAUCUAUACGUUAAUUUAGAGGCUUUCUUAAAGAACAAAUAAAAUGAAUUCCAAUCAUUCAAUUGGUGGCCCCAAAAUGGUACUUUUUUUUGUGUGGAAUAAAGGAGUCUUGUAACAUUGAUUAGUUACUUAUGAAUUGUGGGGGAUGGGGUCAAGUUUAGAACCAUAUGGAAAAAGCCACACUGUCUUGUAGUUUUUUUGUAUAGUGCUUCACAUGUGGCUUGGUCACUAAGACUAUCAACUUGUGAGUUGUGAGGCCUGAAAAAAAAGAACUUUGUAUUGAGAUCUUGAUCAGGGAAAUGAGGAACUGAAUCCACUUGGGGGUUUGCCCAAAAUGAAGAUUUUCACCCAAAUUUAAGUUUGGCCAGAGUACCAAAGAUCACGUUAAUGUAAUCUACAAUUAUAGAGAAGUCACGUAGUUUUUAGAACUAGGUAUUAUAAUCUCUGCAAUCAACUUUUGAAAUUAUAGAAAAAUUACUGUAGCGAUUUGAUAUAUGUGAGAUAAAAGAUGACUGAAAAAUGUGUUCACGGAAAACAUAGCAAUCUUUCUUUGAAAAAUUGCUGUCCAAACAUGGCUAACUUGGCAAGCCUAAGAGCAAAAUAUCUAGUUCUUUAGAACUUGAAUUUGAGACAUGCACCAUUUCUUUUUUACUGUCUACGAUUUAUUUAAAGCUUUUGUCACAUUUGAAUGGUGAUGACAGAUAUUGCUUCUAAAGCAAGUAGCUAGGGCAACUUUGGCCACAUGUAAUUUGUAACAUUCAUUUGUUGUCUUCUUGCAACGUCAAGUCAUCCAGCCAUCUUGAUCGUAAUUGAUAGCACCAUCUAACAUGGUGGAUCGGCUAAAACAAGAAAUCUUGACUGCAAUUGAUAGCAUCCUAUAAUAAACGUACAAAACUUACUUUACCAAGUAACGAAUGGGGUGUUUUAGAAGCCAAAAGGAUAAUGGAUUAGGUUCCAAGAAUCACUUUUUUAUCUCUAUUUUGUCCCCUCUCACCCUUACUUUCUAUCCUCUCCUCUCCCUAUUGAAGUUUUUAACUACUUUUUUGGUUAUACACGGAGGACUACAGUAAAGAAUGAGAGGGGAACGCUAAGAGCCCAUUUAGAUUACUAUUUUUUUUAAGUUUUUUUUUUGCAGAAAAAAUGUACCGUAACAAUUUAAUAUUUAUGAAAUAAAAAGGUGAUUAAACAGUAUAAAAAUCUGAUUUAACAGUUAUCCUGCUGUCCAACUUCUGUGAGGAGCUGGAUCCAACCUCAAUCAGGAAUUUCUUUCCUGGAUCAGAAUGGCAUCCAACCAUCAUUUUCCCCCAGCUUCCUAAUGGAUGAAACAUAGCGGCGGCCUCAGUAUUCAUGAAACUUGAAUUGUAAAUAAAGAUUAAUAAAUUAACUGCAAAUUUACAGGAUGCCACAGACCAGACAAUCAAGGGAUUUACUAUUAGAAGCCAUUCAUUCAUUCAUUCAUAAAACUGGGUUUUCUGCAAAUCAUAUGAUAGUAAGGACCAUUAAAUGGAAGAUUUCCCCUUCUAUACAUAACUAACUUAAACCCUAUUAUACUCUUUUAAGGCGAAACAUCUCCGCUGGCCAUUAUUUACACUCUUUUAACACAUUGUCAGCUUCCAUUUGCUGCAGGUGGAAACCAAAUAGUACGAACUAAGGCAAUCUUAUUUACGGCAGCAGCACAUUUAGACAAGCUCCCACUCAGUUUCAGAACUAUGAACUGGAAAUGACUUGGUGUUAGACUCUGCAGGACGAUCGGUCAUUGCUCUCUCUGCACCCUCUUGAUUUGAGCUUUGCUCGGUGUACCUCGCUGCAAGCUGCUCAUAUUCCUUCUUGUUUAACCUCAUCCUGGAGGAAAAAGCUUCGCGUAAUUUUUUCUACAAGAAGAAAUUUGUCCAGUCAGGGAAGAAAAGUUCACACAAGAAAUCCUUCAACUCUAACAGAUGAGAGAGAGAGAGAGAGAACCUUGUAGGAUUUGUGAUUGCCCUUCCCUUGAGGUAAAAAAUGAGGCUGAUCCCCCUCCACCAAGACACAUGUUUCCUCUAAUUUUGACUCAUUAAACGGCUCAAUAAUUUCCACGUCCGGGUCCACAGUAUCAUCAUUCUUGGCUGCAUUUACGCUAUAGUCAUCCAAUCUUUCUGUCAAGCAUAGAGAAAGAACAAUAUUAGCAAAAGCAGAGACCUACUGAGGAAGAGGCAGGAAAGUCACUGGUACAUAAAUUUGGUGCCUAGGUUGCGUCAGCCCAUACUGUGCUUGGCUAUUUUUUUGGACAAGAUUUUUUUUAUUGCGUCGUAAACACGUCUUCCAAUUACUUUGUUUAUAUCAAAUCACAAAAAAUGCUACAGUUAUCCUAAAAUUUUUUUCAUGAUCUUGCCUAUCCAAUUUUCUGGGAGAGAGAGAGAUAGAGAUCAUGAGAUUAUAUGAUUGUUUGUCGUGAAAAAUUUUCAGCCAAAAUGCACAAUAUAGAAGGAUGACAAUCCAUCAAAUAUGAAGUCCUAAAAAAAUCCCUCGUCCAACAAGUUCAGUCUCCAGAUUGAGAAGACAACAGGUAAUCCCAUCUAGUAAUGCCAUAAUUGACUUCACUUUAGGUAAAAAUUGAUCCACUUCAUCUCAAUUUGCAUAGAUGCAAGUCCUAGAAUGACUUAUAGAAAUGAUCCUCUCACACAAAGUUUAACCCUUUUCUGGACGCAAUAGACCGAGACCUUUAAUGAUUGAAUUACAUUCCAUCACUUGGAACUCGACUUUCCAAUAACUUAGCCAUAAGAAAGGUUGGAAUACAAUUUGCUUUUAUUAAUACCUUGGUGGGCCAUGAAGACCUCCUGCUCAACAGAUUUCAUGCUGUCUGUUCCAGUUGCAAUAGUCUUCUGAGUCUGGGAAACCACUCUGCUGUUUGUACAUGUGCCUACAGCUAAAGCAGUAGUUAGGGUGCGUCAAAUGCAGAAAUUCAUAAUGAAAUAAGUGAAAAGACAAAACUGAAUCCAGUUUUAGAUGAUACCAGAGGACUCGGAUGAUAAGCCAUCAGAAGAGGAAUCAGCUUGCUUCUGCUCAGCUGAUACAACUGACACAAUUGUUUUAGUAGCGGUAGCUGGUGAAUUAAAUGAAGCACGAGACAUAGGCAGACUGGUAUCAUCCAUAGGUUUACAAAGCUUCUCAUUUGCAAUUCUAGAGCAUUCUUCAGCGCCAGCCGAUGGCGAUAAGACAUCAACACAACCAGAGGCCAUUUGACAACUCUUUUUCAUUUGAGAAAAUGAGGACAGGUUUCUUAAAUUCUCUGAAAAUGGUGCAACUGGCCCAGUCACAGGGGGCAUAAAAUUUACCAUAGAAUUGCUUUUCCUACUGGUUACCGGACGUCUGUAAAGUCCAGUUUUCCUUUUACCUGUAUGCAACAAGAGUAAGAGCUAUAACUUUCACUGUGAUGGAAAAGAAUGAAAAGAAGCAUAUCCCACCAAAAUUUUGAAAAAGAACAGAAAGUCCAAAUCUUUACCAGAAAUUACUUUAGACUCAUCACUUAAUUUCCAAUUGGUAUCUCUACCAUCUUUUUUAGCAUUUGCUUUCAGUAUCAUUUUGGAGUGAGCAUAAGGAUUCAAUGACAAGUCAGCAGCAGCCACUUUCACAGGAUCAACAUAUGAAUCUGAGUGCAAAUCUUUCAUCACUUCUGAAUAGAACCUCUUAACACUAGCACCAACAGUCUGGACCUGAUUUUCAACAUAUUUGACAGCAUCCUGUCAAAAAUUAAACCACUUAAAAUAACAAACACCCACACUUUGAGACUACAUACACUUAGAUUCGAUAAGACCUCCCAAGGCAAAGCACGCAUAGCACAUUAUUAGAUAAUCAAAUCAGUAAUUUUGUCUGUGAAAACCACCACUAACCAACUUCAUAAUGUAUCACCAAAAGCAAAGAUAAGAACAUAAGUGGCACCAGAGAUUACUUUAGAAUAGAAAAGAUAACUUGUAUUCACCACAAGUAAGGGCAUCUACCUCAUACAUAACCUCUUCCAUCUCCAGACACAUAGCUUCAAACUUGUCAUAUAUGUUUCCAAUCCAUGCUAAACCUUUUAAGUCCAUCAUGCAGUUACUUCAGCACGUCAAGGCUUUAAUGCUCAGCUGCAAAAUUCAACAAAGGACUUUUGUAAGAUUUACAGCAAGAGCUUGCCUAAUAGCAAGAAGCCAUCGGGUACUAAGACACAGUUUAUUAAUUAUUAUAGCAGCAUCCAUUGCAAAUUUGCUACCAAGUGACAAAACAGUAUACAAGCUGAUCAUCAAAAUUGAGCAUAAUCAUUAUAGCAUAAUGAACUCAAUCAGUCAACAAUUUUAGCCCUCUGAGUCAUAGUUCCAGUAAAUGUUCUUUAGUCCUACAAUGUACAGUUCCCUGAUGCUCAAUAACAUAAGUAGAAGGGUUGCAAGAACAAACUAGGAACCAACAUUCUAGCUAAAAUGGGGUAGAAAAAGUCCACCAAAAUACAUUUCAGGCAGAGGGCUAGAAAGAUUCAUGCACAACAAAGGUAUGGAAUAAUAUCAAGGUUGGUUGAAUGUUUGUGAUAAAAAUUCUUAGUAGUUCAACCUGAUGCAUUGUUCUAAGCUGCAUAUUCACAAUCUACAUGUAAAGAGAAAUUAAAAUUUAGAAAAAAGAGUAAUUUCAUCUAAGCAAAUCCUCCAAAUAUCCAUCAGAAAUAUAUCAUCAAUAACAUAUAAUUCGAGCAGUAAACCAGAGGAAAGAAAAUUUUCAGGGAAAAAUAGUUUUGGUAAAUGGUUAGCUGAGACAUCAAAGGAAAGAUCCUACACAUACGAAGAAGGAUGCUAGAUUCCUAAUUCAUAUUGCAAAAGCCCUCUCCAACUCAUGCCUGUCAAUCUCAACAGCAGAGGGCCUCUAAGGUAAUUAUGAAUUAAGACCUUCAAAAGUCAAGCAUUUUUACUAACUUCAUAUAAUUCCCAAAAAGCAAACAGAAUAUAGAGAUUUUCACAGCAUUCAUGGUGCAGAUUUUUUUUUUUUUGCAGAGAAUAUGACUGAAAUCUUUGCAGAAGAAGAAAGCAUAAACCUAAACUGUAGAAUUUGCAGCCAAUCUUUGGCUAAUUUGAAUCAUUCAUAACAACUACAAUUUUAUAAGCUAGUACUUUCCAAUGCUAUCAAUAGUAGGCUUCAUCAAGCAUGACUAAACAUGGAAGCAUCAGAAUGAAGAGUUCAAUUAGUCAGCAUAAUUAACUAGGGUUUAUCUUACUGCUUUCAAUUGGAAAUAAGACAGCUAUUCCCGAGGAUCUGGAACUACUCUAGUUGUUGGAUGUUUUUCUAGAGAACAAGACAAUUAUAUUUAUUUGCACGACCCCCUAAGCCAAAAACCCUAUCCUCAAAUAGACCAACUCCACAUUGAUCUGUCAAUUUCAGGAUAGACAGACGUGCUUGAGCUUCACAAUCACCAGUUUAAAUAAGGAAUUGAAAAGAAAGAAACUAGAGAUCAAGUUCAUCACCCAGCAAACAGAAUGGCCUAAAGUUGAUUCGUCAGAUUCUACAUCUUAAACACUAAAUUCCUGUACACUGCCCCCAUAUCUAUAAAUCUAACUAGACAGGUACUCAAUCAAAUAAACGAAACUGCAGGAUAUGAUGGUAUGCACAUAAGAUAACAGUAAGCAAAAUGAGGCUUUCUUCCGGUGAUGCUGCAACCCAUGACAAAGAAGAAACCCCAUAACACAUUACUUUGGCGUAUAAAAUUGGAAAUUUGAUGUCGCCUUGCAUAACAAACCUUCACCUUCUAUUAGGAAAUAUUGUCAGAAAAUUCUUUCCCUAGAUUAGAAUAUACUACUACUUCUUUCCACAUACAAGGAAUAAUUUGAUGCUUUCCAUGUUUCAGAAAAAAGUCAAUCUUUAUGCUUUCCCAUAAUCAUGUUCGUCUAAACCACCCUUAAACCCAAAUCUCCCCCGAAACUAUUCCAAACCCAUCGAUUAAUUCAUCAAACACAAGCAAGCAAACAUCCUAAAGCCACAAAAACCAGACAAAGAAAAACCCACCAGACCACAAACUUAUCAGUCAUCACAUGAUCAUGGCCACUCUCUCCCCCAAACCAACACCCCCCCCCUUCACCUUCUUCGUCCCUAGCUUCCGAAACCAUCCAAAUUUACAAAACAAAAAAAGGUACAGGAACCACAUAGCAACAGCUAAACAGCAGCUUCGACACGAAAAAAAAAAACAAUUUUAUAGUCGUAAACUCAAAAUUUUUACCAGAAGAAAUUACAGAAACACAAAAAAAAAAAGGAUAACCUGAUCAGAAGUUAGAAAUACGAGUUCAAAAAAGGAAAAAGAAUCCAAAAAAGGACAUACACAUGCUAGAUAUUUUAGAAACAUGCGAUUAAAGAAAGUGGUGAUGAUGAAUAAAGUUAAAGCAGCACACUUACAUACUUGGGGAAUACAGGGAGGCCCAGAAAGGAAAAAAGUAAUCUUUCUCUCUCACUUCUUUUUUUUUUCGGAAGAUAAUUAGGAAAGAUAAGCCAAGAAAAAGGUUAAGUUUUUAGCUUUGAAGAAAGAGAUGAUAAAUUGAAGUAUUAGUAAUAGGUCGUAACUUGGAACAGAGGUAUCACUAACAUAAAAUAGGGUAAGAGAAAGAUAAGUUUAAUUGAGUAGGAGAAUUAGAAACGUAUAGGUGGAGCUCACCUGGUUUCCUUGGGUAUGGGUUCUUGACACGUGUAUUCCUAGAAUAUACUUAAAGGUAAAAUGCUACCAACCUAAAACAUCUAUAUAUAUAUAUAUAUAUUAUAGUAAAGACUAAAGAAGGGCGAAUUUAAGAAGCGAGGAGGAGUCAGGGGAUCAAAAUUUCUACAUUUUAUGGUUUCAAUUUGAGUCAUUAGACUAAAAAAUUUAAAUACCUAGUAAGUCAUUAUUCUAAAAAUAUUUGGGUUUCUUUUUAUUAAUAUAAAUGUCAGUAUUGUCUUUUUUGCAUACUAAUAUUGUGGAAAAGAAUAAAAUUACAAUACAUGUUGGCUUUCUUUUACUUUUUCUUGUUAAUUCAAGAGUAGUUGUUCUUUUUGGGGCUAAAUAAUAUUCAUGGAAUAAACAUGUUGUGUUAUUGUGUUUUUUUUUUUAGAGUGUAAUCUAUCCAAAAUUACAAUUUUUUUUAAUUUUUGACAAGAUUAGGAUUGUAUUGUUCUAUUUACAUAGAGCAUAUUUUAUCUUUCAAAAUAGUAGUGAAGUUACCUAUGAUGUUUAGUGGAAUCACAACUUCUUGCAACUAAUUCCAUCUCGAAUUCCUUAUUCCUAAGAGUUUUUGCAACAAAACUUAAGAAAUUAAGUGAAAAAUUGCUUUUGAAAGAAGCGAAUUUGACCCCAAGAAAAAAGCAAAAAAAAAAAAGAAGAAGGGAAUUUGACCCAAAUAAGUGUCCCUCAAAAUAUAAGAAUCAGAAUUCAUUGCCAAGAAAAUUCUGCUUAUAGCGAUGCCCACUUACAAAGGAUCAACUACAAGGUCCCUGAGUCCAUGAUGUGAGAACCCUCAAAGUCCAACUCACUUUCUUUAACUUUUUGCCCUGUCUAUUCAAGGGUUGGUAAAUUAUCGUCAAACCGAAGGUAAUACAGAUUACUUGUAAUUGUAGCCCUUGUAAGAUUUACACUUUUAAGCUUUGCCUAGGCUACCAAUAAAUUUGACAAGAAAAAAAAAAGGAACAAGAAGAAGAAGAAACUUAGAUGGCACCCAAGUCAAUAGGCCGACUAAUGAUGUGGAAAUAAUGAAUGCUUUUGUCCCUUGACCUAUUAUCCAGCUUCCACUACUGUUUUCUCGACUGCCACCAGAAGUUUGAAGAAUUUCAUUACAAUUUCCAUCCUCCUACAAGCAUAGCGUCAAUACAGUUUCCUGUCACUAAUUCUUGGCGAAAAUCCGUUUUCUUUCAUUUUCAACCUUUUGGACAAAAUCCAAUCUGGAAGAGAUAAAGAAACUAUGAUACUUGACGUUUUCAGAUGGAACGUAUCCAUGAGAAUUAUGUUUGGAUAAAAUUCGCCUAGCAAGAAUCUAAGGAUAAGAUAAUGAUAACCAAUCUUGUAGACUUCAAUUUCCAAGGGAUCAUAUUUAUCGGAAAAAAAAUGAUAAAUGCAAAUAUGAUACAGAAGAACAGAUGAAGCAAAACCAAGAAAUAUAUACGAGAAUACAUUCAACAGAAAAGAUCAAAUCCAAACUUAAGAGAAACAAAGUGGUAUUAUAUUUCAAUGUCAACCAGCAGCUUGAAAAUCCCCAAAGUCAUCAUCUGGAAUGUCUUGUGUGUUUUGGUCUUCUGGAGGUUCUAAUUCUUUAGAUUGUUCUUGAGGUGAGACAGAGUCCUCUGCUGCUGAAGAUUCCUUUAGACUGAGUUUUGAAGGCAGCUCUGAUGGAGAUGUUUUAGGACUCACAACGGGCGAUAAUGGUGCUGGUGGUGGUUUGAUAGAUAUCACGGGCUCCUUUUUACUACCCUUCUCCUCCAAUGAGAGAUCAUUUAAGCCCUGUUCAAAAAACUUGGACCCAGAACUCCGACCACUUUUCUGUUGAUAAAAAGAGGGCUUAAACAAUAUUACAUGAUGGAGGGACAAAUUUACGUACCAAUUAACUCCUUCAAUGUUUGGAGAACUUACAUUUUUUAUCUGAAGUACAAGUUUUUCUCCUUCUUUUAAACUGUAAUCAACUGAUGAAGUAUGCUGAUGUUGCUGUUCCAUUUCUUCUGCAGUUUUCUUCUUGUUUAGGUACCUUUUAACAGAAAAAGCAGGCUAAAUUUGGUUAGCGUACGCAUGCAUGGGGAGGAUUAAACAAAGCUACUUUCAAGCCUUGUAAAAGUACAGAAAAUCAUGGUACUGUUCGCAAGAAUGCAGAGGAUUACUUCAUAUGGUCAUGCAGGGCAGCUUGGAAAUCAUAAGCUUCGGGUCUUUCUCGAAAUCCUAUGCCGAUGAAAGCAUGUCGAAGUCGACCUCCUGCAAAGAAUGAACAAUCCUUUGCAUGAUCUUUAUGGGCAGAUUUUCUUAAAAUUGAAAUUAUUUAAGGAAUCAUAUUAUAAGUCAAGUGCAUUUUGACCUCAUAGGCAAGCAGCCAAUGCCCUUAGAGAUUCGUGUGCUACUAUGCAAAGGAUCUAUUUAUGCUCCUACCAGUUAACAUGACCACCUUAUAUUAAUUCAGCAUCAUGUGCUUAUAAGAUCUGUACCAUUUUGAAGUAUAUUGGAGAAGAAAGUUCAUGCCUAAUAGCUAAAACCAAUUGCAGAUGUAAACACAAUUGAAUAUCGUACAGAACUAUUUGAACAAGAAAAGAAAAGAGAAAGAAAGGCUUCCUUGAUGUACAAUUAAAUUCUUAUCUACCACUUUAGUUUAUUCGAAAAUAUUAUCUACAUUCAUCAAGUCGAAUAUCUUGUAAUUCGUGAAAAAGAUUACGAGUUAGCAUGGAAAUGAUGUAGAACAAGAUAAGAAAAUCCUGGCCAUACAUUACCUUAACUUUAUCUACAAGGUACUAACUUAAAUUGAAGUUCAUUUAUUAUCAACUAAAUGAAAAUAUUUUGCAAAGUCAACCAUGACAUUUCCUAUGAAACCCAUUCGCUUUCUUAAAAAACCAUAUUCUGACUUCACAAUUCUUGAACUUAAACAAUUAUAUUUAAACUUGGGAUGCGAUUAAACUACUCUAUUCUUGUACUUAAUAAUGCUUCUUAUUUAAAUGAUUUAACAUCAAAACCGAAGAAGUGGACUAAAGAAAGCUCAACCUAGGGAGGAGAAGUCGUAUGACAAGAGAAUACAGGAGAACCAUUUAUUAUAUUCUAAUUCUCCAACAGAAGAAAAGUGAUACUCUACAGGUUUUGGAAUUUAAAAGAAUAAGAAAGAUAGAUUACCAAUGUUUUCUUCGACCCGCAGAACAAAAUAUCUGCAGAAGAAUGUGAGAUAUAACAAGCAAGUUAGUACAGAAUGAUUUCUGAAUUAUCCAAGUAAGUGAGAUUAAUGAAUCCCAAGUCCAAGUUCAAAAAAUCAAUCAGUAUGAUCUCAUUAUCCAAUAUUUUACUGCAUUUCACUACUUAACAGGGCAAACAUUAAAAAAAAGAAAAAAAAAACUGGUAAAAGCAUAACUGAUGGCAUCCAGUGGACAAUCACAAAAAGCAGAUCUUUUGCAUACACCCCCAAAAUGGUGCUACAAGGUGCCUGCUACUAACUUAGAGCAAUAAUAAAUUUGUUGUAAGAGGGAGUUGAAAGAGAUGAUGUUGGUGACAAGUUAUCUAAACCUGCUGCUGUCAAUCACAGGCUCCACAGGAUGGGGCUCUCCAUCUCUUAGAAAUGCCCGAGCAUACAAUUCACCUAUUUGGAAAACAACAAUUUUCAGCAAAUCAUUACUGAUGGACAAAACUGAUUUCAUUUGCACAAACUUUUUCUAUUUGGUAGCAACUAAACAACAAAAAGCUACCUGUUGUCUUAUCUUCAAGUCUGAUAAUGCAUUCCUCUCCUUUGCUAAUAACUUUUAAAGCACCCUCCCAUGCCCAUUUAUUGACAUUCCACUCAUCAGCCCUACGAAGAGCAACAAGUCAAUUAGCAAAAUAGAAUCCAGGAAGCAUAUUUAUCUAUUUUCUGACUUUGACAUGACUCAGGUCGACAUCAAAAACUUUCAUGUUAAGUAUAAAACUCUGCAUGAAAUGCAAAAUGGGUCCUAAAGGAUCUAACUCUCCAGCACCGGAUUAGACCUAGCAACCCAGUAAUCUGGCAAGAUAUGACCAGAAUAACUCAUAUUUGAGUCUAUCCUUCAAAUGGCAAAAAUAUUGGUCCAUACCCCUACAAGCACCUUAGUAAUCAAUCAUAAAAUUUUUGGAAUAAGUUUGUCCAUCCAAACCUUUUUGAAAUCUCCAAUGAUGGACUACAUUUUUACUUUCUUGGCGGAAUAUUAAUCAAGCCAAUGCAUGAAAAUUUUCACUAUUUGCUUCAGCUUUCUAUAACAGUAAUACAACAUGUAUCCCUUCCAGGGGAAAGACAAACGCAAUCACAGUCAAGAUAAAUGCAAAAAGCUGAAGAAAAUUUUAUGGACAUAUUACUAGGACUCAAACCUAGGUUAAAAUAUCAAACCGAAGUUACAGCUCUCUCUCUCUCUCUCGGUGUUGCAGAAGAAGAUACCAUAGAGAAACAAUAAGACCUAUUCCUAUAAACAAAAGUCAUAUUCAAAAGAGAUCACUCUGAAAUACCUGUAAGAAGCCGCACUUUUUCUUGGAGGGAUCUGUGGAGAGAAUAAACAAGAUUAAGUUUAAACUGAUGGUGGAGUUAAUUACACUCAAAUUUAUAGAGGAUAGAACAAUGAUGCAACAUGGCAGGAGCAUCCUCUAUGCAUCUCAUUUUUGUCUUGCUAUUAGAUAUCUGGACUACGAUACGAUCAUGAUCUACCAAAUCUUCACACUACAAGGAUCAUCACCUACUUAACAGUGACAAAGAAGAUUUGAUCAUAGAUGCACGAUGACUGAGAGAACCUUUUGUUCAAUAAACACUUCCUGAACUAUAUCCUCCAACAAAGAUACCUCUAUGCAAUCCAAUUUCCACACUGAGGAGGUGCUUUACUUGUAUCAAAACAACAAAUGGCUGGACCAAACGUCUAAGACAGCAAAGAAUUUUUUGAGAACAAUUAUGAACUGCUUCUACAGGAUUACCAUACAGUUCUAAAUUAAGAAUUAUGUUCAAAUCACUAAAUAACAGGAAAAACCAAAAACACUCCUCAUGGACCAACAAAUAGGAAAUUGUACUUUGCCCUAACAACCGCUGCAGAAGUCUUAGCAUAUUUUUCUAUCUGUUCAUCACAAAUGGCAUUCAUCAGAAUAUACCUUUGCAAAGAAACAAAUGAAAAACGGCCAGUUUUCCCUUACUAUAUCACAUCCUCACGAGUAUAUGUAAGUUAUACAUUUAACUUCUGGAAAUGAAUACAUCAAUCUUUUGCUCAUCAAGCAUUUAGUUUCGCAACUUUGCAAACCACAGUACAGCAGCACCUAAAAAAACUGGGCAUUAUUGAACUAGAUUGAUUAACAUCUAACACAGAUAAAUACAUUACAUAGCAAUUCACAAAAAUAGUCACCGAUAGACAAAGCAUUAAUCUCAAAAAAUUCACCAUUCAACGACACAAUCUAAAUAAAUGGCGCCUGCAUUGAAGUAAUUUCAACAAUUCAAAUCUAAAAAGCCAAAACUAAACCUCAGUUGAAGAAAAACAUUUUUUUUACACAAAAAAUGACUAAACCCACAAUUUUUGUAAGCUAAACCCCAAUUCGUUACCUGUAAUCGAACCAACACAAGUUCAUAACUUUAUACUACAAACAGCAAAAAGUCACUAAUUAUCCAAAACCCUUUUCAGUAAGUAACCCAAAAAUGGAAACUUUAUACUGUUUUCAGCAAAAAUUAAGGAAAAAAGGGACUGGCAAAUAGAGAGAGGGAGUACCAAAUAGACGUAGCAUUCUGAGACUUGGAAGAGAAUCAGCUCAAUAGCUUCUUCAAUUUCUUCUUUUUCAUCUGUUUUCUUUUCUUUCUCCAUUGAUGUGAUUGCUAUUCGAAAAGGAAUUUCUCACGGGAAUGAAAAAUUAAUGCAAGCAAAAAGCGCGUUCUUUUCUUUCCCCCCUGUAAUUUAACCGCGCUGAAGUUCUUGACUGUUUCGCUUCCAAUCUGGAAUUGGCAAAAUGUGUCUGGGGAAAAAGAAUUUUAGAAUAGGGGUAGGCUGGGAAUUUGGAAAACAAGAGGGUGGGUGACUAAUAUUAAAAAUUUUAUUAGAAAUAGGAUGCCGGAGUUGAUGGGACUAUCUAAUUCUGAUCGAGUAGUUUACUUCGAUUUGAUUAUGAUUAUUGUGGACCGCAGGUUUGAAGCAUUCUGUAGGCUUUCAGCCGUCGGAUUCUUUGACUGUGGAAGUCAACCAGUUGUUGCUCAUGAGUUGAUAUGGUGGUUUGCUUGAUUUCUAAGCAAGGGAGAUCCAGUAAAGUCCUUAUGAUUAUCUGAAUUUAGGUGAGAUUAGAUACAGGGAAAGAAAAAAGAAAAGAAAAGAAAUCAGAUUUAUGUAUGAAUAAUUUGGAUAGGAAUUAAAAUAGAUAAUGAAUUUUUUUUUUUUACUAAAAUAAAGAGUUGAAAAUUUCCUAUCAUACAUGCACGGUCAUCAAAAUAGAAAGAAGUUUGAGGGUGUGUAUAUGAAGAAAAUUGAGGUCGAAACCUGGAAGUCUCAUCCACUCUUUUGACUUACAAGAAAGUCAAGGUAUUAUUCCAAAGUUGGUAGAGAAUAUCCGGAUAUUUCCCAUCUCUUCUGCAACAACAUAUAGCCAUUUGUUCACCUAGCAAAACAACUUACUAGUACUAUAUGUUGUUAUUUGUAUUAAAGGAAAAAAAGGGAUGUCUCUUCAAUUGGUACUUCAAAGGUUAUGAAUUAGUAGAUCAAGAUGAAAAUUAUCGAACACAAAAAUGGUAUUAGAGGUUCCUGCCAUCAACAUAUGUGGUGUAUAGUUUGGACUUUGGCAUAUAGUUUCAGCUAGAUUUUGCUUAGCAGUCUUUUUGCUUGUAAUGACUGUCGGCAGUAUGAUCAGUUGAGAAUUUGCUGCUUCUUCAGAGCCGGAGAAGUUCAAGAAAACAUUAGCAGCUAAGUAUAAUCGGUUGAUGAGUAAAAAUGUACAAAAAUCACCUUAGUGGUUCCUGCUAUCAACUUGCCAUGAAGAGCAGAAGGGUGUUCACAGACCAGAGGCUGCAUUGGAGCAACGGUUGCUCCAUGCCAACUCUUUUCACCACAACUCAACCAAGACAGUGAUUUUGGUGACCUUUCGUGCUUGUUUGUAACAAGAAAUGGAUCCAUUUCCUUCUGACAAGAUUUCAAAAGUUCAAAUUCCUAUAUAGCCUAUGGAUUUACAGAUAAAUUUCCUUAGGAGCACAGCCGAGAUGCUGACUUAGUAUGCUGCCAAAAAAUGAUUCCUCAGCGCGAACAUUUAGUACAUGAACUCUGUAGAUACGAACUCCAAUUGGUAACGCUAGUGAUGAGACGGUUUGAGGGUGAUGCUAGUAAGGCACAGUUGCAGUCACUGUCCUGUGCCUUGGAUCCGUGAGAACCGUAUUUACAUUGAUAAAGCCUGCUUCUCUCAUUACUCUUUCAAGAUCUGUCAAAUAAUACUCAUCCAGGAAUGGUUCAGUACUCUUCAUUAGCGUAAAUAGCACCGGUGAUAAUUCCUGAGACAUGUAUCAGGACAAUCUAGUUCAGCAGCUUGGCUAGGAAAACCACAUUAUACCAGUCAUCUUGAGAAUUUUUGCAGAGCAGGAGAUGGUAGGGAACAGAAACACCUAUGAACUAACGCUUUCAUGGUCAAAGUUAUAUGAAUCUAAGAUGUUGCUCUGUAUUAUAUAUCUGUAUUGCAUAUAUUACAAUGUUGUCUCCUAUUUCAACAUGUGCAGAAAUUUUGAACAUGUAGUGCUAUUAGUUUGCUCAAUCGCACAAACUGUAGGCAGAGAAAAGGAAUAGGAGAAGAGAACUUGCCUGAAGAAUCUUUGAUUUUGGCUGCAAAAAGGAAACAAGUGUUUAUCAGAUUGAAAUGAUCCUUUGGUAAAUAUACAAUUCAAAACCUCAGGAGUUAUAUUAUUUACCGAGUUGUCUGUGAUUGCAAAAGUUCCUCCAGGUCGAAGCAGUCGAAGGGCUUCUCUCACCAUAUUUUUUAUCGCUCUUUCAGGGCAUUCAUGGAACUGUAACAGCUCAAAUGAUUGAGACUCUGAAUCAUAGCAUUAUUAUUUCAAAGAGUUACCGGAAAAAAGAGCAUGGCACGCACUUAAAAUUCUAAAGGUGCAACCAUGGGCAAGAGUACUACAGCAGCUGCCUAGGCAAAACUUGUGAAGGCUUAUACACCAAAGAAUGUUUCUGUCAAUUUUCAUGCAACAUGCUUCUUGCGUGAAAAUUGAGCAAGCGAAGAUGCUACUCUUCAUUUGGUAAUUUAUCCAUGACAUUGUAAGGUUGCGUGGAUUACAGCUCAAACUUCUAAGAGUAGCAAGAGCCACAACAUGUUAUAAGAGAGUUUUCUCCUAAAAUGUUCAGUUUUAGGAAGAACAACAUGACUCUCUGAUGAUGAUUUAGUAC
RNAcentral lists this long non-coding RNA (109860 nucleotides) under Coffea arabica (coffee). RNAcentral describes it as "long non-coding RNA (CARA_LNC003854)". The record is from RNAcentral. Lineage: Eukaryota; Viridiplantae; Streptophyta; Magnoliopsida; Gentianales; Rubiaceae.